This 91492-nucleotide long non-coding RNA is filed under the name Fragaria vesca (wild strawberry). Its description in RNAcentral is "long non-coding RNA (FVES_LNC002131)". The record is from RNAcentral. Lineage: Eukaryota; Viridiplantae; Streptophyta; Magnoliopsida; Rosales; Rosaceae.
GUAUUUGAUGCAAAUAUAAUUUGAUGGUAUUUUAGUUGGAAUGCAUUUUGGAGUAAGGAAGUACUGAGAUCAUUGCAAUAUUUAGUCUACUUCAUUUGCCAGUUUGCUGGCCAAAUUUAGUAGUGACGUCUGUUCACAUGUACAAACGAUUUUGCCACAACAAAGAAGUAGGGCGUCUGGUUCUACCGAAGUUAUUGUAAACUUACGUUUGAAGGUUAAUCACAAGGUGUAUCACUUCCUUGGUACCAAAUGAGGUGUUUUUUUUUUUUUUUUUUUUUGGACAACUUAAUGAUAUGGAGGACUAAUGUCAGGGUAGAUUGAAGUUCAAGAGUCCCUCUGAUGUAUGUCAGUUAAUAGAUGAGGAUCCUAGCUUAUCCGGCAUCUGUACUGCUUUCUGCUAGAAGUGCUGACAGCAAGAAGAGGGAAAAAAAAGUCUCUGUGGGCAUGAGCUUCUAGCUUAUCCAGCAUCUCGAAUGAUCUCUUUUAGAAGUGCUCAGAGUUAAUUAGACUAAGCUCUGUGGAGGAGACGGACAGGCCUGAGUCGAGUCCAUAUUAGCAGAAUAUAACUACAACCUUUUUCUUUAUACCAGAAGGUAGAAAUCAUAAUUAUGCCGUGCCUCUUCUCUUUCCUGUUUACAGAGUGAAUUGGUAUCCCGAAAGAGUGGUAAAGUGUAAUAUUUUCCAUUUAAUGGUUCUUCGAUGCAGGACGUUACAGUAUCAUAAUAAAACUUUGGGGUUGCUUAUAUCACUGUUUUCACAUUGUAUGAUAGAGUUGAUGGUGGAUAAUGGAGGAAAAUUCUUCAAACUCUACCAGAUCAGUUUAUUCUCUUUUUUAUGCUAUGUGGUGUUGAAAGAGAUUUUUAUAUUGCAUGUUAUGAUCUGGUUAUCUUAUGAUAUGCAUUUUGUUGUCUUCCCCUUGCAUUUCUGUGCCUUCCCUGUAUCUAUGUGCUCUGUGUGAUAAACAAAGCGGCCUGGAACUUUAGUCAUGUUGGUAUUGAUAUUGUAUAUUGGUUAGAUGAAUGUCAGUUCAAGCUAGUAAAUGAUAAUCAGACUGAUUGUGCAUGUUCCCAAUGCUUGAAAAAUGUACUUUACAGGCUUGUCAGUAAAGGCUGCAAAUUAGUUGGGUGUGGCUCGGCAGUACCCAGUCUUAAUAUUUCAAAUGACGAGCUUUCAAAAAUAGUAGACACUAACGAUGAAUGGAUAUCUGUUCGUACUGGGAUUCGUAAUCGACGAGUUAUUUCAGGUCAGUUCAUACACUCUGUGCAUGAUAAUGUCAUAAAUUUAGUUAACUGUGAGCAGUUUGGGUUGUUUAGUUAGUUACCAUGCACUGAGCCUCUUGAUCCAGUGCCCAAGUUACUAUCUUAGACAUUGGAUAUGCAGUGCAUGACUGUUGAUAUGUAUUGACAUCUUUAAACUAUCUGAGGUGGCAUACUUAAUUAAGCUGAGUCUUGAUUACAGUGUGCAUGCUCAAUAUAGGAAAAGCCACUGAGCUUGAUCAGUCUGUGCUUGCUCAGGGUCAACUAGGUUAGCUAGCUGCAUGCAUGAUCCCUUUUAAAGAAAAUCUGUUUAGUUAUUGGCUUCGCCAAUGCUAUUUGGAAUGCUAAAGUGAUGAAGAAUACGAUGGGGUUUUAGCUGGUAUAUAAUGGAGCGAGGGCUUUCUCAUGGUUGCGGUUGAUAUUUUAACUGUUAUAUAUUGUAUCUCAAUAUAACCCGUACACAACAGUGCAUGUGUUGUCUCUGUUAGUCAUUGAGUUUAUGGUGUGCUGGAUAUCUUAAGGUUACCUUCUCUAGACAAUGACAUCGUUCUAAUGUGCAAUUUUUACAGGCAAAGAAAGCCUAACCUUAUUAGCAGCGGAGGCAGCAAAGAAAGCUCUUGAGAUGGCACAGGUUGAUGCUGAUGAUGUAGACCUAAUCUUGAUGUGCACCUCUACACCUGAUGAUCUUUUUGGCGGUGCUCCUCAGGUGUAUAUAAUAUAUAUAUCCUUUUGUCGGUAUAUCAUAUAUCUGGACUAAGUGGUCAGAUCAUACAUAUUAAUGAUUGAGCGUCUUAUGUUAUUUAAAAGAUACUUCUUUUUUUCAGUUCUUAUUACUUCCAUUCUCUACUGGCGAGUGAGACUUUUGAGUUCGAGUUGUGAAUGCAUUGUUCCGAACCUUUUUUUCUUCUUCUUGGUGGGUGGUUGGGUGGGGGGAGGGUUGGGGUACAUAAAACCUGACCUAUGGAUUUGUGGCUGCUUUUAAAGAAUUGUAUCUAUAAAGUUAUUUGCAUCAUAUAUAUCUGAUUAUAUGGAUUUGAUCUUUACUGGGUUUUAGUUGUCAUAGUCAGGACCUGGAAACUCCAAUUGAUUGUUUUGUUUGACCGUUUCAGGUUUGAGCAAUGUCAGUUAGGUUAAUUUGUUUCUUAAUAUCACAGUCUCUUUUUGCAUAUAAAGCUACUUAGUGCCGUCUCUAGAUUUGAUUGUCUCUUUCCAGCAUCAGGUUCUGGAGUAUGAACUUGAAUAAAUCUUCUGGCCUGAGCUGGAGAUGACUACUCUCAGUAUAGUCAGUUUGUGUAGGUCCAGAACCUAGUCAUGGCACAACUUAAAACUGGCAACUUGAUUCUUGAUGAACUUUCAUCGCCUGUUUACAAUAUAUCCUGAAAACCUCCCUAUGUUCUCUCCUUUAACUAAGCUAACUUGAUAAUUUUUCAAGAAAUCAGCUUGUAUUGGCCAAGUAAUCUGGUUAUUGUGUGUGUUUCUUGACCUUAGCAUUGCUUUUGGUGCGCUUGGCUCAAACAUUUUCCAAAGCUGGGAUGUCUUGUAGCAACUUUUUAGUUCUUUCCUUCGGUUUUCCCAUAAAAUUUUGUGCCAGUUGAGCUAUUUUAUUAAGAUCAACUAGAUAAUAAUUUUGUGUAACAAGAUUCCACUGCCCCAGUGCUUAAGUUGAUCUAUUCAGUAUGGUAACUGCUAGAGUUUGUAAUCUCAUAUUAUGUUGCAAUUUUAGGUUCAAAAAGCACUUGGCUGCAAAAAGAACCCCUUGUCCUAUGAUAUAACAGCUGCCUGUAGUGGAUUCGUAUUGGGUUUAGUAUCAGCUGCUUGUCACAUUAGGGGUAAGGAAUUUGUUUACUUUGAUGUGAGGCAACUGUUACUUCCAUGUUUGAUUGAUUAAACUGGUUUUGCACAAACUACAGGAGGCGGAUUCAAAAAUGUUCUAGUUAUCGGGGCUGAUGCUCUUUCUCGGUUUGUUGACUGGUCUGACAGAGGAACCUGUAUUCUCUUUGGGGAUGCUGCCGGGGCUGUUUUAGUACAGGUGACUUUAUGGCAUUACCUUACAAGUAGUUGCUUGAAUAUUCGUGAAAUCUUAUUAUAAACAAACUAACGGACAUUCCAUUGUCAAUCAUGCUUGUCAACAAAAGUACAGGUGACAAUAUAUUUCAUCCCACUUGUUUAACAUUGCAUUAUUUGUAGGCCUCUGACAUUGAGGAGGAUUUCUUACUUGGUUUUGAUGUUCAUAGUGAUGGUGACGGAAGCAGGCACGUGUUUUCUCCAUUAUUCUUUUAGUUUUCUCACCUUUUUAUCAAAUUGCCAUAUUUCAAGGUUAUCCUGCUGUUUAUAAAUGCCGUAUUUCUCAAUUUUCUUCACGUACAUGUGACUAAUGACUGUCUCUAAUUGCAGACAUCUAAAUGCUACAUUCAAAGGAAAUGAAACAGAUAGUGAAUUGGGUUCUAAUGGUUCAGUCUUAGACUUCCCUCCAAGACGAUCUUCAUAUUCUUGUGUUCAAAUGAAUGGAAAAGAAGUCUUUCGGUUUGCAUGUCGAAGUGUGCCACAAUCGAUUGAGAAUUCGCUUGCAAAUGCUGGUAUCCCUGCAUCUAGCAUUGAUUGGUUACUGCUCCAUCAGGUAUGACAAAUGAUUUUUUUCACAUUCCGCCAGGGACCUAGGUUUAGGUGGUUGAACGAGUUCUCUGCUCUACCUGUCAAGUAAAACUCCUGAUUAAUAAAAGGGGAGCGUAUAUAUAUCAAAAGGCAAAGAACUUCUACCUUAUAAUUUUACUGAUAGAAGAUGUGAGAAAUCUCUCCCAAUAUUCAUUGUAGCGAGCUUGUUGUUGUACCUUUUGUUCUGAUAAUGGCUAUAGGAUAUAACAGAUAAUGACAGAGUUAAAUGAAUGCAGGCAAACCAGAGGAUUCUUGAUGCAGUUUCUAGUCGCUUGGAUAUCCCAUCAGAACAGGUUAUAUCAAAUUUGGCGAACUAUGGUAACACAAGUGCCGCUUCGAUUCCUUUGGCCUUAGAUGAAUCUGUAAGAAGUGGCAAGGUGAAACCAGGCCAUACAAUAGCAGCUGCAGGCUUCGGAGCAGGUCUCACGUGGGGUUCGGCUAUUCUAAGAUGGGGCUGAAAACCUCAUCCUAGUGCCAAGAUAGAAGAGUAUAUGCUAUGAAGCGCAGUUUUGAAAUUCUUGCUUCACAUUUCUCGUGUAUCAUCAUCAUCAUCAAAUGAACAAACCUCAGCCCCCUUUUGUUUGUUUGCCUUUUUCUUACUUGGUAGCUUUGACACCUUCAAUAAGAUUUGUAUUCUUUUCCUCCGGUCCAAUAAUGUAUUUGUUUCUUGAGUCACAAGCCAUAUGUAGAAUAACAAUUCUGGUACCAAAACUAAGACAGUUAUAUGUAUAUCUCAUUGUCUCUAUUGGACAUUUCCUUACAGAAGAGGAUCUUGAAACUGAAUCAAGUGGGAUACAUAAAUAUCUUAAUACAAAGACUAAUCAAGUUAAUAAUUUACACUUGCUGAUAACAAGAAAGAGCAAGAAAACCUCAACUAUGUCACAGAACAAAAACUUGACCUCUAUGAACCCUAGACCUAACCCUCUGCAACACACCCUCAAUUGCAAUGUCGAAAGCAUCUUUCUUGGUUCUUAAUCCCAUUGAACUUCCAUGCUUCCUGUACAUGAUUCUUGGUAUCAAACCCAACACCUUCUCCCUCAUUCUCCUAACCUUAGCUCUUGGUAUAUUCCUAAGCACAUCCAGAAUCCUUGUGUCUUUGAACACCACGUCCUCCUUCGGUAUAUACACCGAAAACUCGGGGUACUGAUCCUCCGGCAAGUGCCACCCGUACUGCGUUCUGGCUGACAUUUCCUCAAAGAACACGGGGAUGCAGCCGGCGAGAAUGCUGUCGAAUAUGGACCGUCUUGUCGGGGUGUCUCCCGGGGGCUGCAAGCAAAAGCUAGCCUGCAGCAUUGGCUUCAUGAACCUAAUAGGGUCAUGCUCACAAAUCCCAUUAGAGCAAUCCACAAUGUCACACAGCUUCAAAUACCCGUGGACAUUGUGGGUCACAUUUCUGGUGCUAUUCACACACUCAUUCCGAAUGCUCCGCCGAAUGUUGGGGUUGCCCGUGGCGACGCCUCCGCCGCCGGCAAAGAGCAUCAAGCAAGUGCGCUUUGACCUUCUUGCCCUCUGUAUCCAGCUCUGGAGUAACGACAGAUUGGGCGGGUGAAACGACGUGGGAUAAGGAACGGCCUGCUCCUGCCAAGGCCAGGCGCGUGACUCAACCGUCAAAGCCGUGACGUUGAAGAAGUGGGGGAGUUCCAGAAGCGACGUGCCCCACGUGGGCGGGUCAGAAUCCAACGGCUGAGAGAAGUCCCAGGCGGGUCGGGCCAGGACCAUGAAAUGGUCGUGCCCCGAGUUCCGAUCCCACACCUCCGGCAUGUCGUCCUGCAGAAACCGGAAAAGCUCAAGACCCUGAUCGGCGCUGGAGUUGACUUCGGGGCCGUAGAGGUACUUCAUGGCGUCGAGCCCCGUGUAGUAAGGAAGAUAAACGGCGUCAGCCUGGACGGGAUCUGACGUCAGACAGGGAUAUUCGAGCAUGCGGCGGUGGAAGAUGAGCUCCAUGAUUAAGGAGUCGGUGCGGUACCAGCUCUGGGAGAGGUUGUGGGUCUUGUGGCCGAGGCCAUGGUUGGGCAGGAAGGGGCACAGGUCGCCGAACAAAGGGUAGCCGGAGCAGGUGGAGAGGAGAUCCAGGUUGAAAAUGGACGGGAGCCGCCGGAUGUGGAUCCAGCGGUCGUCGCAUUCCGUUGGAUUUGUAUCGGCUUGAUCGAUUACAGGAUCGGAAGUGACCAACGCCAAGAAGAAGAAGAAGAAGGGGAUUAGCAAAGCGGAUGCCAUAAUUGAAAGCGAGAGAAUUGGGGGGGGUUUUGAAUUCACUCCUCCAUGACGGUGAGAGUGAAUUGUGAAAGUUCAACGUCCUCUCACUUCCACCAUUAACGAAACGGAGGAGUUGAUUUAAAGGUUUUCCUCUCUCUUUUUUUAACUGCGUGGUGUUGUUGGGCGGUUUGACCCGUCAAUGUCGGUGGUUUUUUACCCUUUUUUGGCGCCUUUUCUUUUCUCUUUUUUUACUGAUGAGGUUGGUUUGAUUAGCAAGAAUGGGAGAAAUCCCUCUAGGUGGAUCCUAAAUAAGGGCUUUCCUUCAUUACUUGGGCCUGCCUAUGUACCCAAAGACAAAAUGGUCUAAAAACCCAAUCUUCCCAUUGUAUAUAAACCGCAGGAAUGGCCCUUUAAAUCCUUUCAUUUCCCUCCAGCUCGAUCUCUCCCAAAAACACCAAGAAGAAGAUAGAAGAAAGGAGCAAGAAUCGUCCAAGAUCGAUCGAUGCUGAAAGCCGUAGGAUUGUUCGGCGGCCGGAACAAGAAGAGCCCGCCGCUCUUCAAGGACUACUACGCCGAGUGGAUCACGACCCUGAAGAGCACCCUCCUCCCCUCCCUCCACCAAUCCCUCUCCGACACGUCACCCUCCUCCCUCCCCCGCCUCUCCCUCCACGUCGACGCCCUCCACCGCCACUUCCAGUCCUACUACGACUCCCUCGACGCCGCCGCCCAAAACGACGUCGCUCAGAUCCUCUUCCCCGACUGGCGCAACCCUCUCGAGAAGCCCUUCCUCUGGCUCGCCGACCUCCACCCCUACCUCUUCACCAACCUCCUCCGCUCCUUCCUCGACCAAGACUCCGACGACGACGACGACGACAGCCUCGUCGUCCAAUUCGGCGACCGCCCCUGGCACGUCGCCACCGCCUGGCGCAGCCCUUCCAAUUCUCUCGCGCAGAAGGUCGAACAGGUGGAGUGCGGCCUCAGGCUCAUGGUGCCAGCGCUGGCGGCGCGUGCCAGGGACGCGCAGGCCGCCUUCGUGGAGCGCGUGGCCAAGAAUUGGGGGCCCUUCGACGGCGGGAAGAAGGAGACGGCGAAGGCGGUGAUGGCGGAGGCGAUGGAGGCGGAGAUGGAGGAGAUGGUGAGCGUUGUGCUGGAUGCGAAUAGGCUGAGGAGGAGUGUUCUUGCCGAGAUCAUCGGGGCCACCAGUGUUUACCAGGCCGCUCUGUUUCUUGAAGGCCUGGCCCAGUUUCUUGUUGGGUUCAGAAACCCGGAGUUGCUGGCCCAGUUUGAUCAGUGCAAGACUCCUCUCACUAAGCAAUGCCGCUUGGCAGUUUGAUUCAGAAGGGUUGCUCUCUUUUCCACUCUUUCAAAUUCCUCUGCUUUUUUCUUUCUUUUUUUGGAUGAACACAUUUGGGUUGAUGCAGUUUUGUACUGAUUGUUUCUGUGCUGGUGUGGACUUGGUGCAGGGAAUUGAUGAGCUUGUUCAUUCAUAAUCUGGUAGCUAGAGAAGGCUUCAGGUUGCAGUUUCUUUGAGGGCGUGGACACAUUCUCUGUCAGUUGUGAGUGAAUGAAGUUUCCUUUUUCGAUUUGGUAUUCGCUGUUGUGUAUGAACUGAUAUGACCAAGAUUGAAUCUUUUUGAAUGUGAAUGAUUUAGUGCUUCAAUGAGUGGUCUUUGUAAUCAAGUAGUUUUGAUCAUUGUUCUUGAGAUAGAGGCAAACAGCAAGUAGUGUACUGUGGAAGCCAUGCCGAAUUUUUCAAUUCACUAAUAAAGUUGUCUAUGUUUUCUAUGUGCUGUAUGGAUGGAUUAUUUGAUGCCAGAAAUGAUUUUGAUAGUAGCUCUAGUCGGAUUAUGGGAUUAGUAGACAUUGUGAUAAAGCAUGGACUGUGGUUUAGGUGUGCCAUAAAAAUCAUCAUAAACUUUUAUCUCAAGUGACAGAGGAAAGGAACAACAUUAUUUGAGUGGCUAGAUCCUAUCAUGAGGAUGGGGAUGCAGAAAAGUAUGACCACAGGAAAUGGCACAGUAACAAGCAGAGAUGUAGCAGCAGUACCAUGUUAGAUUGCUAGGAAAUAAGUCCCUCAAUACCUAAACUGGAAGUAAAACCUUACCUCUUUAUCUAGUAUUAUCUGCUAGUGGAUGUUUUCUGGAGAAUUAGUUGGGGUUUACAUCAUUGUGUCUCUUGGAUAAGUAAAUGGAUUGUGACUAACUGACUGGAUACCAGUCAUUUCCUGCAUUCUGGUAGAGAGAAACUGCAUUGAACGGUGAUAUGCUUUUGUAUGUUACUCGAUCAAAGUACUCGUUUUCUCACUAAGUAGUGUGGUUAGCUAUCAUUGUUAGGGCCUUAUGGAUGCCCUUCCUAGCGUCCGGGCUUACUGGUUAAGGCUUCUGCUUAUCAGUCGAUCACAGUAUUCGUUUGUUCAUCAUUGUGGCUUGGAAUUUCUUACAGCUUGUUUGUAAAUGUAUAACAUUUGGCCCAAGAAGAUGAAGAAACUAUUAAAAGCUUCAUCAUGGGCUAUCUCAAAGCUUUCAGAUCAUAUUGAGGGAGAUGUGAAUCUGUGGCUUUCAAAAUGAAAACCCAAAUUAGCGCUCAUAACUAAUUGCAAAUGUAACAUAAUCAUGUGAAAACUAGUCAGUUUACUUAGGCUGCUUCCCAAGCCCAUAUCAAGGAUGCCUUUGGGCAAAACAUAUUACUCCCACAUAAUUUCAUCUAGUUCAUCAUCACUCUAUGGUCUAUUUAUAUAUUUAACUGCAGUUUAACCUUAUCUAAAUCCUAUGUGGGAGAUGCUAGCUGUUGAUAUUUGACCUGGAUGAAAACUACAGCACAUAUGUUCAUGCAUUCUACAGAAGUAAAAUCUCUGUCCUCCAAUCUUAGCUCCCCACUAAAACAAGUUUGUAAAUGAUAAAAUCCAUCAGGUUUCAUUUAAUUUGAUUUCCAUUUAGACAUCUGCAGAUCUGAGCUCCUUUCUUGGCUAUGAAGAAUGACUCAUUUGUGAGGAUCGGAUGCCAAUAAGGACUAAUUAAUGAAAAACAACUGAUCAAUAUAUAGAGUCAUAGACCAUAUAAGGAAGGUUUAAGGUUUACCUAUCUGCAAGUUGUUGCUGCAACCCAGAUGGCAUAAUCACUAACCUAUUAAUUAGUUUACUCGAAAAUUUGGAAGAUGAUUGACUAAUGUUGAUCUCGAUCAACUUCCUUGUCCAUGUGGUCCUCUUGAAAUUAAACAAGAAUACAACUAAUACCCUGAAUUAUAUUUAGUCUGCAACUCUGCAUAUCUUGUGACUCGUUUGCAGAUAUGUCACCUGAACUGCGCUAGGGGAUCGAGCUCGAGGUACUAAAUUUUUCGUCGUGUCAUACUCGAUCAGGGCAUUAGAACAAUUGUAUCGAAAAGUACGCAUCUGAUCAGAGUAACUAUGAUUAUUUCUUGUACGUUUAGAGAUAUAUUAUUAAGUUUACUAACUGGAAAAAGUACGCAUCUGGUUUCGCCUUAUCUGAUCCAAUGUUGUCAGCAUGAAGUUCUGAACUGCAAUUCUGUGUAAGAAUUGAAGAACUAACGUGUGCAGCUCGCCAUAGCUAGCUAGUUGUCCAAAAGAAAAGGAAGCAAAACCAGAUAUAAAAUUGAAAACUCGAUUGCACGUUGUAAUUCCAUUAGGAAAUGCUAACGAACGUGACUUCCAACUCAUUUUAUGAUAUAUAGAAUUGAUUCAGACUUGCAUACUUAUGUUUGUUUCAAUGUUAUAUUGAAACUUGAUCUGCUGCAGAAUCGAUCAGCAGGUCAACCUGGCUUUAAUUUUUUCGAAGUCUUUUAAUUUUUUCGAAGACGCAGCCCAUGUGUCUUGCUUAAUUUUAACUGUUUGUUCUGCUCUCUAAAUUGAGAAAAUUAUAAUCUUUUACUCAGAAGUUUUGUCUUCAUAAUAUACUUGUUUAAUUGUCAAAUUGCUCAUUAUGAAACAGUUACUAUUGCAAUGAUCAAAUUGUGUUGAAGGAAGCAUUUGUCUUGUUUAGUUUUAAAAUGUUAUCCUUCAGCCAGAUUGAUCUCUUCAUCUAUCUUAUCUAGAUCUAGCUAGCUAGCUACUUGCCAUUUGUAGUUUUAUCCAUCUCUAGCUUAUCUCUCAGCUCUCUCGCUCUUCUAUGAUCUGUUUCUGCUCUGCAUUAGUCAUAAUAAAAAUCUUCAUCUAGCUAGCUAGAAGUGGCACUUGUUAAUUCUUGUAGGUAGGCAAUUACUGUAUAAACUAAUUAUUAUUGCUAAACAUACACAGUGAUAUAUAGUGUUAGGAAUGCAUCGAUCAGACUGAAACCUCUACUGCGCGCAGUAGUGGCUUUAGCUCGCAGAUUACUGUUAAAUCUAUACAAGUUGGAAGCUAGGUCAAUAUGAAGUUUAAUAUGGAUACAGGAUACUCACUCAUUAAGUGAAGCACAUGAAAUAUGAUUCAGCUAGCUAGCGUCUGGUGGCCGACACCACAGACAGUGCUCAAAUAAUUCAAGUUGCUAGCUAGCUAGCUAGAAACAAAUCGAUUCCCAGUACUAUCAUCUUUCUACUAGCUAGUCUCACUAUGUAUAAGUCAUCGCAUUGCAUGAGUAAGUUGGUACAUGUUGUAAGGUAGGUUUGUGGCCAGGAAAUUGAGAUACAAUAAUCAAGAGCUUGUUCGAUCGAUCAGAUGAAUAUGCAUCAAGCAUCAAGCAUAUGUUCUUGCUAUGUGGUUAUCGAUCGCGCGCACUGAAGUCGAUUUAUAUUAUAACAUGCAUGCAGCUUAACAGAUCAAGCAAUGGUUUGUGGUUGAGAAUUUGAUGAUUCUACAAUAGUGCGCGCUAGCUAGCUCUUGCAUAAUCUGCUUGUCUCUCUAUUUACAUAUUGAAAGCGUUUGCCUUACUGAUGCUUAAUUAAACAUGCUGAUUUGUGGCUAGGUAUAUGAGCCAAGACGAUCGAGACCAAUGUAGCUAAGGGAUUCAUCAGCUGCAUGCUACGGUGUAAACUAACCUUGAUUGGUUUGACUUGACAUUAACAAUGAGCCAAACCAAACUGAUUUUGAAAGCAACUGUGAAGAUGGACUGGUUCACUGAAAGUAAUUUAAGUCUGCAUGCCCUGAUAUUAAAAGUUAAUCAAACUGAUUCCAGUCAAUAAUUGUGGGAAAUAAAUUACUUACUUUCACUACCAAUGAACUGAUUUUGCAUGGGGUAGAUUGUUGAAUUUUGCAUAGUAUCAGACAAAUAUUACUUCCUUAAUUAUAUGAAUGAAGUAGCAAUCGAUCAUAUUUUGAUAAUGUUACGUGGUAAAAGUGUAUAUAUAUAUAUAUAUAACUUAGAGUGCAAGACUGACCUUAUGAGAUCAUUGAUGAUCUAAAUCGGGAACUAUAUAUCCAAAACUAAAAGUAACCCACCCUGGUUAACUACUGUCGUAAAGUUACAUGCAUGUCUUGCAUAUGUACGUAUUCUAUAUUAUAUAUGAUGCAGUCAAUUUAUGAAAUUUUGGACACGACUUGACUUGUUGAAUUGGCAUUAGAUCGACGACCAAAGUUGUCUUACGCAGUUGUUAAUAAUUACUUUGGCUUACAAAACAAGCUCUGUUAAUUAUACAUGCAUAUAUUUCCUACCAUCAAAAAUGGUUUUGCUGACUUUCGAUUCAUUUGCAAGACGUGACAUUGUGGAAUGGGGCAAUGUGGUAGCUAGCUAGAGUACGUGACAUUGAUAUCUAUGUAAUUAAAGAAUAAUUGAAAGAACAUAUAUAUGACAACAACAUAUAGAGCCUCCUAGCUUUACAAGGAACUGACUCGAUCACCGGUCACCACCACCUUGGAGAUCCAUUCUUCCAAUUAAAUGGGAUUUUGACCUCUUCCACUUAAUUGAAGACCAUAUAUUAUAUCUAAUUAUAUGAUCCGGUCAAUCUUAACUAGCUAGCUAGCUACCCACUUAUUUUUAAUUGCUAGCUUAUUAUACGUGGUUAUUUUCUUCGAUCGCGAUCGGGCGUUCUCUUUGCGUAUUAGCUUUGCGCAUUACAAAAUGCUAGAAAGAGUACACACUUUUAGACCACUGGUAAUAGUCAACAAUAAUUUACGUACGUAGUUCAAAGAUACUAGUAUAAACUGAUAUAUAUACGGGGUUUGUCACUAUAACCUACCUAACAAAGAUGACAAUACGUUCACCGAUGAUUGGAUAUCUAUCACGUACGUACAUGCACGCACGCUACAACAUAUAUAUGCGAUGAAUCAGUAGUACUUGUUGGUUCAUUUGCGAUCGUAUAAAAAGUUUCUCUAUAUCGAUCGGCCAGACUCGUGAGAUCGAGGAAUUCAUAUUCCAUUUAGUCCCGCGCGCAAUCAUUCAUUCAUGACACCUCUACGCCGGCCUCUCAUAUAUGCCUCUUAAUUUGUCGAUGGAAUCGAAUACCAUUGUCGACUCCCUAGCUAGAUCCACCACCCAUGCACGCACUCGAUUAACUAAUUACUUGGGCAUUGGGGGUAGGCUAGGGAUGACAAAAACGAAAUCAAAGUGAGAAUUGAAAUCCGACUCUAUAAUGCUUUCUUUGCUUAAAAGUCCAUGCAUGGGCGUCCACCGAAUAUAAAAAACCCAGCACGUACGUGAUAAAGCAGCACCUUCGAUUCGAUCAUGAAAGCAGCCCAGCUAGCUCUGUUAAAAGAACAGCUAGCUAGCUUUCCUUCCACGUCCCAACUCGCUGGAAGUUGCAGCUGCAGGUUCAUUGCUAGCUCUUUCAACACGUACAUGCAGUAGCACGUCGUGGUCGGGUCGCCGACUCAGGCACUCAUCAGCUCCAACUCAGCUCCCGGCCUACCACCUCAGACCUCGAUCACUCACACCCGGCCGCGCGGGGCCCACAGAAUAUACUACGGAUUGGUACAGUUGCCCUAAUAUUUGGACGGCCGGGAAGGCUUCCGGCCACGUCAUCGUGCAGCGACUGUGACAUCAAUGAUUGGAAAAUGGGGAGCAAAGGGGAUGGCGAGGGAGAUGUUUUUGUCAUCGACAAAGAGGACGAGGUUUUGCCUCGUGUAUCCGAGGUGCCCAGUUGACUCUCAAGUCCCUACGUACCUUUACUGGUUCUGUUUUAACUUUGCUUUCAUAUAUUGGAAUCUUUCUCCAUUCUUUCCUACAACCUUCCUUCCUUCCUCUCUUUGUGUUUCCCUUUUCGAUUAAUUGUUAGCCUAACAAUGGUGGAGGAUUGAAAGACGGAUAUCCAACCAAGUCUAGCUGAAACGAAUUGCCAUAAAACGGCAAAUUUUAUGCGACAAUUUUGUACGUUGUUAAUAGCUAAUGAAUCGAAUAACAAUAAACAAACAAAAAUAUCAUAGUAAGUACAAUUAUAAAUACAAAUGAGAAUGCUCAAUUCUUGCAUCGAUUGCUAGAAAGAUGGGCAAUUCCUAACUGGUCGGGUUUGAUUUUAAACAUCCAACUUAUUGAUGAAUCGUUAGAUUUCAAAUUAAACCUAAUAAGUCUUGAAUUGGAAUCGUAAUUAGUAAUUUCUGAGAGAAGGGUUAAUAGCUAGUUUUGGGAUUUACGAUUGUUAAUUAGUAGGUUAAGUGAGAUCACUAGUUUUUGUAUUUGGUCAGUACGUAACUACAUAAUUAUUUUUCUACAAUAACUAUAGACAUUUGUUUCAGUACUUAUGGCAAUGCACUAUAUGUAUGAGAUAGAUAAUUCCAUUUAUAAUUUACUAUUUUGUUUCUUCAUGUUGGCUCCAUGCACUGGAUUUAUGUAGCCAUGUAGGGGUCGGAAAAUAGUAGUUAGGAUUGUUUCCAUUGGAGAUGUUCAAAUUUUAUGUGAAAUCCCGAAUUUUAUGUAAAUAAUUAAUCUAGACUAUAUAUAAUUUAUUUAUUUAUAUAUAGAUAUAUAUAUAUGUGAGUACAUGUUCGUUUUAGCAACGAAAAUAAAAGUUCUCUUAGAACUAAACAAAAGAAUUUUCAACUAAAAAAUAAUUAGAAGAAGAAUAUAAGACUUCAAAUAAACUGAAUGUUCCAAAAGUUUUUGUUAAUUUGUGUUACAAAGAAUCAAAUAGAGACCUAGUUAACAUCAUCUGUGCUAAAAAGAGAAAAAGAAAAGAAGCAGUGUUUAUUUGUGAUCAUCUUUGGUACAGAAAUUACAUAUAGCUGCAAAUUAUUGGACACUUGAUAUUAGUACAUGUUUUCUCAAGCUACAUUAGAUCAUUUUCUUUAUUUGUAAACUUGUGCUUCAUGAUUUCCUUGAGAAUUGCUGAUUUCAAAAAGCUUCCAACAAAGUUUUGCCCUAUUUCAUGUGUUGUUUUUGGAUAAAACCAUUGGAUUUAACCUACAACAUUUACACAUCAACAAAUCAGAAAAAAAUUAUAAUUACAUAUUGGAUUUUAUUUUGUCUUCUUUUCGCUAGCUGAUAGCUUGUGUGUAACAUAAAGUUACACAUGUUUUAUUGAUUCACCUAGUAGAUAGCUUGUGUGUAAAACAUGAGUGUAACACAAGGCUAGGUUACACAUGUUUUGUUGAUUCACCUAGUAGAUAGAUUGUAUGUGACACAAAGUUACACAUGUUUUACACAUCUUAACCUAUACUAAACCACACUUUUGCUUGUGUUUUGCACACUUUUGCUUGUGUUUUGCAUGUAGUUGCUGAAUGAGCAGCUUAAAACUUGGUCUCAAAUAAGAAGGGAAAGUUAUGGGGAAUCUCAAGUUUUGUUUUAUAAACUUGUUAUCUUGCUUUGAUCGAGUUGUUUAUAUUGUUGUUGAAGGUGGUUAUAUUAUGUUUAGUUUUUUAUCAAGUUAUUAUUUGAUCAUAUGUUAAAUAAGAAAUGAAUGAAGUUAUGGGGUUGAGGCUAUUACGUACUUGAAAGGGACCAGCAAUAUUUGUUUUUGUAUACAUGUAGGGAGAGAAGCCUUUCGAUGUUAUAUUGAUAAAAUGAUCUUACGGCAAGAAGACAUUGGUGACCAAUAAUAGUAGAAGAGUAUCAACAACUGAAACCUAAAAUUAUGUGCAUGCACUUAUAUUGAAAUUAUGUGCAUGAUAUUUGCUCUACCGAGUCUUUUGGCUCACCCCUCUAUGAAUUUGUGCAGAUGUUACACUUGAGGGAUAUAAAUAAUUUAAAGUGUAGGAGGAGGAAGAGUGAACAAUUAGCUUACUGUUUUGAUUCAUGACUAUGUAAUAAGGCUUAUUCAAUAAGCUUACUUUCCUGUUUGUUGUAAAAACAAGACUUAUGAAAUAAAAUUCUCUUUCACCGAGUCACUUUGAUUCUAAGUUUUCUACAUAAUUUCUAUUUGCCAAGGUUCUCUUAACUUUGACAAGUCGAAGCUAUCCACGUCUUUACCCUGAAAAAAAAAAAAUUUCUCAAUUUCUGAGUCAGGGUGUGACAUUUUAUUUCUUUUAAUUUGGAAGAUCGAUUUCUACUAGUUAACUGGUUACAUACAUACAUUAGUUUUGUAUUAAAUAUUUUAUCUUACCUAGUAAUUAACUAGCAACGUCCUGGAUUCCCUUUUGACAAGAAAAUACAUUGUUACAAACGAACUACAUUUACUCUUUUCUUAUCAUCAUUUCAUUUCAUUGCUUUUGAGAUGGAAUAAUUGACCUCAAAAUUUAGGGCCUUCAAGAACAAAGUUGUGCAUUUCAUGAUGUGAGUCUUUGAGAAAAAAAAGAAAAGAAGAAGUUAUAUAUAGUUCAUGUAAGUCGAUCGUUUAUGCAUGUUGUUCAUAUUUAUGACUAAAUUUCAGAUUUUCAUGCUCCAUAUAUUUUCUUUAGACAUGCAAAACACAAAUUUAUGAGUUUAUGAGUUCGUGUAUGUACUUUACUGUAUCACACGAUCGACUGAAAUUCACAAUUGGUCUUAAUCGUUAAUCAAGUUGAUAAUUAAGCGCGAUUGGUCGUAAUAAUUCAUAUACAGUAUGCAUGGUUCGUUUGUUAGUUGUCUGUGACUUGUGGUCGAUCAUAACAAAUCCUAGCUACUUCUAGCUCUCGCUGGCUGCGCGCUAGAGAUCUGGCAUUUUCUAUUAAAUUUUAUGCAGUUUAUAUAAGAUAAUCUUCACGUUUCUAGUGUUAUGCUUAAAUUUUUGGUGGAAUUUUGAGAAAUUUUUUUAAGACUUGGUUAGCUUGAUUCAAGUACCUGAUGAGGACCUUCCUACAGGCUACAUCAAUAUGAAUUCCUUGACUGAAGGAGAAAUUUUAAAUGUGGUGACCUAUUAGCUAGUGUCCUCCAACAAACAAGUCACUUUUAUUAUGAGAAAAUUUGUUUACGUGACUAAAAAAUUAAGUGUACGGCUUUAAAUUAAAACAGAAAAUAAAGCACGCAAUAAUCCAUCAACAAUAAAGCAUAUUAUUAGCUUCUCUCUUCUACCGACAUGAAAAAUCUAAAAAGACGACUACCACCGCAUACAAUCAAUCCAAGCUAACCGGUUACUUGCGAUAAAACAUCAUUUCCAACCCAAAUUUGAGUAGGAUCUUCUAUAUAUUCAUUCCACUUUUCAGGUUUUUACUAUACCUCAGUAAAUCAGUAAUCCUGUUCCGGCCAGGAGUUCCAAAAAUAUCAAACCAACAAAUUAACAGAUCAUUUCUCAUUCCGGUAAGGCCAUCAAGAACAAAAUAUACGCGUACGACGACUCUCUACAAAUUAUGGUGUUGUACAUGGUCAUUACUUCCAAAUACAUCGUACCUGGUCUUAUAUGGUUCUCACGAGAAAUAUGCGACAUAUAUAUUGAUGGACGAAAUAUUGUACUUCCACUUGUAAGAGAAGGAAGAACAAGUGAAAGCAACUCAUCACUAGUUUUCUUUCAUUUGGUACGUGUACAUCUAUUUAGGAAUAUUAAACUCGAUCUCACCAAAUCAAAAUAUAUAGAAUUCGGCUCUUGCCUUCUCGACAUGUUGAAGGGUUAUUAACUUCUUCUUCUCUCUCUCUCUCUAUAUACAUAUGAACAACUGAAAAUAUAGAUAUUGUCACUUAAUUUGAUCGAGUAAUGUGUAUUUGAGUAUGCAAUAUCACGAAUGUGAAGUUUUUGUUUUAAUUUCUUCUGCCAAUACGCAAAUCCAACAUGCCGCGUGCAUGAUUUCGAAUUACUGAUCACUGUUUUCCUAAACGUAAAGCCAUCACUUAGUUGAAUCAUACCUAAAUUGUUGCCUAUCUAACAAACUUCGCAAAACUUUUUUAUUUUCUGUGUGUUUGUAAUUAAUUAGGAAGAACGGAUGAGUCACUUUUCAUUGCCGCAACCAGAUGAAAGUAACGGCAUGAGCUGCUGAUAAUUGGAGUUAAACAAAACCAAAUAGUAACAAAUAUAUAUGAAGAAAAACAAACUAAUACCACAAUCUCAGAUGAGCAUGUCAUUAUGUGGUCUUUAAUUAUGUCUCAUGCUACAAGUUUGUUUUUUAAGGUACCUUAAUUACUCCAACGAAUCCUAAUUAAGCUGCUUAUGAUUUUCUCUUCCGGUUCUAAAUAGCUAGUCAGACUAUAUGCUUUAGUGUUGCGAAAGAUCUGUAUGUAGGACAGAGGUACCAUGUCGUGGUUGGUAGCGCAGACUAGCUAAUUAGUGUGCAUGCAUAUAUAAGGUGCUCUAGGUAUUCAAUUUCAUGAAGAAAAUUUAAUUUAACACUCAAAUCUUUUUAUUAUUAUUAUUGAUUGAUCGACCCUACCGUCAUGUAGUCACGCAGGUUUGCGGUACAUGAAACUUUAAAUUUCUUGAGCUUAAUUGAAGAAUUAAAUUCAGUUUACUCCCAUGAGGUUUGGGAAUAACUUCAUGUUAAUCCCUAUGCUUUCAGUUUCAUCAGUUUACCCCUCAAACUUUUGAAUUUUCCUCAAGCGUGACCAAUGUCCUAUAUUCUGUCCAAAUCGGACGUUAACUGCUGAUAAUUUUAAGAAUUAAAUUCAGUUUACCCCCUUGUGGUUUGGGGGUGACUUCAUGUUAGUCCCUACACUUUUAUUUUCAUCAGUUUACCCCUUGAACUCUUCAAUUUCUGUCUGUCAUGCCCAAAUUCUCAUAUUCCGUUUGAAUUGACCUUUAAUUAUCAGCAGUUAAGGUUCGAUUUGGACAUAUAAGGUCCGAUUUGCUCAAAUUCUAGAUACUGGCCUCACAGUUAAGGUUAAAAUUAUCAGCAGUUAACGUCCGAUUUGGACAGAAUAUAGGACAUUUGGUCACGCUUGAGGAAAAUUCAAAAGUUUGAGAGGUAAACUAAUGAAAUUGAAAGUAUAGGGAUUAACAUGAAGUUACUCCCAAACUUCAUGGGGGUAAACUGAAUUUAAUUCUAAUUUUAACCUUAACUGUGAGACUCGUAUCUAGAAUUUGGGCAAAUUGGAUAUUAUCUGUCCAAAUCGAACAUUAAUUGCUGAUAAUUAACGGUCAAUUCAAACGGAAUAUGAGAAUUUAGGCACGGCAAAUAGAAAUUGAAGAGUUCAAGGGGUAAACUGAUGAAAAUAAAAGUGUAGGGACUAACAUGAAGUCACCCCCAAACCACAAGGGGGUAAACUGAAUUUAAUUCUUAAUUGAAAGAAAUGAAACCUACCACAUGAUCUAUUGUCUUUUUUUGGAAACACAUACUAACUAUCUAUUUGAUGUUGCUUAAUCAAUUUUAGUCAAAAAGUCACCCUCAAAUAUAAAUGGUAUAAGCAAUAAUAUAGGGUUUAAGAAAUAUUGUAAAACCCACGAAAAUUAAAUUCAUUUCACUGAUCAACUAGGGUGUUAAUAGAGGAAUAUGAUGCCACAAGCUUGGCAGAGGAUGUGGAAACCUCGUCUUGAAGGGAUGGAUAGUACAAGCACUCGACAUUUGACCCAUAUUGAGGUCCAAAUCGAGUCAGUUUUGGCAAUUUGGAUCCAAACUGUUGGAGCGAUGAUUUGAAUGGCGAUAGAGAUGGCAGCAUGAAGAAAUGGGAGGACUAAUUUGGGGCACCUAUUGGGUUGUGUGCCCUUAACAUUUCUAUUUGGGCAUGGCCUACAAUGUUCACUAAGGUUUUGACCUUUGAGCUGAGUUUUAAUGGUAACGUCUUAAAGGUUGAAUUGUCUCUUAUCAUGUAAUGAAUUUUUCUAAGUGUGCCCUUAACAUUCCUAUUUAGGCAUGGCAUACAAUAUUCACUAGGGUUUUGACUUUUAAGCUGAGUUUUAAUGAUAUGAUUAAACGUCUUAAAUGUUGAAUUGUCUCUUGUCAUGUAAUAAAUUUUUCUAAGUGUGCCCUUAAUAUUUCUAUUUGGGAAUGGCGUACAAUGUUCACUAGAGUUUUGACAUUUGAGCCGAGUUUUAAUGAUAUGCUUAAAUGUCUUAAAUGUUGAAUUGUCUCUUGUCAUGUAAUGAAUUUUUCUAAGUGUGCCCUUAACAUUUCUAUAUGGGCAUGGCGUACAAUGUUCAUUAGGGUUUUGAUAUUUGAGCCGAGUUUUAAUGGUAUGUUUAAACGUCUUAAAGGUUGAAUUGUCUCUUGUCAUGUAUGUAAUGAAUUUUUCUAAGGGUAAAUCAUACAUAAUUAUCUUGCUUAUCAAUAAAUGACAUGUCAUAUGUCUUCCAAAAAAUAGUAAUGAGCUGGUACUUGACAUAGAAUUCCAGAUUUCUCAAUUUUAAUUAAGAAAUGUUGAAAACAUACCACAUGAUAUAACUGUCUUUGUUUGGAAAGCACAUACUAAAUAGCUAUUUGAUGCCUUGACCUAGUUUCUUUUCUUGAACGAGACAAGAGAUAGAGAGAUGAAGGCAAUUGAAACUUAACGCGGACGAAAAAUUAAUCAUGCCACAUGACGUAACCGGUUUUAUUGGCAAAGUACCUAUUUAAUACCUUCACCCAAUUUUCCCCCUCUUCCAUCUCAUGGACCAAACUACAUUUCAUAUUUAGCAAAAAAUAUGUGAUGGCAACAAAAGAAGUUUAUGGGUAAAAAUUUGAUGCCUAUGGUCUCAUACUUUCUCUCUCUAGCCAUUUUUUUUAUGGAAUUCUUUCUAGCUAGUUGUAUUUUUAAACGUCUAGUAGUACUUUGUAUCAAACAAAAAAACAAGUCUAAUACGUUGUAAUUUUCAUAGUCUUCAAUUCACAUGUUGUGGAUGACAUAGCAUGAUAACACCUGUGACAUUUUUGGAAGGUUUCCAAUAUUUUUCUGAACAAACGGGGGGAAAAAAAAACCAGUAAACGUAACGUAAAUUCAGCAAAACUGCUUUGGUAAUAGAAUUCCCUUUCUACCCCUAUGUGACCUCCAUGACUCCCACCACUCUUUAGCUAAUGGGUUACUUUUUCCUAACCAAGUCCCACUUGAAAACGGAGACUUGACCGAUCUGGUGGGUCGUGGAGCGCGUGACCCGGUGGCACGAGCUUCGCGCGGCUUUGUGAGAGAAAGCGAGCCACCUUUUCAGAGGUGGUGGCACCACCACUAGUGGCGGGGGUUGGUAUGUCUUUUGCCCAAUUAUCGUUCGAACCUUCUUUUUUCAGACCUCUAGAGCAGCUUUCCAAAGAAAAGAAGAAAGGUGUGCUCUAAAGCACGUGACACCCGUUCACCUUCUGUGAGGCUACUUUUGUUUUUACUGUGAGUAAAAAGUGACAAGAACGACAUGUAAAUGUUUUAAUUAUUUUUACAACAGUCUAAACCGUCGUGUUUUGACUUGAAAUUAGUUUCAAUCACAACAUUUUGUACUAACUAACAUCAUAACAAUUUGUAAUUUUCUUCAACGAAUUACUCAUCAAUUAUGAGUAAGGUGGUGUUUCUUGAGAGAGACGAGAUGAGACUCGAUCGAAAAGAAAAUGAGUGAACAUUCGCUUGAGAGGCGUGAUUCAUCAAGUCAAUUCUCCUCGACGUUUCAAGUUUUCAUGAAGUCUACGAUCCGAAAAAAUCAAAGAAAUAGUGAGAUGAUUGUCAUUAUGCAUGAACAAGCGACUCAUUGGUGAAAGGGCUUUUAUAUUUGCUUGUUGAUAUUUAAAUUAUUUGGUGUGGUGUUUCCCUUUUCAACAACCAAAUAAGCUUCCUUGUUAAACACGUCUACUAUGGUUAUUCGUCAGUUUUUUUUUGGGUCUCCUCGAAACUCUCUAUAAAUACCCAAACUCUCCGCCUUCAGAUCCUUCCCUUUCCCCCAUUCUCUUAUUUCUCUCUUUCUGUUACAUCCCGUAUCUCCCCCUCGCCAUUUUUAGGGUUUUCCAGCUAUUUUCUCGCCGAGGUUAGAAGGACACAGCUCUGCUUUCUCCCUUCCCCAUCCAUAUUUCCUUUCUGAUUCUCAUUGGUUUCUGAAAUGUCGGUCCCUCUUUUGAUUCCCAGGUUUCGGAUUCUUUCUUGAUUCAAGAUCUCGAUCGUUAGCUCUCCUGUUGGUUGAUAGAUAAAACUGAAGCCCUUCGUUUCCUAGCUAGCUCCUAAUUAAUCAGGUCAUUAUAUACUAUUUUCUCAAAUCUCUUUCAUUCGUUUGUGUCGGUAAUUUUCUUGUUACCGAUCAUAGAUAUGCAAAUGCUGUUCGGAUUUCCAGACGGAUUUGCCUGUGGAGGAAACUCCUCACGUAUUCCGUCGGUUCAUGAUCAAAAUCAAAACUAUUUGGCAUUCUUUCAUUAUGUUCUCUUCAGAUCGAUCUUUAAGCAAAAAUGGCGGACCUUUUAAAGUUUGUUGCAUGAAUGGUUGGCCCUGGAACCAUUAUUUGCUGUCGAUGUUUGCAGACAUGGUUUUGGGACCGUCCAUGAUCGUAUGCAUCUGGUUUCUGUAUGAUCAAUUAUUUUUCAUAUUUUGUGUUUGUUUUUAUGAAUAAUUAGGAGGUUUAGUCGGCGGAAUAUAUCAUGACGUAUAUGCUUAUAAGAGUGAUCAAAGAAAAUGACUCGACAGCACAGAUUGUUCUUUUACCUUAUUUUAUGAAUUUAUAAUUUGUCGGUUGCUGUAACCAAUGAAGAAAAGGAAAAGAUGUUGAUUUUCACAACGUGUAACUUCGAUUAUUUUCCUUGAUGUAACCCAUUAAAGAAAGACAAGUUCAUGGACUUUGAAUGAGAAGAUGCAUGUAUUUCUAUUUGCAUUUCUGGGUUCUAUUUGCUGUAUAUGUUAUUGAAUAAGUAACAUUCAUGAUUUGUCUUGCUAGCCAUUCUAAGCAAUCUCUUUCUUUCUGGUGGAUACUCAGAAACUAUGAACGUUCUGAUGAAUCUUUAGUUAACUUUUAUUUAUUUUUAUUUGUUUUUGGUGGGGAUCAAGUUUCUAUGUUUUGUUUGGGUAGUUGUGGUGUCUUGUCAGCACCAGAAAUUAUGUUAUCUUAAUUUUUAUUAUUGUUGUUCGACUCAAGCUAUUGUGAAGGUUAUGAGUUCUUAGAUCUACUUCAAAGUGAAAGCAACUAAAUUUAUCAAUUUUUGAAAAGAAAAAGAUAUAUUAUUAUACACUUAAGUGACCCAACACGAUCCCAAAGUGAGUCUUCAUAUUACAGAACCCUGUUGCGAUCUUCAUCCUCUAUCAUGUAAUUCAAUUAUCGGAUUUAUUCACUUCUUUGAUUAACCUGACCUGAUUGUUUUUCUUGUGACUAUAUUGUUUUCUAUAUUAGUAUAGAAUUCAAGCAUGUGAUGUGUAUCAUGUUUGGGUUUAGUUUCCUAAUUUUUGAAAUGAUUAAACACUUCUUUAGGAUGAUUUAUCACUUUAAUCACUGUAUAAUCUUGGAAUAAUUGAACUCCUAAUCUCAUAUGGUUCCACAGCAUGUUUUGGAUUAUAUCUGUGUAUAGAUGAUUUUUGAGCUAUAUGUAUAUUGAUAACGCUCCACCAAGUGCGUCUGCUAAUGGACAAAUUGUGUAAGUUUUAUAUAAAAUAAAACCAUGAAAAAAGAAAAAGAAACAAGAAAUGGCACCAUAUGUUUGUGUUCUGUAGAUAAGAAGAUAAUACACUUAUGGUUGGAAUAUUUUAAUUUAUGGGUCAUAAACAUUUCACUCCUAUUCUUUAGUUUAAUGGUUUAUAUCCUUCUGGCAGUAUAAGAGUUUGAUGUUUAAAAAGUUGGUGUAUGUUGUGCAAUCUAAUUGCAUUUCAUUCAUUUUGAGUCUUUUCCGGGUAAUCUUUUAUUUCUUCAAUAGAAGCCAUUUGUUAUUGUAUCGAUUUUUCAGCUGAGAUCUGCUGUCAAUCUUAAGGGAACAAUAGAAGAUAACAAUCUGGCUCCUUAGUUUGUUCUUUUUCGAUAUAUCUAGUUUCGAGCGUCUUAGCAAUCUGCUUAGCUUUAGAAAAUUGCUGGUUUUCAUUCGACAUCAAGUAAAUUAAUAGGAAGUUCUAUCACUUCUGUUCAGCAGUGACCAUUUUAGUUGAUUGUAAGUCAAGAAAACUUGUGUUUGUGGUAGUUUGGGUCAGAAUUCAUUGGGGUGGGGUCUUUGAAAAUAAGCUAUCAGUACUCCCUAUCUAAACUAUUGUUCUUGUCUAACCUCAUUUAAAAUCAAAUUAGGUAACAUACAUCUAAGGUGUGAAUUAGUAAACUAUGACAAGAAUCUAUGUAUUAAUUUAUGUGUGUCCCUAUUUAUCGUUCGAUACUGUCCGAUGAGUUUGACUUUGCUUGUUUUUGUGUCUGGUGUUGUAAAGUGUACAUAUGUAACCUGUGAAUUUUUAUGGGUCUAGUAAUUCCUUCUAGUAUAGUUCCUUCCUUGCAGCAUAGACUUGAAAUCUCAAUUUUUAUAUUUUUGAGCAAUGAGUUUCAAGUGCUGCCAGUCAAUUUGAACUGUGUUACGUUUAUCCCUAGUGAUUGUGAGUAAUGCAGUUGAAGCACAAAAUUUCAUUUGCAUUCAGAGAUAUUUAGCCAAUUUUUAUUGUUCUGCAGGAAGAGCUUUGACACUAUCUGUUGAUAUUUGAAAGCACAAGUCUUUUCUUCGAAGAUCUUUCUUGAUAUAUUUCUAUGAAUGCAAUGUCAUUCUGGGGAUGAGAAGGUGUGCUUCGAAUGCUUAUUCUGUUUUUGCACAUUGAUGUUCUAAAAUUGUUGAUUGUGUCUUUGCAUUUGAUACAAUAAUAUCGUCUACAGAUUUGAGCAAGCCUGUGCUUAAUGGACUGCUCACCCACUAGCUGUGACAAGAAAACAUUAAAGAGGUGGUUCUUCAUAGACAAGAGAGUCGGGUAGAAGUAUCUCAGUUUCACAGCAGAGUCUGUUUUUGACAGAGUUUCUUUCAUACCAAUCCUAUACUGUAAUUGUACCUUGUAAGAAAAACCAAUCUGGAUCCGAUGGAGUUGAAGACAAACCAUGCUGCUCCUGUUCUCACCGAUCCUGCACCUACUAUUAGUAAGUCAAGACUAGGCAUCCAUUCUAGUUUGUUGCCAUAUUCACAGCAAGGAGCACCAUUCUCUGGCAAGUAUAUCACAAUUCCAAGGAAAAAACCAGGAAAGCUUGAUGAUGUCUGGUCCAACGGUUGGCUUGAUGCCAUGAAAUCCUCUUCACCUCCCAGAAAGAAGCUCAAUAAGGAUUUCAGUGUCGAGGUUGCUUCAGAUGAUACUGAUAAUUCUUACCUCUCUUGGAUGGUAUUUUGUUGCUUCACUUUGAUUUUUUAUUUGUUUGUCAUUCCUAAUGUAUUUGCAUUUUGAACUUAUUUUCUCUGUGAUGUGCAGCUUAAGCAUCCAUCAGCACUCAAUUUUUUUGAGCGCAUUACAAAUUUUGCAAGGAACAAGAAGAUAGCGGUGUUUCUAGAUUAUGAUGGGACUCUUUCGCCCAUAGUUGAUGACCCUGAUCGUGCAUUAAUGUCUGAUGCUGUAAGAAUUGCAUCUUGUUGUAUAGGAAUUUCAAAUUUUUAUCAUCUUCUGGUUCUGAAAUCAUACAUAUUAUUGGCAGAUGCGUGACGCUGUAAGAAAUGUUGCAAAGUAUUUUCCAACUGCAAUCAUUAGUGGAAGAAACCGUGAUAAGGUAGCACUAGCAUUAGUAUUAUAUUUUGCUUUUUAUUGCUCAAAGUUAAUAUCAUCUUGUCCAGUUGUUCUUUAUAUGGUUGUCAUCAGUCUGAUCAAGCAGGGUGCUUAUGUUUCAGGUUUAUGAAUUGGUAGGACUAACAGAACUUUAUUAUGCUGGUAGUCAUGGAAUGGACAUAAUGGGUCCUGUUACUAAUACAAACAGUGUGAAUUCUACUGACAAACAGGUAAACUGUCAGUGAAGUCCUUCUGUUUACCCUUCAAGAUUAUUCUCCAUGUCAAACUGAACAAUUUCUAUUUAUUUCGAUCUUGAUAUGGUAGGGCAAGGAAGUAAAGCUUUUCCAACCUGCUAAAGAGUUUUUACCUAUGAUCGACGAGGUGAAUAUUUUUUCAUGUUUAUGGAAAAAGAUUCACAUUGACAGUGUUGACAUUCAUACCAGGAGAUUGAUUGAUUGCUGUUCUUUUGUGCAGGUUUUUAGAACCCUCGUUGAAAACACUAAGGAAAUCAAAGGCGCAAAAGUUGAAAAUCACAAGUUUUGUGCUUCUGUACAUUAUCGUAAUGUAGAUGAGAAGGUACCAAAUAACUUCUUUCAUAUAGCUCAAACAACUUAAUGUUACAGCUUACAUUUCUUACCUGUUUGGUUGGUUUUGGCUUCUCUUCUUGCUACAGAACUGGUCAACAAUUGGUCAACGUGUUCAUGAUGUCCUAAAAGACUACCCUCGUUUACGAUUAACUCAUGGGCGGAAGGUAAUCACCAGUUGCCCUUUUGUAUUAACUCCAUUCAUAGAUAGGUUCAAAUAAUUCUUUCAUCUGACAAUGACUUUUGGACUUGCUAUUCCUUGUAUUUAUUUUCCAGGUAUUAGAGGUCCGCCCUGUAAUUGACUGGAACAAGGGAAAAGCAGUUGAAUUUCUGCUUGAAUCUCUUGGUAAUAAUUCUCUUUCUGAAAUGAUAUUACAAAUUUAGCUGUGCACAGUGCAUCUAAAUGGUUCAAUAGUCCGGAUUGAAACUGACACACAAAUUCUUGUGUAGGGCUAAAUAGUAGGGAUGAUGUGCUUUCAAUAUAUAUUGGUGAUGACAGGACUGAUGAAGAUGCAUUCAAGGUACGUAAAAUCAAAUCCACAAUAACUAAAAUUGAUCAUCUUACUGUGCGACUCUUGUAACUUUCAUAGACAGUAUAUGGUACUAAGACAGCUUCUUCACUGUUUCAGGUCUUGAAGAAAGGUAACCGAGGAUAUGGAAUUUUGGUAUCUCCUACUCCGAAAGAAACCAGUGCCUUUUAUUCUCUCAGAGAACCAGCAGAGGUUUACUCUCUCAUCCAUAAAAUUCAUGCGUUGUGUGAAGGCUGAUAUCAACGGUGUGCACAUUGUCUUCAUCUGAUCUAACCGAAGAGUUGAACUUUAUUUUGCAGGUGAUGGAAUUCCUCAAGGCCUUGGUGAGCUGGAAGGAACAGGAAGAAGCCAAUUGAGCUUGAACAUGGAGCACUUAGUGAUUUGAAUAUAGUAUAGGCUUUUGGUUUUGAAUAUUGUACUCGAGAAGAACUCUCAUGCGUUUAAAAGCUGGCUGGUUUAUCAAUAGUCUCAGUUCAGUGCUUAUCAAUUAUUUCAUGUCGAUCAUUUAAGCUUACAAGAAAAGUCUUUUCGUGCUAAGAUGUUUAGUCUGAUGAAGUUAUAUAUAUCCAGGAAGACAUUGCUAAGGCAAUGUUGGCUGCUCAUUGUCGCCGUACAGUAAUCUCAGUGAAGCAUCACAUCAGAGCUUUUCAUUCAUGUUUUGCACAAGUCGCAUGCUCAAACAGCAAUCCCGCUUCUCUCGCUGUUAACUUUUAAGACGAAUGCUAGCAACUUUCUCCGUAAAAAUCCCUGAUGGUCUUAAAAUAGGUUAUGGACCUACAAGCCCAAGCUGCACACACACUGAAGGAGUGAAGGGCCCAGAUGAGUAGAUCAAAAUUCUCAAAUAACAACAACAAAUGAAGGAAGCUGACUUGACUUGGGUUAAGAUAUUAUUGUCUUUUUUGUAGCGGAGAGUACAAUACCAUAGAACUUGUUCCUAUCUCAUUCAUCUACCUUAACUCCAAAUAAUUCUUCUCCUCGUUAUCUUCAUCUAUAUUAUCCAGAUAUUAUCCGACUCCUUAUGUAAACUACUCUGAUUCCAGAUCAAGCCACAAAAAUGUACUACAGACAUAGAAAUCCUGUCUCUACAUUUGUACCAAUACAUUAAUGUAUGUACCUUAGAACCAUACAUCAAAUUAUGACAUGACCUUAUUUUAUCGAAAACAAAAUUAUUUUCCAUCCAGAAGAAAAAAAAAAGAAAAAAAAAGUAGAUCGGUGAGUGCAUAUAAAAGACACACACCGCAUCAGUAACUUGCAACUCCAACUGACUUGUUGUCGAGACCAGAGAGAGAGAAAAUGUCAGUGUCGUUGCAAUCUCCGCCUUCCUCAGCAAUCUCCUCGUCUUUGCAUUUCCAGGGAAGAAAGCUGAGCUUGUUUAAUGGAUCCAAUCUGCUCUUCACCUCCCGCCCAUCACUUCCUCUCCUUCGCGCUUCCGCUCUCGACACUGGUCACUCCUCACUCCUCUGCUCUUUUCUACUUGUUUGAUAUUGUAUUUGGGUUGCUAAGUCAAUUUGAUUUUCAGGGUCCGCUACUGAAUUGGACGCCGUGUCCAGCUUCAGUGAGAUCGUUCCUGACACCGUCAUUUUCGAUGACUUCGAGAGGUUCUUUUCACUCUUCUUUCACUCACAAACAACUAGUAUUUGAAAUUACUAUCAUUUUCUUGUUUGCAUCCAUGUUUUGUUGAAAUGUUGAUACUUUAUUUGCUUCCUUCCUUUUUGUGUUAAACUGAUCAACUAAAAAUGAUCUCGUAAAAACAUGCAUUUCCCCAAUUGAUUGAAGGUUUGGUUUACUGGUUAUCUGUAAAUAGGUUUCCUCCAACUGCUGCUACUGUGAGCUCUGCUCUACUCUUGGGUAUCUGCAGUCUUCCAGACACCAUAUUUAGAGUAAGCAUUUCUCUUCGGAAGAUGAAAUCUUGAUUGCGAAACCUGUGUUUACUUUAUAUUAGUUAGUCACUGAUGGUCUUUCAUUUGGUCUAGAAUGCUGUGGAUAUGGCGCUGGCAGAUUCCGAGUGUAAUAAGCAUGAGAAUUCCGAAUUGAAGUUGUCUUGUUUCUUUAACAAGGUCCGUUGUCUUGUAACACAAUCAUUUCGCUAUUAGCUUGAUCUUGUGGUUCAGAAUUGUGUUCUGGUUGUGUAGGCUUUAGUUAAUGUCGGUGCUGAUUUGGCAAAACUAGUUCCUGGCCGAGUGUCCACUGAGGUGGAUGCACGUCUUGCUUAUGACACACAUGGGAUUAUUAGGAAGGUACUGGCUUUUCUUUGUAACUCAACUUUUUAUUUUUGCUUUUUAGAGAUAAUGCUAAUGGAUUGGAAAUCUAUUAUGUAAUCACUGAUUGUCACGAAUGAUAUCUUGGUUGCUAGUAUAUCUCAAACAAUGAAUGCAUUCGGAAUCCUCAGAUUAUACUCAUUUCUUACUUUCUUCUUUGUAGCAGUUACUUUACAAAAUGAUAAUUUUGCCAAGGUUUGUCAAUUUGUUAUUUCAUUGAGCCCUGUCAUGGUUGGCGCUGUAGUUCUGCAAUGACAUUUCAAUAGUUUCUAACUUAAGUGGCUUUGUCAUUGGAGAACACUAUUUUGCUCUGCAACUCUCGUUUUGUUUUUUCUUUGGUCCAAGAAAAUGCAAAUUUGGAUGCAUAAUAUGUGUGAGGCAAAAAUAAUAUGGAAAUGUUGUUAUAAUUCGUAUGCUGCUUGUUGUUUUUCCCAACAUUUGCUUGUCUGCCUGUGGUGUCCCUUUCAAUUUUAUGCCACUGGAUUUUUCACUGUUGUCUGAAUGGCUGUCUGAGACAAUUGGUUUAUAAAUAUGCAGGUGCACGAUCUACUGAAGCUGUACGAUAGAGUUGAUGUUCCCCCUGAGCGUUUGCUGUUCAAAAUUCCUUCAACUUGGCAAGUAAGUAUCAGAUAAAUAGUGAAAUUUCAAGUUGCGCUUGAUAUUCUAUUGUGCAUGAAUGUAUUUAUCUUUUUGUCAACAUCACCUGUAGUUGUUGAUUUUGUAUUCAGGGAAUAGAGGCUUCUAGAUUACUAGAAUCUGAGGGCAUACAGACGCAUUUGACAUUUGUGUACAGGUAAAGGUUCUUGUAAUCAAACUGUUUUAAGCAUGACAACCAGCUUCAUAAACAUUUCUUUGUGCUUAAUUCAGAGACUUAAGAAACAAAUUAAUUUUGUGCUUUAUUACGGAUUGACGAUUGAAAGAUUAUACUUAAUUGAUCAUGAACAAAAUUUUACAAGAAAUGAUCUUUUACAGUUGUAAAGGAGGAUAAGUUUUAAUGAGAUCUUCUCUCUCUGUAUUAUAUAUAUAUAUAUAUAUAUAUAUAUAUAUCUGUGUGUGUGUGUGUAUAACACACAUACANNNNNNNNNNNNNNNNNNNNGGACCGCUUCGUGAUGAGGGUUUCGAUCAUUUUUUCUUCAGCUUUGCUCAAGCUGCAGCUGCUGCACAAGCUGGCGCUUCUGUUAUUCAGAUUUUUGUUGGGCGUCUUAGGGUAAUGUUGUAUGUCAAAUUUGUAUGCAAACUUUCUUAAUUUAAUGUUUAUUGAUUGUUAAAGGUAUAUUUAUCAUUCAGGACUGGUCUCGCAACCACUCUGGUGACCCGGAGAUAGAGGCUGCUCUCAAAAGAGGAGAGGAUCCUGGGUUGGCCCUGGUAAGUUGGAGAGUUCUCAUCUUGUGGUAUUGUACUUAUGUACUGCUGUUUUUCGCAGUCCUUAAAGGAAACAACUUGCUGUUUUUAGUUGUACAUCUCAGUUAUGAUUACUUGUCAAAUAUACAAGUGGUUUGCAUUUUGUAAGAUUUUCAACUUUUUUUUUUUCAACUUGUUUUUCCAGUUGUAGUGUCAUCUACCGAAUUCUCAACACCAUUAACAUUGACAUUUAAGCAUUCAUUGCAAAUUUUAUCCCCAUCACAUAUUGAAGUCCUCUAGGAUGGUUUUGAACUUGCUAUGUGUAGAAUUAUUCAAGUGGCCUGGUUCAAGAAACUAAAAUAAGACAGCUUCUGUUUUACUAUAAUAAUGACUACAAAACUGCUCCCAUCUGAGAUAUUUUCUGACAUUGCAGGUGACAAAGACAUAUAACUACAUUCACAAAUAUGGACACAAGUCAAAGUUGAUGGCAGCAGCAGUUCGCAAUAAGCAAGACUUAUUCAGUCUCCUAGGGUAAGUUUAUACAACUUGCUUCUUAAUAUUAUGUAGCUGGAAAUUCGCACAUAAUGAACUUAAUGAGUGACCUUCCUGCUCAUGUUCUCUGGUAUUCAUUUAGUGUCGACUACAUCAUUGCACCACUGAAGGUAUUGCAAUCACUCAAAGAAACAGUCACUACUCCUGAAGAGAAGUACUCUUUUGUCAGGAGGCUAUCUCCACAAUCUGCUGCCAAGUACAAUUUCAAUGAAGCAGAGGUCUACCUUCUUUCCUGUUCUUGUUUUUACUUUAUUUUAUUUCUCCGAUCAGGAGUUUCUCAUUAUAACCUAUUUGCUAGCUAGUGGCGAAUGAACUAUAAUAUAACUUCAAACAAUAACAUAAUGCAAUUAAAAUAUUACUAUAAGCCACGGUAGGCAACAUGAUGACUCAGUUGAACAUGCUCACCUGUUUGUUUUCUGCACUCCUAUUGGUACUUCAAUUUUGAUCUUUUAAAAGGAAGAAAAAGAAUGUAUCUUUAGAAUCUAAACGAUACCUAAUGGUUAAUGCAUCUAUUUUGUUGAGAAGAAAGACCAAGUAUGUUACUCAUGCUAAGCGUUAGUAUUUAGACUAUGUACUGUUUACAAUACUUGCCAAAUUUUGUGAUGAGCAUGUUUAGUUACCCAUGAUAAUGUCUUCAAGUUUCGAAGCGAAAGGCAAGAACUGUUUAUAAGUUCAAGCAAUAUAUGUGGUCAGCCAUCAACAUUAUUACUAGAAAUUCAUUGACUAUGGAGUUGGCAUUCCUUAAAUCUGCUAGAAACACCAACAAAAUUCCUUAUCACUACAUCUUAUAUAAAACAUAAUUUCCAUUCUGCCAUGUGGCCAGCCACCAUCUGCCUUAUCAACUCGUUAGUGUAACCUCUGACCCAAAAAGAAAAACUCAGUAGUAUAACCACUUUGAUCACCUAGCCUGCAAUCACUUCAACAGAUGUCUCAUAUUAUCUGCCUUGGUUUCCAUGAUAGUAUGAGACCACUCAAUACCUCCUUUGACAUUGUAGUAGCACCACCAUGGCACCAUUCUUGUCAUGCUGACGGCAAUAUGUAUUUCUACUCAUAGGUAGGAGGAAAUCAGAUCACAUAAGUCUAGCUAAUGUACUUAUAUUCAUCCCACAUAGGACAGAUAUGUGACGUCUUAGGGCUCCCCACUAAGAUAUUGCAUUUAUGCUCCCCACCAUAAACAUACGUGAUACUUCAUCCUUACAAACAGUGAAUUUAGUAGGCUCAAACAAGCAGUUAUUGCUCGUGUUAAUAUUAAGUACCUGAAUUAAUCUCUGGCUUCAGCCGUUCAGGAAAGGUUAUGAUUGCUUAGAGGCCUGCCAAAUUGUUUUGGUUCAAAUUGAUAGGCCUCUUUGUUGAAAUUUAUCUCCGACUGUUUAGUUUACCCAACUGAACUGGUUAAUGGACGUGGGUUGGUUGUUUUUCUUUUGUUUAACAUUUAUUAACCAAUCUUCGUCUUUUCAGCUCAUUAAGUGGGACCAAUUAACAUUUGCAUCAGCCGUGGGGCCUGCAGCCGUGGAGCUUCUGGCUGGUGGACUGGAUGGUUAUGCGAAUCAAGCAAACCGAGUUGAGGAAUUAUUUGGAAAACUUUGGCCACCUCCAAAUGUGUGAAGAGCUCUGUUAAGUUGUUCUGCGGAUCUUCCCUUCACCAGGAAUAAGAGUGAAAUGCCGGUUCGGGUCGUGCUUUUCCUUUUUCCUCUCCUCUCUUUGUAAUGUUUAUAUCCAGCAAAGACCAGAUAUCAGAAAAGUUCUUGAUUUUGUCAUAAAAGACGUGCACAGCUUAUCUGAACUUGUUAAUAGACAUGAGAUGGGCAUGCUGGUGAAGCUGUAGCUCUCAUCCUGUAACAGUGUUCACCCCUUUCCCCUUUUUGUAAAACUUGCCAUGUGGUAACAAAGAAUCAGAAAACUCCCCAGGACCCAAUGUGUGCUAUAUAUCAUUCAUCUUUUCACAGUAGCAAUACCAAAACAGGUUUCUGAAUGAUUCUCAACGACCAAUUCAACUCAUUUCAGGAUUCCAUCGAGAAGACAUUUACGGUUCUCAAUUAUUCAUGAUCGAAGACCAAUUCGGUUCUCUUGUUUGCAAUCUUGUAUUAUGGCGUUGGCUUGGUUUAUAUCUUAGGAAGUUUUUCGAUGAGUAUAUAUCUUAGGAAGUUGGAAUUAAUCUUUGUGGUGUAGAAAUGCAAGAAGAGAAAAUUAAAACUUAUCCUGUCAUGAUUCAUGACUCAUCAUGACUCAUGAGAAGGUACUAAUUAAACUCAUAUUAAUGGAGAUCGAUUUGAAUAUUUGAGAGGGCGGCCUGAUGAAUUCUUAUCUACACUCCAUUCGUAAGAAAGAAAGGAAAACAAAGGGAAUAAAAGGACGUUGGUUGGAGGUUCCAAUUUCCAAACUGUGAUUUGACAGAACUGAACAACAUGGUUAAUAAUCCAAUCCAAUAGUAUAUAUAUCCUCCAAAAGGGGACUGAUCUAUAGCUCCAUUUUGUGAUUCUGUGGAUUUGCAAAUCCCUUGUUUCUCUAUCUUCAUGGAGCCGGCCAGUUGCAUGUGGAAGACUCUAGCUCCAGCAUCUCAGCAUAUGGGGGUCGGCACUUGCAUGUGGAAACAUGCACAAACCUCAACAAUGCCAAUCAGUUAAUCAUGCAGCAAACUAAUUAGAAAACUACAAAAGGGUUGCGUUCUGGUUUAGGUUGCUUGUGUAUUUAUUCAUUUUGUUUUUUGCACAACAAUGCAUCAUUAUUAGUGGAAGACAAAACUCUAUAAUGAGGAUUUGAUAUUGGCCAAGGAGAACAAUGAUAUUAAGCAAAGCUGCCGAGUCACCAUGUUAGGGCCAAUAAUGAAACCUAAUAUAUGUGGAUAUAUAUAUAUAGACCACGGAUCGAUGAUCCUACUUGGUAUAAUUUGGUAUUUUCUAAUUUGUAAUCAACAGUUUAGCAGAUGUCGCCUUCUAAAUCCACGUACAUCUGAAUCACCAAGAGCCUUGUUAAGUUGAACUGCUCAACCAGGUCUUUUGUGGAGCUGAUAGUAAACCUACAAUAUGGGUGAGCCAUCGCUCUUAUUAGUUUGGCUCUUGUUGAUCGAGUCUUGUAUAUGUCAAAUUUGAGAAAAAGGAAAGACGAUACGACUACGUUACAUACAUCCUCCAUGCCAUGCCAGCAGACUUAUAAUUAACACAUGGCAUUUCUGUUACCUUGACGUACAGCCUCACGUUAAUCAUUCCUUAAUUAAGAACAAAAUGUUAAAUGCCAUUUCCAUUCAAGCUCAAAAGUUCAUGAAUUAAUAUUAAAAUUUCCUUACAAAUUUAUGAUGAUAGGACAAGAGAGCAGCUUACCCACCAGACUCGCAAAGCCAGCUUCAAACCCUGUUGUCCACUUCUUCAGCAAACCAGAAAUUUCUUUGUCCACUUGUGUCCCCUCCCCAUGCCAGUUUUCAAAACCUAAAUUACCUUAAUCUUCCUCGUGCUUUAUAUACAUGGAACACAUGCACCUUGUCUGAAACUCUGACCCCCCAACUCAUUUGGAAGGAUACGAAAUCCAGGAACUAGCCAGUAUAAAACAACCCCAUUACUCUCUCGUUUCAGAUCAAAAUACUUGUAAUAACCUAAGGCCAGCUGAAUCCCCCAUGGCAGACAGAAGGCCUUUGCUUCCGUCCGACCCCGAUGCCCUUCCCACAGCCUACGCCGGAUCCUCCUCCUCUCCGGAGAUCCGGCGGAUACACGUGAAGGAGGUCCUGGCGAUGUUCGCCGGGGUUGUGAUGGUUUCUUUGUUGGUGGUCAUUAUAGGGAAUACUGGUCAUGAUCAGGAGGCCGGGAAUGCCAGCCACCACCGGAACUACAUGCCUGAUAAGCCAAUGCCAUUGACUUCGUCUUCGCCGACCAAUGAGACUGCGACCAUACCAGACAAGUUGCAGGCGGUGUCACGUGGCAUGGCGGCCGGAGUGUCGGAGAAGUCGAGCCGGUUGUACAGCAGCGGCUUCGGGGCAGGCACGCCGGUGUAUCCGUGGAACAAUAGCAUGUUGUCGUGGCAGAGGACUGCCUUCCAUUUUCAGCCGGAGAAGAAUUGGAUGAAUGGUAUGCAUAUGUUUGCAUUUACUCUUCUUUAAUCUGUAGGUUAUUUGAAUACUCAGAUUUCGAUUCAGCUAACUCCAAGAUAGAUACAUUGAACUACAUAAUUCUCCUAAUGCCGGCUCUAGCCAGAACACAACUCCUUAAUCUCUUCCUUCUUUUUUUUUUCCCCUGAUCUUUCACAAUUUUUCAUUUAUUGAGAGGCCUAGACAAAAUGAUUUGCUUGUAUUGAAUUUUUAAGUUAUGGGCCAAAAAUGAGAUGUAUGUGUUGAUUUGAAGCAUGUGGGUGGCAUAAAGGAAGACAUUUGUACUUGGUUUUUCUUCACUAUUUGGUUGCAAAAAGAUUAUUUCUUCAUUUUCUUGUGGGGGUCGUGAACAAAGUGAUUCUACUUUUCAAAUUUUCAAGAUGUCUAUCCCAUACUCUGUCUAAUACUUUUACAUUUUAUUUCUGAGUUUCUUGUUACGUAAUACUAAAAUAACAUUACUUUAAUUUUCAUGUUAAGAUGAGAUUUCGUGAUUUUUAAGUAUUCAAUAAUAUAAAAUUAGUAGAGAGACGAUCGCAUUUUAUUUGAAAAGAAAAACAACUAUUCAAUCCAAAAUUCAUUUGGUCUAUUCCUUAUAUAUAUGCAAACGUUCUUAUCCUUUAUUUCUAAAAAGAGAAGUGUAUACGUUCCAAAUUAUCAACCUUAGUACGUACUUGACUCAUGUUAACAAUAAAAUGAUGUAAUUGUCUACCUAUGACCAAAACUUGUGGUGCCAAAGAAUUGUCACCGAAAAAACUUAUUCGUAAGAAAAGUAUUAUUGGUGACUAACUAAUACAAACGUACCCACCUUAAAAUGAUGGCUUUGACUGCAAGUAAACUAAUCAAAUGCAUAUAUACGUACGUGAUACAAUUUUCAAACACGCGCGUUCUUUUGCGUGAAUAGAUUACUUUCUUCAUUUUAUUUUAUUUAUUGAAUUUCAAUUGUUUAAUUUCUACAUUAUUGAUUUUGGUUGUUUCCUGUGCCUUGUCCUUUUCAUUUGCAAUGCUCUGAUUCGGGAAUCCUCUUCUUGCUGCUUCAGAUCCCAACGGUAAGCCAAAGUUUCAGUUUUCUUAAUUGUUUCGUUACUCAAUAAUUUUUGUCUUUGCGUUUUUAUUUUAUCGUGUGUGUACGUAUGAAAUUAUAGUUUACCAAGUCUCGAAAUAAAACUUGAUUGAUGUGGACAGUUGAUUACAGUUUGUAACUUGUUAAUUUGCAUCAAAUUUUGGUAAACAGGUCCAUUAUUCUACAAGGGUUGGUACCAUUUUUUCUACCAGUACAAUCCCAAAGGUGCAGUUUGGGGAAACAUAGUAUGGGGUCAUGCAGUAUCCAGAGACUUGAUCCAUUGGCUUCACCUUCCUCUAGCAAUGGUAGCUGAUCAAUGGUAUGACAUCAAUGGAGUCUGGACUGGCUCUGCUACAAUUCUCCCCAAUGGCCAAAUUGUCAUGCUCUACACUGGUUCAACCAACGAGUCCGUCCAGGUCCAAUGUCUUGCAUACCCUGCUGACCACAAUGACCCUCUCCUCACCAAGUGGAUCAAGUACUCCGGCAACCCGGUUCUAUUCCCCCCUCCCGGGAUCGGAAUCAAGGACUUCCGGGACCCGACCACCGCUUGGUACACCAAAGAAGGCAAAUGGAGGAUCACAAUCGGGUCCAAGGUUAACAAAACUGGUAUAUCUUUAGUUUAUGACACCAAGGACUUUAUUAAGUAUGAGCAGCUUGAUGGUGUGCUUCAUGCUGUGCCUGGUACUGGAAUGUGGGAAUGCAUUGAUUUUUAUCCGGUGUCGAAAACUAGUGACAAGGGGCUGGACACUUCUGAGAAUGGUGCUGAUGUGAAGCAUGUGAUAAAGACUAGCCUUGAUGAUGAUAGGAAUGAUUACUAUGCAUUGGGGAGUUAUAACGAGCAGACUGGAAAAUGGGUUCCUGAUAAUCCAAACAUUGAUGUUGGGAUUGGGAUUAGGUAUGAUUAUGGGAAAUUCUAUGCUUCCAAGACCUUCUAUGAUCAGAACAAGCAGAGAAGGGUGUUGUGGGGAUGGAUUGGAGAGUCUGAUAGUGAAAAUGCUGAUGUCCAGAAGGGUUGGGCAUCUCUUCAGGUACGUACACUGGUUUCAUUUCAUUCCAUCUCUUCUAGUACCAUAAGGCGUUUAUAUAUGUUCCAAGACUCGGCUUAAUGCGACUUGAAAAUUCACAGACUUGCCACAUAGGCCUAAACUGUCUAGUAACAGAACAUUUCCCUUUAGUUUUACGUACUCUUUUGCUUUGGUGUUUCAUUCUCUUCGAUCUUAUCUCUGAUUGUACAAUGUUUCUGGAAUGAUUUUGAACAGGGAAUUCCAAGAACAGUGUUGUUUGAUCAAAAGACUGGUAGCAAUCUACUUCAAUGGCCAGUGGAGGAGAUUGAGAAAUUGAGAUUGAAUAUGAACAACUUCGACAGAGUACAAGUCAAGGCAGGGUCAGUGGUGCCACUUGACGUUGGCACAGCCACACAGGUCUGCAUUCUGUAUGCUGUUCUUAAGUUCAUAUCACCAUUUGUGGGAAACUAUUUCUUGGCUGAAAUUCUGAUUGGCAUGAAUGUUACAGUUGGACAUCGUCGCAGAGUUUGAGUUGGAUCAGACGGUUUUAGAGAGCACAGCUGAAUCUAACGAGGAAUUCAGUUGCCAAACUAGUGGUGGAGCUGGCAAACGCGGCGCAUUGGGACCCUUUGGUCUUCUUGUUCUUGCGGAUGACGGCCUCACUGAGCGCACUCCUGUCUACUUUUAUGUUGUCAAGGGAUCUGGUGGCACUGUCAAUACCUACUUCUGUGCUGAUCAAACAAGGUGCGUAUUAAGUUUUCCAUGGUACUUAAUAUCGUGCAUGUUAUGUUAUUAGAUUAUGAAUUUAUGAAUCACCGAAUCAAAACCUUCAAAACACGAUCGUCCCACCUAAUAAAUUGUUUAGAUUCAUAGUUUGACAAUAUAACGUAUGAGGAUGCAUGAUUUGAUAUUAGUUGGUUACUUGGUUGUACGUAAUGUUGAAUUGCACGCUGAACUAAAUAUGUUUUCUCUCUGUAUUAUAGGUCUACUGUGGCAAAUGAUGUUGUUAAACAAGUUAGUGGUAGCUAUGUUCCAGUGCUGAAAGGUGAAAAGCUGUCUGUGAGAAUACUGGUAAGUGGAUUGAACUAUGGAUAAUAGAAUCAUCAAAUUUAUGACCUUGGCUCACUUCCAUUCAAUCAUAUAUGUAUUCCAGGUUGAUCAUUCGAUCAUUGACAGCUUUGCUCAAGGUGGACGAACAACGAUAACAACGCGCGUUUACCCAACUCAAGCAAUUUAUGGAGCUGCAAGGCUUUUCUUGUUCAACAAUGCUACUGAGACCAGUGUUACUGCCUCACUCCAGGUAUGGCAGAUGAACUCUGCCUUCAUACGCCCAUUUUCACCUGAUGCAGCAAGCCAUGCAAGCUUCACCCCUGUCACAAUAUUCAUCAAUUUCAUCGUCCCAUUCGGACUAUUUUUAACUUUAUAUUUUGUAAGAUAAGAAAGAUAAUUGAUUUGGUCCGCGGAUGGUAGUAUGGAAACAUUAAUUCUUUUUGUCGAAGAGUUCAGUACCAGUUUCUGCAAUUUGAUUCUUAAUUUGAUCCCAAUAGAGUUCAAAAGCGUACUGAUCCUUCUCUACAAGUGUUUAAGCUAUUUCUAGUUACAUAUACUUAGCCAAAAAGAAAGAAGCAUGCAGAGACGAUGAAAGUUAAUGACUGGUUAAGCAAUACAUCAUUAUAAGCUAGACCAGUGUUACUAUAUAUAAUAUUCCAUCUGAACUAUAGUGAUCGUUCACAGUCGGCUCAUUAAGAUUUCAUAUAUUCGGAUCCUGUUAAAUUGUGAGCAGGAUUUUUACUAGCUAUAGAACGAUUCAUGCAUGAGAAUGCCGUCUUGUGGCUAUAGAUCGAUGGAACCCCUUCUAGCGAGGACCUUUAAGUUAAGGACUUGGUGAGGACUUUUCGGCUUAUCCCACCUUUCGAUCUUAUAUCCACAUCUUGACCGUUCAGUUUAUAGGUAUUUAUGAGUGGAUCAUUUCUUCAAAUUUUCAGCUAUAUUGAAAAUUAUUAAGACAUUCAUAAGUGUGAUUUAUCAAUUAUGAACUUGAACGGUUCAUAUUUGACAGAUUUGGUUCGUCCAUUAAUUUGAUAUAGUUUGUUAUCUUAACGAACACUAAUUUGGGGGAAAAUUUGUAGAAAUGAUCUACUCAUAUAAACCUAAAAACUGAACGGAUGAGAUGUCAAAAUGUAAUCGAAAAUUGGGUCUUUUAAACCAUAAACUGAAAAGUCCUCACCAAGUUCUCAACUUAAGGGUCCUCACUAAAAGGGCUCCCAUAAAUCGAUUAUUCUUUCUAAAAAGUUCUCACUUGAUUGAGUGAUUUCACCUUUCCCCCCAAUAGGGGUACUGUACCCCAAAAAAUAGUCAUAUUAUUGAUAGGGCCAGUUCAGAUCAAAUGUCACAGCUGGACUUCACAUUUUGCCCAUUAUGCAUGUCAUAAUAAUUCAUACCCACCCAAACAACUUUGUCUGUUCAAUUAGUAAUAAGCUACUCUCGCCAAAAAAAAAAAAAAAAUUAAGUAAUAAGCUACACUAUGCAUGCCGACUCCAAUGCAUCAUUCUGGUUGGGGCAAUGUCCCUUGAUCAAUCGUAUCAUCGUUCCAAUUAAGUAACCAGUACUGGAGCUUUUAUAUUGUUAUGUUUUUGGUACAUAUAUAAUUGUGCGUUGAUUUGUUAAGACUAAUUAAGCUUGCAUGCAUGAUCGAUGGACGACUAUAUAGAUUUGAUCGAAUCAUGUACGUCGACAAAGACAACCCCCCCAGCAAAACGUAUUGAAAUGAUGACAUUCCUUGCGCAAGUUGAAGUUGUAUUGAAUACCUCCGGCCAUGGCCAACACAAUCAAGCUAUAGCUAGCUAGCUUGAAAGCUUUCUUGCUUGUCUAAUAGUACUCUUUGGAGAAGGAAGGAACUGCGUGCCGGUAAAAUUGGUUGUUCUUGGUCCCCUCCUCUCUGGAAUCGUUUGGCCUCGCGAUCAAUCUGUUUAUGCUUUCUCUCGUUCUCCAUCCAGCUUAGCUAUACGCCUAUAUCUGAGCUAGCUUAAAGAUUCUCAAUGUUAGGGUUGGCAAAAGUACUCAUGAUAUCGGUACCAUUAUAUAUGAUAUAUCGGUUUCCAACCAAGGAGGGAGAGAGAUUGAGGAUUUUGACUAGCUAAUAGCUAUUAGAGUAUUUUUACCAACACUAAUCUCAUGGACUACAUAGUUUUUCUCUAGCUCGUUCUUGCAUGUAUAUACCGAAACACAGAAUUGGUUUAGUAGCUGGCGAUAAGAAUUCUUAGUUACUUACAGAUAUCAAGCAUCUGUAUUGGGCAACUCCUUAACUAAAGUUGAGCCAACCUUUUAGCUAGCUAAUCAAACCCACCCAAUACCAAAUGCAUGAAUAAACGACAUGGUGGGGAAACCAUGCACAUGUUAGCAUGUAUGCUUGAGCAUGCAACAACAACUAUUUCACCAUGAUAAAAGGCAUAUAUAGUGCUUUUCAAAAAGAAGAAGAAGAAGCAUAUAGUGGUAUUAAGGAAUUCAUAAACCAUAAGCAUUAGUGAAUUUUGUAGAUUCCAAUCCAAGGCAAGAAAACCUAAAAACAGAAAAAAGAGGGGAAAUUAUGAAGUGGAUCCAUGAUAAAAGGUGCUUCACGGGCCAGGGCCUUUAGCAGUGCCCGGCCUAAUAAGACCCCCCAGCCACAAGGCGUACCACCCUAGCUACCACCCUUUUUUUUUUUUUAAGCAUAUUAUGUCAUCAUGUCUCCUCCGGUAGUCCGGUGGGGUGGCCCUGCUAGUGUUUAUCCACUCCGCCUCGAUCUCACUAAACAAGUAAACAGUCAAAAUCCAGUCACUCCCUGUGUAUGGCAUCUCGAGGUAAAACCAGUGGACGUAUUUUAGAUUUUGUUAUAUUCAUUAAAUUAGACUUGGUCCCCUAUAUAUACAUUAGUUUGUUUGUUAAUUAGUUGCGUAAAGAAUGAUCAUAAUCUACCUGUUAAUCUCACUCACUCAUGAGAGCAAAAUGUUAUUUUAACUGUUGUACACAUGUAAUCAUAACUCACAAGUUCAUAACCAAAGGAUACUCUUUGAAGAGUUGAAGGGCAAACCCAGAAAUGAAGAAUCAAAUGUUACCUAGCCUGCGCUCUAAUCCAACCAUCGCCAAUAUAUAUAUAUAUAUAUAUAUGCCUUUGGGGUCCCCUAUUAUGGGCAGUGCCUCACGGCUGGCAAUCAUGUGGCGCUUUCAUAGAGAUCUGAACGUUGCAACACCCUGUUAUUAUUUAUUGUUCUUUUUCCUAUAUUUAUCUCUUUCAAUUCGGCUAUUCCUUUCAUCUCUUCCGAAUCCAGACGACAACAGUAGUCGUAGUAGUAGUCAAAUAAAACCAAACCCCCCUCGCGUGGGACUAAUGUUUCUUUUUGGCUCCAAUGGCUCUCAUGAACUGGCUAUUGGCUGUCACUCCCCUCUUUCUGUCUCUGAAAAUGUUUUUUUUAUCUCUCACUGUGUUCAUGAAUGGUGACCGGUCACCGACAAAAGCUUAGCUAGUUUUGCUUGGAUCAGACCUCAAACCCAACCAACCAUUGUUUCCUAUUCUUUUUUUCCAUAAUUAGGCCAAGAAAAAUACCACUCUAUACUCUAUACAAUAGAAGAAAGUGUCAAAGAAAAAGAGCCGUUUUUCUGUCUCUCACACACUCUCUCUACUUCCAGAGCUUCUGGUUCUGUUCUCUUCUUUUUCCUCUCUUUCCUUCUUUGAUUCUUUCUGAUAAUGUAAACAAAAGAAGGGAAAAGAAAUUGGCUUUAGAGUUUUGUGAUACACAUUGUAAAAGUCUUUGGGGGAGUGAGAGAGAGAGAGAGAUGGCUUUCAAGAGCUUUUUCACUCUGUUUCUCAUCCACAUUUGCUUCUUUGCGAGCUUGAGUUACGCUGAAGAUCCGACCUUUUACCACGAUUUUGUGGUCUCUUACAUCACUGCUUCUCCUCUUGGUGUUCCUCAACAGGUUUGCUUUCUCUCUCUACCUUGUUUCUUCUGGGUUCUAGCUGCUUUCUAGCUUGUUUCUUCACUUUUUCCAGCUACUGAUGACUAAAUGACAGAUGGGUUAGCUUUAGAUUUCAUAAAAUUUGAAUCUUUAGCUCCAGAUCUGCUGAAUGUACUUGUAUUUUGAAACUCUGAGCUUAGAGUGCUAGUUCUAAGCUUAUAGUGAUGUCAAGUAGGGAGCUUUUGAGGCGGCUUCUAGUGAUUGAUUCUAAAUCUGCAUUACUUUGCAGGUUAUUGCCAUUAAUGGAAAGUUUCCUGGUCCUGGUAUAAACGUGACUACUAACAACAAUGUCGUUGUCAAUGUUCGGAACAAAUUGGACGAGAAUCUACUGUUUACUUGGUAAGAUUUACUGUAAAGUGCUCAUGGUUUUCAAUCAGACACAUUGUUGUUAUAUAUGGAUUGGGUUUCUGAAACUGGAUUUUGUGUUAUAGGGCCGGAAUUCAGCAGCGGCGUAGUUCAUGGCAGGAUGGAGUUCUUGGAACCAAUUGUCCAAUUCCCCCAAAGUGGAAUUGGACUUAUAAUUUUCAGGUUAAGGAUCAAAUUGGGAGCUUCUUUUACUUCCCAUCUCUUAAUCUCCAGAGAGCAUCUGGAGGGUAUGGUGGGUUUAUUAUAAAUAACCGGGCCGUAAUUCCCAUUCCGUUCGCAACCCCGGAUGGGGAUAUAACCAUUUUGAUUGGUGAUUGGUACACAAAAAACCAUACGGUGAGUACUCGGUGAAAUUCUCAACUGCUUGUUAAGUACAUAUUUGAGAUUUGGUAGAGUAACACACUUGAUGAUGAUGGUUCCUUCUUUAAAUGUAGGCUUUGAGGAAGACCCUUGAUGCAGGGAAAGACCUUGGAAUACCGGAUGGUGUUCUCAUCAAUGGGAAAGGCCCUUACCAAUACAACACUACACUUGUCCCGGAUGGCAUUGAUUACGAAACAAUUGAUGUACACCCAGGUGAGUAUUAGCCAAUUAUUUAUAUAUCUGUAAAUUAAGCAAUGCAGUAAUUUUGGGAAUGCUUAAUUUGGAUUUGUUCUGCGCAUGGCAUUGAUCAUAUUCGUCUUGAGAGCCAGAUGCGUAUGGUUUCCUAUCAUGCUAGCAUUUUGAGUUUAUUUGAGCGUAGAGAUUCAGCUCACAAGCAACACUUCAAACCAUUUCUGGAUAAGUAAUUAAUUUAAGCGAGUCAGAGUAAUGUUCCAUACAACUGACAUGACUUAUCUGUCCAUCAGCUUUGCUUUAUCGGUUGAUUGGCAUUAGCAUGUGAGAUCAAUGACCCUGGUUUCAGAAGGGAAAGCUUAAGUCCCGGCUUAUUACUCAUAUUUAGGUGUUUUGGUGGAAGACGACUUAUGACUUUAAAUCUAUGAUCUUUGCAGCUGUUAUUUGUAUUAUAGCACUAAUUGUAGCAAAAUGAUUCUUGAAAGUCAUAUCUGUGCAUAAAGAGUUGCCAAGUCAUUUCACAUGUCAAUAUUUAUUGUAUACAAGGAAAUUUCUGUGGUUAGUUCCCCAAACUUCAAAUUACAACGAUGUGAUUUUGAUCAGGGAAAACUUACCGUCUUCGCGUACACAACGUUGGAGUGUCGACUACUCUAAAUUUCAGGAUUCAGAACCACAAUUUGCUUCUAGCAGAGUCGGAGGGAUCAUAUACAGUGCAACAGAACUAUACGAGCUUAGAUAUACAUGUCGGACAAUCUUAUUCAUUUCUGUUAACAACGGAUCAGAAUGCUAGUAGUGAUUAUUAUAUUGUAGCAAGUGCUAGAUUUGUGAACGAGUCACAUUGGAAAAAAGUUACUGGAGUUGGAAUCCUGCGUUAUUCUAACUCCAAAGGAAAGGCAGCUGGUCCCCUACCACCACCACCAAGUGACGAAUUUGACAAAACCUUCUCGAUGAACCAGGCCAGAUCCAUCAGGUGUGUUCUUUGUUAAUCUUUUAGAUUCUCUUUACUAUCUUUUAUAUAUUGUAUUUAGAUUAUUCAGCAACAAUUUCCUGACUUUGUCAUCCAUAUAAACCUAUUCUGAAAAUUUGCCAACUUUUGUAGAUGGAAUGUAUCAGCCAGUGGUGCACGUCCUAAUCCACAGGGGUCUUUUAGAUACGGCUCCAUCAAUGUAACUGAUGUUUAUGUGUUGAAAAACAAGCCACCAGUAAUGAUCAAUGGGAAACGCCGAACAACUCUAAGUGGAAACUCAUUUGUAAAUCCUGCCACACCUAUCCGGCUAGCUGACCAGUACAAAUUGAAGGGUGUUUAUAAGCUUGACUUCCCAAAAAGGCCGCUUACUGGAGCACCCAGGAUGGAAACAUCUGUGAUUAAUGGAACAUUUAGAGGAUUUAUUGAAAUCAUACUUCAGAACAAUGACACCAAGAUGCAGAGUUACCAUGUGGAUGGAUAUGCAUUUUUUGUUGUCGGGUAGGAGUUCCUUGAAGUUUAUUGUAUAAAACAUGCGUAUGGUAGUGUUUUAUAUACCUCUCAGUGCCUUUAACAUGCAAUGAUUAAUUGCAGGAUGGAUUAUGGUGAGUGGACAGAGAAUAGCAGGGGGACAUAUAAUAAGUGGGAUGGAAUAGCCCGUUCUACAAUACAGGUAUGGUUGUUACAUAACCAACUGGUUUAUUCAUAGUUAGUUCCUCCCUUAAACCUCACCUAGUUUUUAGGUAAGCAUUUACUUCCUAAUUGUGAUACUUGUUUCAUAGUUAGUUCCUCCCUUAAACCUCACCUAGUUUUUAGGUAAGCAUUUACUUCCUAAUUGUGAUACUUGUCAGUUGGGACAUUUUUUUCCCUUCACUCAGAUCAGCUAUCAAAGAAGUAUGUUCUUUGCAAACCCUCAAAUGAAGACACAGAACAGUUCUAUUUUCCUCAUUAUAUGGCCUAGCACUAUAUUGCUGAGCACUUGGUCAUUACAGAGACUUUAAAUAUGAACUAGUAUAGGUGUAUAGUAGUAGCAAAGCUAUGCAAACUUUGCGACAUUUAUUUCAUAUUCACUGCUAAUACUGUAAAUAUUGGUAUUACUGUAUCAGAAUGAGUUCUCUCACUCCUAUUUGUGUAUGUGUUUAGGUUUAUCCUGGGGCGUGGUCAGCAAUUUUGAUUUCUCUGGACAAUGUUGGAAUCUGGAACAUUAGAGCUGAAAAUCUUGACUCAUGGUAUCUCGGCCAAGAAACUUAUAUCAAGGUUGUGAAUCCAGAACCGACUAACAAAACUGAGCUUCCCAUACCAGACAAUGCCCUAUUUUGUGGUGCUCUAAGCAAAUUGCAAAAGUAUGUCCCCACCCAUAAUAGUACUAAACCUUCUCAAGUCGUUAAUGUGUGACAGCAACUAAUAACUACUUAUGAUUCCUCUUUUCAGGCCUGAAGAUAUCUCUUCGGCAGCAUCACUCACUAUUGUUCAAUCAAAGGUGUUCACUCUGCUGAUGAUCAUAUGCACUUUAAUUCCCAUUUUCCACUAAAGGGUUCGGCUUUUCUGAGGGGGACUGUAUGUUUGUUGGAGCCUAGGUUCUUAGUGAGAGGUUUGUGGUUGGGUGUUUAGGUUUUGAUAUUAGGCUUGUUGAUAUCUUCAGUGAGUUUGACAUUCUUUUCUUCUUUGUACGUUCCAUGAUUCCUUUAAUUGAUCGGGAUUUAUGGCUCCAUGGCUCCUUUAAUUGAUCGGGAUUUAUGAUUCUUUUAUUAUCAAGAACCCAUGUACUGUUUGACAAUCAAUCAAUUCAUCAAUUCAAUUCAAUGCCACUUCCUACCCUUUGAUCCAAUUUCUGUAAAAUGAAUUUCUGAGACAGAAGACGAAGUUUUUGGCUUUGCUGUCACGGGGUCUGAUAUUUUGUCAAGGUUUUUAUGUUUUGUGGUCCUGGAGAUUUUGGUCGAAAAAAUGCAUCUUUCAAUGAAGGAUACAGGCAAAAAGAUAACAAGGAGGCUGAAUGUUAUUUAUUGUCUCCAGUAAGGUACAUACAGAGACCUGUAUAUAUGAACAAAAUUGCCAUUCAAUGCAGCGAAGUGCCGGUUUCAACUACAAGACCCAAAAGGUGGUAUAACCAGAGUCCAAGCAUUUGGUUGGUUUUUUUUUUUUUUGGUAACAUUCAACCAAGCACCGUUGCAAUGAGUCCUCAAAUUUUCACAACUAUCCAAGAUAGAAUUCAGAUGACAUCUUAAAGGCUGCAAGGUCCUGAAUGAGUUGUAUAGACUCCGGUGGUGCUUCAGCUUCUUUCAAAUCAGAGUUGCAACCCCAAACACGAAUUGCAAGUCUCCGACACUUGGGAGAUGAUGGUUGCAAGUAGGUUUUGUAGAAGUUAAUAAUGUCCUCCUUCUGAAGGCUUCUGACCUCUUCAGCUACCCUUUUUGGCCAGUCAUAUGUAUACCUGUAGAUCAAACAUUUAUCAGACAGUGUUGAAGCACAAGCAUUACAGAUCUCAAGGCAUGACAUUCUUAGAUCAACCUGACUAGUAGAGAUCAUGUAUACAGAGUACCUUUUAUUGGUAAUUUCCUCCCAAAGCCUAGACGUUUCAUGUCCGAGUGUUUCAUCUCUUUCCAAUAGAUUUGCUAUUAGUCCAUCUUUAUAAUUCUCAAAGGAAUCAUCAUCCAGUCCGUGCUGCAAAUGGCAACAACAAUGCAGAAUCAAUAAUAAUGAAAUAUUGUAUUAUUGUUUGAGAAUGCACAAUUUAGAAAACUAAACAUGAUGAAAUCAGAUUCAUACCCACACACUAGAGAUCCCUUGUAUAUGUUUCAUUAUGGAACCUCUAGUUGUGUGGAUAUUACAUUGGUGUAAAAUGGUUAAUGUAUACAUAGUACAGAACAGUUAAUAAUCUUACUCACGAAUUGGGGAAAACCUUAAACUAGUAUUAUCGUAGCAGCAUCCGGAAGGAACCUAGAUUGCUUUUUUUUUUUCUUCGGACAAUAAGGAGCCUUGAAUGCUUACCAACAAUAGAUCCACACCAUUUAUAAAGUUGUCAACUCUCCCUUGCAAGUAGAUUGGGUUGUGCUCAGACGACUCAACACAGAAAACAAAGCCAUAUACACGACAUAUUUCUCGCAGGCCACACCAAACAACAUAACCAAGCUGCUCCUUCGUCCUAUUUCAAGAAACACAAUGGCAGUUCUAAAAAUAUAAGUCUAAAAUAAUCAUCUGGCCCCAAAUAAAAUUAUAUUAUCAGAACAGAUUCUUUAGCUAGUCAGAAUGCAAGCAAUACUUUCAGCCUCAAACAAAUACCUUAGCUGAUCGUAAAGUGGUUCGUCUACAAUUUUCAUAAAAAGUUUUGCCAAUGCUCUCAAUCUGGUGGACUCGAUCUCAAUUUGAAAAUAUAACUGCAAUGUGAAAACAAAACAAAUGGGAGACCAACAAGAGGUACAUUUAUGAUUUUAUGGAUAGAAAACCAAGAAAAUAUAUCCACUUUAAUUACCUCAAUGACAGAGUUUGUUUCAGAAUUAUUCUUCACACAGGCUUCUCUAACGAGGUUAGCAGAAGGAGGAAGGCACAUACAAUGAUCCUUAUGCCUCAAUUCGAUAGGAAGUGGUUCCACAGUAAAAUUGGUUUUAAAUAUAUUGGAAAGGUGAAGUGCCUCUUCUUCUACCAGAUUUCCAUGACAAAAGCCUUCAAUGUAAAGCUGUGCAUAUAGAGGAGAGAGGAAGUUGAAAUCAUUCUAAUUAUUUACAGAAAUUCUCCAAAUAAUAUAACAAUUAUUAAAUUCACAUUUGAUAGCUAGUCUCCAAUUCUUUCACUAGGCAUGAAAGUGGAAGAAAUGGGAGUCAAUAAGUCAGAAUCAGACAAACUGGUCAUAUGUGUAUAGUAUAUACCUGGGAACAAAGCUCGGGAAUAAACAACUUCAUAUCAGAAACAGACAAACUGUUCAAAACUUGCAACUCUUCAUCUACAUCAUAAUAUUUAUGGUACAAAACUUGACGUCUCAAAUAUGAAGAGUGACUCUGAGGAUCCAUAUUAGUGUUCUUUAACAUUCUCUCCAUUCUUUCUCUGAUAACCUGUUAUGUGUUACUUUGUCAUAAGUCAUAACCCAGCCAUAACCUAACAAGGUAUUCUCAUUUGUAUACAUAAUCAAACUUGAACCAGACAUAGAGUGGACUGCAGACAUAAUGUAUUCCGGCAUACCUCGAAACGAUCAUAUGUUGGCAAGAAGUUUCUGGUCACUGUCAGAAUUUUUGACAAUAAAGCUGGAAGCUUAUCGUUGAAACCGUAAACCUUCAACUCCAUAAAGUCGUUAGAUCCAUUUACAUGAGUUCCCAGCCCGGCAACAUUGGCCUACACGCAGAGAAUAAAGGAUCCAUCAUUGUAUAGAUCCUAAAUCAUUUUUGUUCUAGAACAUAGUUGCUGAGAACAGAAUGACUAAUAUUGACCAAUAAAUUAUUAAAUUUUGGGGCACAAUAUAAGUAUAAAGCCACUAUAAUUAUAAGUUAUAUCUUACAACUGAAAUCCUAAACAGUAAAAUGAUCAAAAUGAAGAAGUGUGUUAAGAAAUUUAAAAAUGUAAAGAAUGGAGAUAGAUAGAAGAGAGACGACCCAGUUCUUCAAAAAUUUAGAAAAGCAAACACAUUCAUAGUUCCAGAUUAACAUGAUAAUUCUCUGGAAGUUAUAUACAGUGGUUUUCUAGCUUCUACUAUUAGCCACAAUAGCAUCCAAUUUUUAUAAUGAACCGAAAUGGAUGCACACUACAGAGAUAUUCAAAUUGAUUUAAAUUCAAGUGGUGUUCCUAGAAAGAAAGAAAAAGUUUUUUUUAAACAAGACCUUAAUCUGAUGGAUGAAAUAUUCACCUGAUAUACUAUUUCAUUCAGCUCAUCCUCAAGAAGCUCAAUAUACAGUUCAGUCAAAACAUAACUCUUCACAUUAUCAUAUCCACCCUUCAGAUUUAUGCGGAAGUAUGCAUUUACCCGUGGUUGUUUAAAAGUACUGUCAAGCUUGUACCAGAUCUUCACCAAUGGUUCAUCAAGUAUACAUCUUGGAGAAGAUAUAUUUGCACUAUCAGGACAACAGACAUCUGAACGGAUGGAGAAAUCACCAGGAAUGAACAUAUUCUUUAGAGGGAGAUGCAAUGAAUUAUCAACUUCUGGAGGAUCCUUCCACAAAUUCAUCAAAGAUGGAGAUAUAUCUUCUUCAGUAUAAUGUGAACCAAACCAAGGCUCGCACUGGAAAUCUGAAACAGUUGAAGGGAUUGUUAGUGCUUGAGCACACUUAUUUACUCCUGCAAAAUCCAAAUAAUAUAUGAAAGUAUGUACUGUGUAGCAUAUAAAAUGAGGCAUAGAAAUCAUUCUCAUUUUGUCAGUUAGAAAUAGGAAAAAUAUAAGGAUAGCACGAAGAAUAUAACAUGAGCCACUUCUGAAAACUAGUUAAAAUAAAAUACGAUUGCUAGCAGCCAAACAAAACAAUGAAAAUAAGAGGGACAAGAAGCACCUUUUUAAUUUUAUUUUUUUUGGCAUAAUAGCGAACUUACUUUCCAACUUGAAUGAGGACUUUGAUAUCACAUCAAUCCUCAUGUUUUCUGGUCUGAAGAAGCCAAGAACAUAUUCUAUCAAUUCCUUAUCCCAAGUCUCGUACACAUAGUCCCCAUAAAUAACAUGUUCUGCUGAAUAGCGUAAUAAAUUUCCUGCAAUACAGAAAUUAUGAGAUUUAGUAUGAAAUAAAUGUACAUAACUUGAUACAUCUUAUGAUCUGUGAUACUUGCAGACAAGUAAGAAAGACAUGGACUUUCAAUAACAAAAAAAAACCUCCAAGUUUUACAGCAUAAUCAUCCUGGGGCUGAUCCUGCAUAAAUCUAAAACUCAUGUUCCCAAUAUCCUGGAGUUCCCGGAAUAUCCAUUCUUGAGGUGAUACUUGACGCAAUAAUUUAAUGUAUUGAUACACCGAGCCAACUAUCUCAAAAAUCUGCAAGUAACCAUAUAACAUAUGAGAAGUGAUAUACAUAGAGUUAAUUUCGCUUCACUACAUAUGUUCAGCAGUAACUGAAGCUUUCCAAAAGCAAUGAAUUAUAAAGUGGAAUUACGGUAUGCCUCUAGUAAUUCUUACGUUCUCCAAAGUAUUCUAGGGAAGAUAAUCUAAACUUAGGUUUUGUUCCAUGAUGAAAGAGAAACUCACAAAUAAGAAAUGGGAUAAUCAAAGUCAAUCUCAUGCCAAAAGAUGGAUAGAUAGAGAUAAUACCUGCUCCAAUCCAGAGUCAGUAAGGUAUAUGAUCAUGCAAAAGACAUCAGCCACAGAAUAGCGGUUCACCGAAGCAUUGAGAUAUGUUGCCCAUCCUUUAGCUUUGAGAUAAAAAUACAGACUUCCCCUGCCCUCUGGGAAAGAAAAAAACCCAGUGAUCAGAAUAAACUCAAUUAAAACUCGAUUUAGUAAUGUGUAGCCAGCCAAAAAAUAUUAGAGGGAAACGCAUUGUAAAAAUCCAUAUACAAGACAUGCAAAAAAAUAAUAAUUCCAAACAUAGGAAAAGCAUGAAUGGAGACCACUCUAAGGAAAUAACAUUUAGACAAAUAGUGCAGCAUUCAAGCUCUCUUGUGUGCAAUAUGAACAGUUUGUUCUCUGCAGAGGAAAUCAUCAACAUAAACAAUUUAAUAAUGAAUCAUCUUACCAUGCUCAAGAAGAUGGCUUAAAAAAUAAUCUGGGCAUUUCAAAUAAUGUUGAUGAAGACUUGGAAGUGCCCAUGCUAAGUGGAGUAUAUGAACAUCAUUAACGGCCUCUAGCCUGUAAAGUUUUCCAACAUUCCAAAUAGGACCUUCAGCUUUGAACUCCAGGUUAACUUGGGGACCUUUUUUGACAUCUCCAAACAAUUCCAAAACCCACUGCUCAAGUAUAUCAAGAGAUUCUGCAACACUAAAACCAUUUCAAUAAAUAUAGAUUACAUCUAUCAGCAGUUUUGAAAAGAAGAAGAUAUGUGUUAAGGGAAAUAUGUUUAUAGUAUUACAGCGACAAGUUAUCAACAAUGCCACUGAAACACACUGUAACAGUCAAUCUCCAAUAUCAUCAAAAAUUCAUCUUUAUUGUUCAUGACUUUGAUUUUCACGAAUAGGUUUUACCAAAAAAAAAACUGCUCACAGAACAAUCACAACACAACACUUCUACUGACAAAAACUCAAUGUGUAAUUUUUUACAGCAACAUAAACCUCUACCAAUUUACAUAACCAAAUAUUCAUGAGGAAAACAGAAAUCGCGAGUAGAUAAGUAUAUCAUACUAUGCUGUAAAGACAAAUUGAAAUUUGCAUGUCUAAUAGCACACCCUUUUGGUCCACGAUACAACAACUUGCUAAUCUUAUUGUCAUGGACACCAUCUCUGUAAAUUAUCCUCCAAAAGAUAUUGGUAAAACUUAACAGAAUUCAAAAAAAAAAAAAAAAAAAAGGAAAUUAAAACUUUCACCUCCACCAAUGACAACUAGCUUCAUUAAUCCGCCAUGGUAAUAGUCUGUGUACAUUUGCAUUAUUUGUUGACGUAAGUUUAUCCCUUUUUCCCUUGCAUCAUCCAAGCUUCUCUUAUUUCCUUUCAUGCCAGAUAUAAAAUAAAAAUUUAGUUGCAUAAAAAACACAGUAUCGCUAAACAAAUACAAAGUAAAAGGAAAAAGGAAACACCAUGGAUUCAAGUUUUACCCCGACUGAAAUUAUUAAAUGGGUGACCAGGUGUGGCUGUAUGACCUUGAAGUUGUUCAAGGCGGCAAAAAUCGUUUUGCAGAACCCGGUUGAACUCUGCAUUGCAUUUUGAAUACAAUUCAGUGACAAGGAAUUUUUAUGCUGCAGUCCUGUAAGCAAAAUCUGGCACAGUUUUUGAAGGAAUAACUUUAGAAAGACUGGCAUGCACCUGAAUCUAUAGACUGUAACUCUCGCUCCAUGGCUUCACUUUUCAUUAGAGGUGACACAAAGAACUGAGAAAAUCUAAUAAAUCAAAGAGCCCAAAUAAAUAUAAUUCAUUGAGUGAGACAAAGACAAGUAUCAAGUCAAAAUAGGAAGCAUCACAGAAAACUAAAAACUCAGUUCACAGACCAAGUAUAUCUCCAAUAUUAAAGACUUCAUUUGUCAACAUUCGAUCAGCAGAUGAAAAGCUUAGUAUUAACCUUGUCAAAGCACCCUUAAGAAACUCUGGUUUCACUUCAAAGUGGUACGAUGUAUUCUCUUCACGCGUGCAUGCAUUUGAUGACCCUCCGUGCUUGGACAAGUAACUGUCAUACUAGCAAAGGGCAGAAUCAAAACAAAUGAUGGCAUAGCGUAGAGUACACUGUUGUCUUCCAAAUAACUUGAGUUCGAGCUUGUAAAAGCAUUUGACAGAAUAAUAAUCAACCAGUAAAGAACUGAGGCCAACACAAGAAUUUCCACAUGGUCAAAGAAAACUACUCUUAUAUCUUGUGAGGGGACACAAAAAUUGAACAAGCUGCUAUUUGUUUCUUUGUCAUGAUAAACCAUUCAGUCUCCUAAAAAUUUAAGAAAUGCAGCCUGACACAUUACUGAGCAGGUUGGCAGCAAAGACACAAGCAAGUCCAACCCACAUAUAUGGGUUAAAAAGCAACCUUAAGAUGCUGUCAGAGUAAUAAUUCUUGAUACUUAAGCUGCUUCACAGUGGCAUGAAUUUUAUUAUUGUAUGUAACCUCAUCUUUAUGAACAAGGCAGACGAACAAGUGCAUUCCCAACUAAAACAAGUAAUUCAAAAGAGAAUUCAGAUGCAAGCAUACCUCGUUUUCAUCUGGGAACUUGGUACUCCCCAUGAAAAGCAUGUGUUCUGCAAAACAUUCAAUACGUAAGUAAUUCGGUCAUCCUUGGUUAAAAGGGUGUACGCUGAGUUGUGACACGAACCUAGAAAGUGUGCAAGCCCCUGUGCCUCAGGAGGAUCAGAGAAGCUGCCCAUUCCAACAAACAUUGCUGCUGCUGCCUGCAAACACCAUCAAACAUCAAAUUAAACAAAAUGCAUUCAUCCGACACUUGAGUCAACAUUGUGGGCUACAAGAAAUCCAACCUUCUUGGUCUGAAAAGCACCUCCCUUUAGCGUGUGCCCGGGUUGUGGGUAAAUAUCAGGGUCGUGAAGGAGCAAAGCAGUGAGGCCAUUCUCAAGCGUAAUCAAUCUGUACAGUUUCUUGUCAUUAGGAGACUUUAUCACAAUGUCGUCCGACGAGAAACUGCAGCGACCCAUCGAAAAGGGAAUGCUGUAAUCAAAUUUUCCUCGCUCUUUGAACAACAGAAUGUAAAAGUCUGAGUCUUCAUCUGCCGCGUUGAGAUUAUUUGACUCCUCUUCUCAAUUUUCCACAAAUGAGACCCUGGUGCCUGUCUUGCACAAUACCAAACUUGAUUUGGGCCUACGAAGUUUGGAGUCCUCUGUAUAUCAAAGAGUGUUCAGGCCCAACAAGAAAACUUGGUUUUGAACUAGGAGAAUGGAGUGAGGUUUGAACCAGGAGAAUGGAGUGAGGUUUGAACCAGGAGAAUGGAGUGAGGUAUGACAUAUGUAGUCAUAAUCCGUAAUGGUGUCGAGUUGGUAAGAGUUUAAUUGUGGUAACAGUGAACUUUGCUAUGCAAUUAAUCAUAUAAUAACAGGUAUGACAUAUAUUAUAGUUGUAUCAACUUUCAAACACUAUACAUCAGCUGCUUUCUAUUAUGUGGAUGGGAACCGAUAUAUGAGGCAACAGCAUAAACUCUUUCCAGCUCCUUUUCUUUUCUAGAGAAAAUCUUACGUGCGACAGCCGCACCACGUGAUUGACAUGUGUGACCUACCAGUCGCACAGCGACACGUGUUUUUGUUUUUUUAUGGCAGCUCUUCUUCUUCCUUCCUCUCUCUUCUCCGGCGAAACCGAUCCCUUCAGCUCCCUCUGCCCAUCCGUCGCCUAACCACCCCCCCCGGCGCCUCUACCAUAAGCCUGACAACCUGCCGCCGUCGAGCCGCACCUCCACCAACCUGUGCAAAUCACGCAGAGAGAGGAAGGAAGAAGAAGAGGGAGGAAGGAAGGAAGAAGAAGAGGACGAAAGAAGAAGAGUUGUGAAAAAGCUUCGCCGGAGGGGAUCUGUUUCGCCGGAGAAAGGAGGAAGAAGAAGAAGAAGGCAGGUGUAGGAAAAAAAAAAAACACGUGUCAAAGGAUGAUUGGGUGCACAUGUGCCAGGUGAUGCGGCUGUUGCACCUAAGAAUUUCUCUCUUUUCUAUUCUUUUUCUAUUCUUUUAACAGUUUCUUAAUUUCUUUGAGCAGUCUUCAGUGUUAUAUCUUGGCACUGAUAAAAUAGUUUGGGUUCAUAUUUAAAACCAAUUGACAAUGAAUAAAGUAGAAAGAGCACGAAAUUAAGACUGUAAUCCUGUAUUUGGACUGAUAUCUCAACAGACAAUAAAGAUAUACUUGGUAAUUAUGGACGCUUCUUUUAAUAUGCUAAAUGCAAACAUACAUGUAUGCUUUCUUGAAAGCUAAAAGCUGAUCGGGGAGUGCUGCUGCUGCAUGGGGUGUACGUAUGUUUGGUGUCGAAGAUUGCAUUUUGCGGGGGAGAUGGAGCUUUUUGAGGUAAGAUGGAGGAACAGAUUGAGAUGGAUCGAGAGCCCCAACUUUUUCAUUUGAACAGAGACUUGUAGGGUUUUUCUCUUCCACGUCUUCAUGUGUUUUCAGCCUCUUUAAUUUGAUGUUACUAAUUGGGAGGGACAUUAUAUCGAUCAAAUCUCACCUUUUCGUAAUGGUCGCAUCGUAUCCUAUGCGCAUAUACCAAGUACUCGAUUACUUCACUUUGCUAGUGAUCACGCUUAUACCUGUUAUAUAUAAAGCUUCCUUCUUAUGUUGACUCGCUACUACAAUCGUGGACCAAACUAAAGCGCGCACUUGGAUCUAUAUUUCUACUGCCUCUACUAUGUCUGCCAAGAGUUGAAUUGGUCGCCAUAAACUUUACCUCAAGCUAGAAAUUGAUCAAGAAGAUGAAAGAAGAAAAAUAAUUCAAGUGAGAAUUACUACGGGGGCAGCAAGUGAUAGAUGUGAUCAAUGCCGUACUAGUAGCUAGGUUUGCAUACCCCUUUGUUUUUGUUCGCCGGCCUCUGUCUUUCUUAAUGUGAAGGCCGACGUCAAAUUGUCUUGUACGUACUUGUUUGCACGUACACCCCUUUGCAGCUAGCCGUUGUAAACUGUAAAUUGAAAUUGAGAUUGAAAUUAGCAGUACUUUUGGGAGGGAAGGGACCUGUCAGUUUAGGGUGCUUAUUUGUAUCUGCUGGGACAUACAUACAUGUCCUCACUAGGCAAUUUGAGUUCAAGUUUUUAGCUUUGAUCAAGUAGCAUUUACUAAGUGUUUGGCCUUCCCCAGCACGUAUUGAUUGAAGACGCCAAAGGAUCCAGAUCGAUGCACUUCGAAAAGACAUAGUCAAUUAUAUGUCUUGUGAACCCUAGCAGACAAGCUAACGCAGAAUCCCUGCAAUUUCUGGUUCUUCAUAUAUAUGCAAAGAGAAAUUAAGCAUUUCAAACAUAGCCACACGGCCCACAUAUUACGUACGUACUGUUCCCAUGGAUAUACUAUUUGCUGGAUUUAUUUGAAGAUCGAAUGCGAUAUUAGGAAACCCUAAUUGUUUUGCUAAGUUUACACAUGGAAUAUCUGCUAAAGCUAGCUCCAGUGGUUAAUUAGUUCAAGUGGCAUGGUAAUGGAGAUAUAUGUGGGAAGAUAAGUUCAAGUGGCAUGGCAUGGUAAGGGCAUUUGAAGAGCCAGCGUGCAUUGCCUAACUUCGAAUUUGAUGAGUGACUAAUAGAGGAGAGUGGCAACGAUGGAGACGAGUCGUGAAUCCCCAACAUAUAUAUAUAUAUUUCAUUCUCAGUAAAUUUAGACGAGACUAACUAUGAUUGAUCCGACUAAUACUAUGUAUGUGUGACAUGCAUGAUCAUGUGAAGGAAGAACGCAAACACGUCUAAUUACCUGUUGAUUAGACUGAUGAUUGAUCAUACAAUAGGAUAAUACCGUCAAAAUACAAGGGUUUUUUUCCUCAAUAUUAACCACACCUGAAUUGGCUAAAUUAACAGUUAUCAGCAUCAAUUUUAAAGACGUACCCGCCAGUUGCAUUAAUCAUCUAGAUUGCGAAGAAAUUAAAUAAUUAGAGCUUUUACGUAGCCAGUUCUUAAGCAUAAUUAACAAGAAACAUAAUUAAACAUCUGAGAUCUUUCUCCCACUACGUAGCUAGUACUACUACAUAUAUCAAACAGACGAUGAAAGGCUGAAGCUGAAGCAGGGUGCAGCUAGCUAGCAACAUUGAAUUCGCUAGCUAGCUUACCCGAUCAGUAAGGAGAGACCCGCACAUUGUUAUUAGCCGCAGCGAAAAACCCAUUGUGAUCUUUCAUCAGAACGUCCUCUGCAGAUUCCUGCAAAUCGAUCAUCCAUCAAACAAAUCAAUUAGAAGAUAUAUGAUCAAGGGUUGUAUUAUCUCAUAUAUAUCUGGGUACUUUGAUUCUAACAUGCACCGAAUUAAGAGAAGAAAAAGAGAGAUCGAUCCAGGGUUAAUGGUAGAUCCUGGGGAAUUAAUGAACUUGAAAGGUUGAAGGUAAUUACUUACCUGCUGGCGCACAUUUGUCUUCUUCACAGUAGAAGUGUUCUGGUCAGGCAUGAGACCAAAGUGAAUGUGUGGAAAGUGGGCCCACUGUCAAAAGAAACAAAAACUCUGUCAAGAGAAGAGGUUCACAUAUCAAGGGACCCCACACAUGUCAAAGAGGAGCAAUAGUCCUAUUGGAAUCACAAACCUUCAGAAACCCUAGCUGGGAAGCUAUUAGCUAAUUUGGUAAAGACGAAGGGAAAGAAACAAAAGUAGUCGAGCCAGCUGCAGGUAAUUAAUAUUUUUAAUUUAUGAAAAAUAAAUAAAUAUAUUACAUUCUUAGCAGCUGCGCUGAAGGCUUCUCUAUGGGAUAUAUCAGGAUUCACAGACUUGAUGCGUUGGAUCUCGUCCCUGCAGGAUCGAUCAUAUAUACACAUCAAUAUACAGAUAUAUAUAUCAUCAGAGAUAUGAUGGACCAUUCAUGUUAUUGCUUCGUUAUUUCUGGAAAUAAUUUUUAUUAAUCAUUUUCCAAUAAUAUAUUGCAUUACAAAAACUAAAAUGUGUACGUGUAUGAGAGAGAGAGAGAGAGAGAGAGAGAGAGAGAGAGAGAGAGAGAUAUGAAGCUAGAAUCGAAAGGAUCGAUGAUCAUGAUUACUCACUUGAUGAAGCGGUUGUAGGCUGAGGGGACUCUCUGUCUCUUCUCCGGAGCUGAACAACGCAUUCAAAGACACAGACAUUAAGAAUCAUCUUCAUGACCUAGCUACCUUAUAAGUAUACUUAAUUAUGAUCCAGCAAUCUGCGACGUUAUCAAGUAACUAUAUACAAUUUGCGGCCGGGGAAGAAUGGUCUAAGGAAUUAUUGCCGGCCUGCUACAUUUCAGAGGGGAUUUAUACCAGAAAGGACCUAAAACAUGAUUAAUGAGGCUAAGUUCAUAAACUAUAAAAGAAUAUACCCAUAAAAGAAAAGCUUAAAGCAUCAUAUUUCAGAAGAGUGUCCGUCCUAUUACACUUUAAGCGUGCAAAUGGAAAAGAUGAAACAUUGGAACCGUCUUGUCAAGUAUACAUAUACAGAAGCUUUAGACACAUUAUGUCUCAGCUUAAUUACUAGAUUGUUCCUAUGCAUAAUUUCUUGAAUGUUGAAAAGGACUGAUGAAGUCUGUGAAAGUGUGAAGAAUUUCAUUUCUUUGGUCUGUUAACAACAAAUAAAUGUUUGAGGAAAGCUAGCAAAGUUAAAUUCUAGCUACUGAAAUCUUGCCUGCAACGGAAGCUAGCAUAGAAGGGGUUGAUUAUAAAUCUGCGAACUUGGUUUUAUCCUCGUCUACCAGAUAGAAAGACCUUGGUAACUUCAGGGAUUAGAGGGAAGAAUUAAAGAUGCCCAAACUUAUUAAACUUUUCUUCAAUGAGUACCAAAAUGAAACCAGAAAUGAACUAUCCUGGGUUCUAGACCAAAAUACUUCGUAGAAAGCUAUAUAAUAUAAUAUAGGGUCUACUAACAGCUACCCGUCUGAACUUAUAAGCUCUAGGGCUAGGUAAUUAACACAGAUAAUAAGAUCAAAAGUGAAAGGAUGCGUGUAAUUAAGGAAGAAAGUUGCUCACGUCUGUUAAUAACUGGAGGCCUUGGGAGCUCAUCAGCUACUCCUCCUCUUGGUCUUACAGCAAAGUCAUUCAGGCUGCUAGUUUGAUUGUUCAUCAGAAAGUUUGGGGUUGGAUUCAUUAACGGAAUCUCCUGAUCCUGAAGCACAAUAUUUACGGUGAAUUUACCAAUAUAUAGAAUCAAGUUUUUCAAAAGGUUAUUCGAUCAAGUGUAUAUAGGUAUACCAGAAGGUUAUGGGAAUUUGGCUGGGAGAAGAAGGAGUGACCGAGAUGAUGAAACUGAUUUGGGGAAGGCAGAAGCAACCCGCGCAUGUUCACCGGAAGCAGGUUGGUGCAGUGGCCACAUCGUACCGUCACAGUCUUGAACAAACUUGUGCAAGGAACACUCACCUGCAUACAUCAAACCAGAAACAUAAGCAGAACACAUAUAAAAUCAAUUGAAAGAGCAAAACAGCCCCCAAAACUAAGCCUAAACAGCAUAAUAUAUGGAAGAGAUUAACAGAAGAAACCAAGGAUGGAGGUUGAAUAUGGAGGUGGGGUUUACCGCAAGGACAGUGUCGCAAAUGUUGCAAUGGACAUAGCAGAGCUGCUCGGAAGGAGCAAGGUGGUCGAGGGACAAGGUCGAAGAAGCAGAAUUAGAGGAUGACAUGAUGAUUCCUUUUCCUAUCUUUUCUUUUAUAAAUUUGAUUGGUGAUUGAUGAUUGGUCUCUCUUUGGGGUUUGAUUGAUUGAUUGACGGAUGACAGCUUAACCACCACCUUGGAUCUGCUUUUCUACAAUUCUUUCUUUCUUUGAUUAUGAGUUGUGAAAGAAAGGUGUGAAACAAAGAGAGAGAUAGAGAGAGAGGUAGUGAGAGAGAGAGAGAGAGAGAGAGACAGAUGGGGAUCAAGGGAUAUCUAUUUGGUCUACUAGAUAUAAGAGAGCUGUGCUGGGAACCAGAGACCCUUCCAUUCUCUCCCCUCUAUUUAUUGGUGCUGUGUGAUUUUUUUUUUUACUGUGAUUAUCCUGUUGAUUCAUACUGUUCACCCAAUUAUUAUUGUCACUUCGAACUCCAAAAAAUUCUGGAGUUAGCUAGCUAGUAGUGAUUGUCUAAAGGGAUAUCGAUCACCUUCGAUCUGUAUUCCAAUACGUUAUGAACUCGUGAUUUAAGUUCAUUCUUGUCUAGUUUCUAACCAUAUAUACAUCAAACCGACCUCUAGGCUUUAGCUAGUUGUAUUUAUGUUGUUUAUACACUUGACUGAGACUAAAUAUAUGAUAAAAUAGUCUGGGGUUCACAUCUAAAACCAAUUGGCAAUAGAUGGAGUGGUCCAAACCCUUAUAAACCACAGGCAAUGUCCCAUUUUUUCUGAUGUGGGAUAUAUAUCUCAACACGCCCCCGCACGUGUGACGAAUCUUCAAGCCUAACACGUGGACAACAUUUGGGGUGACGUGGAGUUCGUGUGGCCUUUAGGCUUCACACGUGGACGUGGGUAACCCGCUCUGAUACUAUGAUAAAGUAGUCUGGGGUUCACAUCUAAAACCAAUUGGCAAUGAAUGAAUUGGCCGGCCCAAACCCUUAUAAAUCACAGACAAUGUCUCAUUUUUCCUGAUGUGGGAUAUAUAUCUCAACAAUAUAAAGAGUUAGGAUGUUAAAUUGUUAAACAUUACUAUAAUACUAACCCCUACUCAUAUAUUUACAAGAAAUUACAAAUGUGACAAAAAUUUGUUGUCUGAGUGCUAAUGUUGAUUACUGUUUCGUGUAAUCUUAGUUUUCGUAAUGGUAAUUAGACAACGUACAACAUUUUACAAGUCUUUGAACAGAUUCAUUGUCAGUGUUGUAAUUUUUGUUUAAAUUUACUAACUAGCCAGUGUACGUAAAUGAAUAAAUUAACUUUGUCAAGUAUAUGUACGUAUUGGGAUUUGACUAGAGUUGAAAAAUGUAUCAAGAAACAGCACUAAAUAUCACCACCGGUCGAUCAUCCGAUGUCUAUGACCGGCCAUGCAUGUAUAUAACGUCCAUGAUUCAUCAUCCAUGUCCAUGAUCACCAAAGAUAAACAUGCGCAUGCAUGGUGUUAAUUAUCCCAUAAUCAACACAGAUAUGUGGUUGGCACUCCCGAUGCCAUAGCUAAGCUGCUUAGCUAGCUCAGAGAGAGAGAGAGAGAGAGGCGGUAGAUGUGGGGGAGAGGAGCUCGAAAGAGACGUGUGCAUGGCGGUGAUAUUGCUUUCACACAAACACACAUACACAACACUCAUCAUCUGUUGUUUUCAGAACUUAAAGAGGGUGUUGUCUUCACUCUUGCGGUGCAGUUGGUUUUCAAAUUUUCUCUUUCGAGCUCGGCCUCAAUUUCCGAACCCACUCCCAAAAUAACUCCAUGACUCCCUUCUAUACCUCCCGGACAAUAAGCCCUUCUCCACCCCCUCUUUGUUUGGCCCUCCGCCCCCUUCUCCGCCUCGACAGGGCGCUCUCCUCGAUCCAUCUAUAUCUUCCUGCUUCCCUAUCCUCACCCCGUGAUGAUCAACCCCACCAACCCCAUCAUAACACAAUCAUGCAUACACGACUCGUAAUACAUAAUGCCAAAAUUUUCUAAUUCUGUAAAAUGAUUAAUUUCUAAUGUCUAUUAUAUAUAAAAGCUAGCUAGCUAGCUAUAGUACUGGAAUUCUGUAGACGUUCAGUGAUUUGACCACUCGAUCUCCCUCGUCUAACGCACAGCGCAGACAGAUACGUAUUUAAGUAGUCAGUACUCAGUAAGAAACAUAUAUCUCAGUAGCUAUAUUGCCAGGCACCUCCUUACCACCUUUGUCCUUUCCUAUAUUUAUUUCUGCUUUUCUUUUCUGGCUUCUCUUUUAGCUAUUUUGGUUAGAAUCUUUCUCUGAUCCUUUACAUAACUCUAGGGUUUUUGUUACAUAGUUUGCAAAGCCACCUAGCUAGCUAUAUACAGCUACCCUGUAACUAUCUUUGAAAAAAGAUAGUCGCCCAGUUCCCGUAGAUAUUUACCAUUGUUUCCUUGAUCGAUUAAUUAGGGUUCAAAGAUCGAUCAUGCGGAUCAAAUUUCCAGAACGAUCGCCAUCUUACCAUAAAUGGCCUAAUUGGAUUUCCUCUUCCCCAGAAAAUUCAUAGUGUUGUUGUUAUUAUUCAUCCAUGAUGAUUCAUAUGAUCGGAUGCAUUCACUCUCACUCACAAAUGAGAAGUUGGGGGGGGGGGGGGGGGUCCUGCAUGUGUACAUAACUCGUAUGCAAGAAGCUAGAACAUUAAAUGUGUGGUAAUGGGGGAAAAGGUUGUAAAGUUUCACAAAUGACUAAUUCAAACUUACUUCACAGUUUUUCAAACUGUACAUGACAUUAACGAACAGGUUGAAAGGGAAAUGAGCCUGAGAAUCUGAGACAGACACUUGAAUGAGUGCUCCUAGUCCUCGAUUUUCCUAAAGAUGAAGUUCAAAGUAUUUAUUUGACGGCCAAAGAAAAGCAAACUCAUCAAAAGGACACUGAAACAAAAAAGCUACAUCGCGCAUGGAAUUAGCAUGCAUCCACAAAUUAAAGGUCCCUUUAUACACGAUGAGGAACUUAUAAGAACAGUGGUUUCUUUUAAUUAUCACUGUCCAUGUAUCUGUUACUGAUUAAUUUGGGUUUGAAGUAGGUAGAACUGAUUGAAGUACUGUUUAACUUGGAAAUUUUGCCUAGAUAUGUUUGAAGUGAUGCAUGGCAAGAAAAACUGUUUUGUUUAUCAUCAGCAAAAUGAUUUUGAUACCACUCAUCGAUGAUCGGCAUGAUCAAUCUAGCUAGUAUGUUUCUGAUGAUCUUGAGUUCAAACUGAUCUAAUUCAACUUGCAACAUUUGCAUGAUGCCAGAUGCAUGGACUUAUCUGAUGCUUAUGCAUAAUCACAUAUAUACAUGCACAGUAAUAUCGAGCAGUGUAUGAACGUACGAAUGAGGAAAAAGUUAUCACUGUAAAAAGCCUGCUAGGAGCUAUUUGUUGCUGUUUGUGGGGAUAUGUGGAUCUUUGAAUCUUUCUUACACAGUCUCUCUCUCUCGACCUCUCUCGCUCUGAUGGAAGAAGGAGAUCGAUAUAUUUUGGAAUGGGGGCAUUUUUGGUACAUGUACGUAUGAUGGGGUUGGGUAAGAACCGAUAAAGUUGAAAUUCAGAGUUGCUCCGUUGUCUGAUAUAUGUAUGUUGGCAUCUCGAUCCAACUGUGGCCCUCUUCGGCUUUGGCUAGCUCCUCUCUAGAUAUUUGCAGUGAAUGAGCGCAACAUACAGCAAUUAGUUUAAAAGCGCGGGCGGUGGUGAAGGCCCUAGCUGGUACACACACAUACACACACCUUUAGCUUCUUUAAUAUUAGCCUUUAGCUGUUGAGUGCUGGUGAUCGAUGAAUAGCUCGAUCAUCAGCCCUUUAGAUAUCGAUCCCAACAGCUAAACCCCACAGGCAAUCGUUGAGGCCAUGUUGUUGCAUGGGCAUGAGGAAUUUCUUGUUCUUUCUGAACCCACACAAAGGACAAGCAUAUAAUGGCAAAUGUCCUACAAAAGGGAUGGGGUUAGAGAGGAACCAAAGGCCUGCCCUUGCCCUUUCCUGGCCUUUUAAUCGAUCACUCUGAGGUGAUUGAUUCAACUGAGAAGAUGACAAAUAAGGAGCUAGCUGCUGCUACUUGCGCAUUGACUCGGUCGACUAACUUUGGACCCUAGCUACAUAGCCUCGCUCUGAUUUCAACAAAAGAUCCAACCAGCUAGGUCUUGUUUCGAUCAUCGAUCUAACUAGAUUUUCUCAUUUUCUUGUUGGUUCGAACCGGAUGUCCAAUAACCUGUUGCUUUUUCUAAGUCGAUCUCUAAAGAUGAUCGAGGCUCUGAACUAAUUGAGUCUAAUAUACAUUGGGUACGAACUGUUUUAAAAGUACGUAAACCUAGUGGCCUAAUGCAACACAUGCAUGUCAAUAUCAAACAUUUCUCACAGUUAUGUUUGUGUCAUUGAUUAUCAUGGCAAGAAAAGUUGCAGAGCUAGCGAAGUGUAGACGCUUGAGCUAGCCAAUAUUUUCAACAUGCAUGAUGCCAUCAAGGUCCAAAAUUAAGACCUUGAGCUCACCUUAAAAACCACCACACUGGUUUACACACUUCAUUUAUCAUUAACAUAGAAUGUUAAUGUCUAUGUUAAUGAUAAAUUUGGUCUUAUAGACCCCAGUAGGUUCAGUAACCCCCUAUCAUGAGUAUUAUCAUUUCGACUCUGGAAAAGAAAGAACAUGAAAGUAUUGGCCAAGGCUCAAGACUCAAGAGUCAUGAGUCAUGAACUCAUGACACAAAAGAUGAAAAGGUACCCAGCAAGAUUUAAAAAUCCAUCACCAAGCAAGAUGCUUCAAAUCGGGUUAACGGGCCACGGAGGCCGCUUUAGAGGUUAAAGGCCCAACUAUAUUUUUGUAAGAUGAUUGGAAAAAAAAUGUGAACUAUAUCCAAUUAUCCAUACAAAAAAGCAGUUUAUCUAGUCUCAUAGAUGUUGAUAUUUGACUUGGCAACAAGUGGCAAACCACAAACCUUAGAACAAACACGUCUCGUGUGUACUCCUCUCAGCCAGAAGUCGAUGCUUCAUCAAAGGUGCACAUAGAACCUUCCCAAUCCAUUUUUAUCUCAAAUUCUAGUUUCUGUGUUCUUCUUGCAUCCUUGGCAACAAGAUCAACACCGCUCUGAAAAUUGUAAUGGCACUCACUUUUAUUUCCUCACUCGCUAUUCACUCCUUAACCUCAUGUUCUUCGAAUUCAAAGACUCCUCCAAUUCGUCUGCAAGCCCCCUCCAGACCCUUUUCCAUGGUAUGCCAUAUAGACCCUAACAGACACAAUGUUAAAGGUAAUUACUUGUAUGGUUCUGUAACCAAUUCAAGUACAAGUAAUAGAAUUUAAGUUGUUACUGUUAUAGUUGUAUAUAGUAGCUUAUUGAGUUUCCUUGAAAAGGAAGAUGGUUCCCACAAGCAAUGCCUCACCAUUAGUCAAGGGUCCAAGUGUUGGAAAAACAUUGUUUCAGUCGCAUUGGCAACUGCUGCGGUUAUUAGUUUCAGCUCUGGCAUGCCCGCCAUUGCAGACCUUAAUAAGUUCGAAGCUGAAACACCUGGUGAAUUUGGGAUAGGAUCAGCUGCCCAAUUUGGUUCUGCAGACCUCAGGUCACUUCUUUGUUUUCCUUUUCUUUCUCUUUUCCAAGAUUUGUAUUGUAAGAUUUUCUGUGUUGUAUGCAAAAGGUUUAAAAUUCUAUUCCAAUCUUGAUGUACAGGAAAGCAGUGCACGUGAAUGAAAAUUUCAGGUAAUUUUCGCAUUUGAGUUCUGAAUUUAGACCAAUGUUAAUAGCAAACAGAUGAGGAGAAACUUGACUGAUAUCAGUAUGUGCAUUUUAAUUGGUACCUAUGGCUGCUAUUUGUAUUCAGUACUUCUGUUUCUUUUGCUGUUUGUUUGACUUCAGUCUUACUGAGCUUUACUACUUCUGGAACUUGUUUCAAUAUAUUGUGUACUCCGGCAUUUAUAAUCAAACUAAUCGACUGAUACAGGAGGGCCAAUUUCACAUCUGCUGAUAUGAGGGAAUCUGAUUUCAGUGGUUCAACAUUCAAUGGUGCAUACCUUGAGAAAGCUGUAGCAUAUAAGGCUAAUUUUGCUGGUAAGGUUGUUGUCAUUGAACAAUUUACUAUGUAAAUGUAAAUGGAAACCGAAAUAUGAAACAAGUGAAAGGUAGUAGAAGUAGAGAAAAAACCUUCCUUAAGAACUGAUUGUAGGAGUAAAUGUUGCCCGACGUUCAGUUCUAAAAUCUGUGAUGUAUUAGUUGGGAGCAUUCUCGACUUCUCAUAUGAACUUGUUUGCCACUUGCCAUUGGAACUCUGUUCAAACUUAAAUUAUGGCCUGCUUCCAUUUCAUUUCAAAGCUAUUCAAGGAUCAAAAUGGCUCCAAUCUGGAAUACUGGCUGCAUUCGGGAAACUUCAUUUCCUUAGCGAAGUUAGACUCAUUAGAGAAAAUGAGAAACAUAGAAAGGACUAGUAAGAAGAACUAGCAGUAACUUAUCAUGCUAUUACUCAUCUUACAGAAGAAAAAAGGACAUCAUUUACUCAUAUAUUAGUCCCUUAAAUUGCCUAAAAUUCAGAUAUAUUUCUCAUUUCCGAUAUAACACCGCCCAUGUCAAAAAUAGUUUGUUUGCACUACAUUUUGUUUUUAAAGAUAUAGAUCAGUCAGCAGUGUAAUGUUAGGGGAGUUACUAUGCUUUUACCAAAGGAAAACUGGAUUUGUUUCUAUUCUAAAUUUGAGUCAGAGGAUUAGCCAAUACAUUUUCAUUGGUCUUCAUAAUUCUACUUUACUUGCACUUAUUUGGUAUUACUUUGUUACAUCGAUCAAACUUCAAAGUUUAUUUAACCUAUAUACUGAAUCUUUUCUUAUCCAUUAUCCAUGAUCAAUAUCUUUGAUUAGGAUUCAUGUUGCUUAUUGUACCAAUAUAUACAAUCUUUUAUAACUUUAUACUUACUAAUUUUCAUAAAACUCUUAGAUUGUUAAUUUUUUUAUAACAUUUUACAGGUGCUGAUUUGAGCGACACAUUGAUGGAUCGUAUGGUAUAACUUGAAUAGCAUAGCACAAACUCCUCAACUAUUUGUUUCUGGCAUUGCUUUAGGCAUAGUUACAUUUACACUAAAGGAGUUUGUUGAGACACUGGCUUGUUUCAUUCCAUUACUCAAUGAUUAAAAUGAUCACAGGUCCUUAAUGAAGCUAAUCUCAAGGAUGCUGUGCUUGUUAGAUCGGUUCUCACUCGAAGUGAUCUUGGUGGUGCCUUAAUUGAAGGUGCUGAUUUCAGUGAUGCUGUCUUGGACCUCUCCCAGAAGCAGGUGCUGUUUAUUGCUUGUGUUUGUUGCAGAAAUAUGUUUCCUUCAAAAUCAGAUCCUAGCCUUUCUUUAUUUCCACUAAACUCUUCGGUUUACUCUUAAUCAUAUAGGCUCUAUGCAAGUAUGCAAGUGGCACUAACCCAACUACAGGGGUGAGCACAAGAACAAGCCUAGGUUGUGGGAACAGUAGACGAAAUGCUUAUGGCUCUCCCUCAUCCCCUUUGUUAAGUGCACCACCUCAGAAACUACUUAAUCGGGAUGGAAUCUGUGAUCAAGAAACUGGUCUUUGUGAUGUAAAAUGAUUCCAAUGCUAAGCAUGGUAAUUAGUUUUACCCACAUUGAAUUGAUCACAUACCACAUCCAGGUAUAUGUAUGCAGGAGAAAAGAUACUGCAGAUUGAACAAAAGCACAUGUACAUCCUUGAGGCGUCAGGAAGCCAUAUAUAUGAAACAUGUACAUUUGAAAGUUGAAACAGCAGGCAGCAAUUUUUUAUCAUCAAUCUCUGAAAGUAUUUUGGACAUAUUCUGAGGAGAAAUAGUUUCUUGACUUUCCUUCAUAAUCAUCCAAGUCUCAGACCAAAAAUAUCAUCAUCCAAGGAUGACAAGAAUCCGGGAAAUUAGCACAAGAACCACUUUUGACAUUUAAAGGCAAUUGUUAUGUUACAUCGUUUGCUGUGAUCCGCUAUGAGUCUAUAAGAACAAAGUUUGACAAAACAGACCGCAAGUAGUCACUGUGCAGUUAACACCACUAGGGCGUUCGAGUGAAACCCGGAAACUCAGUAUGACUUCGCGAAAAUGGCAACUUCCUCAGCAGGAUUGCCAGUCAUCAAACAUGUUUUAAUCCCAUGCGGCUGGUCAAAAGGAAAACACCUUAUGGUUGCCCCUGUUUCUUCUUUCACCUUCAACUCAUCUUUGUCACUGUACCAAUAAGGAUAUAUUUAGAGCUUGAUGUUAGCAUCAGACGAGCAAUUACAUUAGUAUACAUUAUGCAAUUCAUACUAUCGAAUCAACAAAGACAUCAUCAAAUGAUGAAGUUUAGACCCAAACCUAGCUGACCAAGGACCUCUUGCCCAUUUUCCCUGGGAGAUCGCAACUUUGAGUUCAUCAUAUGAGCUCACAUCCACAAUAUUGCUGCAAUAAAAACAUUCUUAUUGUUAAUGCCCCCACAACUUUUCUUAUGAAGUGUGACAAGUGAAAGAAUGGACAUCUCAUCAUAGUGAAUAGACAAGGCAUAAACCCUCGCUUUCUAGAAUCACUGGUAGUAAAUUCAUUGCAUACAUAUUGGACUAUAACCAUAACCUAGUUUGAAACAGCAAAUAUGUCUAAUUUUUAUCUUCAGGAAAUUCAUUGAGCACUAUUAAUUCUUUUUACUAGUAACAAUCGAUGAAAUCCAAUGGAUGAUAAUCAAUCUUGAGGGUUAAGACAAUACAGAGUAUUAGAGUAUCAAAUUAGAGCCAGAAAUUGCACCUAUCACGAAAUGAUUUUGCUUGUCCCAAAAGAGAUGACUGGAUCUCAUCCAACUUGUCCUUGAUAUAAGCCUCCAAAAUCAAAGGCUCCAUGGAUAUUCCAAAAACCUUCCCUUGCUUUCCAGGAACAUCUCUUCUACAUACAACCACACUCUGGCUUGAUACGUCACGAGGACCGAUUUCAAUCCUUAAAGGGACUCCCUACAAAUCAAUCAGCUAUUGAGGUGAUUGAAAACAAGAGAAUCUUUUCGUAGCAAAGUGUAAAUUGAAUCUCCAAGAGUAGCAUGCCAAAGAUACCAAUUUCUAUUUAGCAUGCCAAUGAAGAAGACAAACCUUCAUCUCCCAGAAAUUGAAUUUCCAUCCUGGUGUUCUUUGAUCAGUGUCAUCAAGUUUAACUUUAAUCCCCGCAGUGUGCAGUGCAUCCUUUACAGAUGAUGCAGCAUUGAGAACUGCUGCUUUAUCAUCUUCCUUCUUCCAAAUGGGAACGAUCACCACCUAAGAAACCAAUGUAUUCUUUUAAUAGAGAACAGAGAAGGAAUGUGUGCACUUACAAUUAGGCUCAUGCAGCAAAUAAUACAAGCACAAUCAUAUUGAACUUACAAUUAGGCUCAUACAGCAAAUCAUACAAGCACAAUCAUAUUGAACUUAAAGCAUAACAUGGCACCCUUUAUUAUGAGACCAAGGAAAACUAAUAAAUGAUCAAGUGAAGUAGGAGAAUUAUUAACCCAACUACAACAAGGCAUACUUUCUGUUUAAAAUAUUUCUUAGCUAAAUAAUGGGAGUAUAACCAUGCAAAAUCUAGAAAUGCAUCCUACACAAUAGGGAAAGGGAAUUUAUGCCAGACAUAAGGGGUAGUCCAUUUUAUUGGUAUGCUUCUGUUAUACAUUAGGGACAUGCCUUGGAAUAUAAUGAUUUAAAAUCUCCAAAUUUAGUCUUUACCUGUAUUGGAGCAAUCUUUGGGGGAAGCAUUAAACCAGUGUCGUCUCCAUGGGUCAUUAUAAUGCCACCAACAAAACGGGUACUCACAGCCCAGGAAGUCUGCCAUACAUGUUGCCUCUGUCCACUUUCAUCAGUAAACUGUACAAAGCACAUAUCUUGGUCAGUCUAGCUGAUGGCUUAUACACUUUUUUUUUUUGAUGGCUUAUACACAUUAAGAAGCCUGCAAUAGUAUAUCAAAGUACCAGUGUUCCAAAGGCACGAGAGAAGUUCUGCCCAAGAUUGUGGCUGGUUCCAGCCUGCAGUGCCUUCCGAUCACCCAUCAUAGCCUCUAUUGUGUAGGUCCUAACAGCACCAGCAAAUGUUUCCACUUUUGAUUUUCGACCUGCAAUGACAGGUAUUGCAGCUUCCUCAUAAGCAAAUUUUGUAUAUACGUCAAUCAUCUGUAUAGCCUGCAGUUUAGUAGCACACUGAAUGCAUUAGACAAGAACGACACUCAUUUAACCACUGAUUAAAGGAAAGUAGUUAAAUCAAAUAAACCUCUUUCUCUGCCUCCUCUGGAGUGGCGUGAGCAGUAUGGCCUUCCUGCCAGAGAAACUCAAGCGUCCUCACAAAAGGUUUCGUCCGCAUCUCCCAUCUUGUGACAUUUGCCCACUGAAUCAAAUUAGACACGAUAGAGAACAAAGCUUAAAGCGAAACUCCUCCACAUAAAGUUGACGCACGGCAAACAAUGCAACAAAGCAUCAUACCUGGUUCACCAUAAGCGGAAGAUCACGGUAACUAUGAAUCCACUGAGUGAACAUGUGAUUCACUAUGGUUUCACUUGUGGGUCGAACCUGCCAGAGCCCUCAAGAAGUGCAAUAUCUUAGGUCAUAGUGAAUAACACCUUCAACACUGGAACACAAAAGACUCAACAACCGAAAACACAUUACGUACCACAAGCUUUUCUUCAAGCUCCUUCCCUCCUCCAAUAGUCACAAGAGCUAAUUCAGGACUAAAACCUUCAACGUGACUAGCCUCUUUCUCUAUAAACGAGUAGGGUAUAAGCUGCACAUUUCGCCAUUUCAAGAAUCACACAUCGGCAAUCAUAAACUUUCACAUUUUUAACUGAUUAGUAAUUACCUGUGGGAAAUACAUGUUACUGUGACCGGUCUCUUUGAACUUGACAUUCAGAUAAUCCUACAAGAAGAGUAAAAUUACAAUCAAAACCCUAGAAUUGAACUUGAAAUCGAGUCACUAGUGAGUACCUGAAUGGCUUCCCAGAUAGCAUAGCCGUAGGGACGAAUCACCAUGGUUCCGCGAACGGGACCGUAAUCUGCAAGCUCCGCAUUCGCAAUGACGUCGAGGUACCAAGCGUUGAAGUCCUGUGAGCGAGGAGUGACGCCGCCUUCCUGGACUUUUUCAGUCGCCGGCACCGUGCUCUGAGCUGAGAAUCUGGCGGUGAAAGAAGGAGUUCGGAGGUGGUGACGACGGCGGAGAACCGAGGGGUAACGGCGGGAGAUGGAGGGGGAGAAGAGCGAGCUCAGAGAUGGGAGUCUCAGAGAGACGGCCAUGUUUGCUUGUUGAUAGCUCGUCUCGCUAUUUUCCUUUUCCUUUUUUUCUUGGCGUUUUAAAUGGUGGACCCCAGAGCCCGUUAAGGCCCGCGCCAAUCUGACCGCCUAGCCCUAGCACGUGUCUUCCUAGCCCUAGCCUGCUUAGUUAAAAAUAGGCCCAACUUGUUUCAGACCCAACCCACCAUUUGCCUUUUUAAAUGGUGGACCCCGCGCCAACCUGACCGCCUAGCCCUAGCACGUGUCCGUCCAGGUCGCAUGAAUUAUUAUUAUUAUUAUUUUUUUUUCUCUUAAAAUCUGGAAUUGGAAUUCAUGAGCCUUGGCUACCUUGCCGACUUGAAGACGUACUCUCCGUCUCCUCCGAGUAAUUGGACGGCGGAUCCCCUGAAACUUAACAUCCAUCGUCAUCUGUCUAAACUUAAACCUAACAUGUAUGUGUGGAAUGCCUGAAUUGAAGUUUCUGAGUCGGAAGGUUAUUGUUAGAGUCAUCGAUUGCAGGUUUGGUAUUACUUCUGUAUAUUAAUUGAUUCAUUGCUUGUUUAGUCUUGUUUAGUUUCGGAGUAGAUUGUUAGGGAUUGGGUUAAAAAGGUUGAGUAUUAUAUUAUAUCCGCAUAUCCAUUGCAGAUCCGAGCUCUAGUGAAGUUGCUCAAGUUACAGAGCUCUUGCCUCAGCAAAGAAAAUUUUUCAAACUUGCAGCAGACAAUGACAGCAACCUAUCCAGAGAUUGAGCAUGGGAUUCACCAUAAGCUUUAUCCUUUAUCAAAGCAUCACAAGCCAUGCAUCUUCAAGUUCUAAGUUCCAUAUCGUUAAAGAGGAGGGGUACGCUUACAGAGGCACCUGAAGAUGAUUUAAUUUCAUAUAAAAGAAACUUUGAUAAAGAGUACGUUGACGUCGUUGUUAUGGACAUCUCCUCGAGAAAUUGAUCGGCCGAGAGGGUGUUGCAAUAAAGUAGCGUAGUGCCUAUAUAUGAAAGCUAGCUAUAGAAAGAUCGGUGGAUAAUUCCUAACGAACGUACGUACGUAUCUAGCUUCGUAUUCCAGGCCGGUCAAGUUUGAAAACCAAUAUAUCUGCUAAAUAAGAACCGAUUGAUUAGUUGCUUGGACUUUACUUUUCUUUUACUUAAAGUGGAGAAGCAUCCAUCCGGGAAAUUCCCACCAAAAGAAGAAGGGUAUAGGUGGUGAAACAUUCAUCAUGGAUCAAGUCGUCUCCUUCGUUGGUUUGCUUCCUGGUUCUGUAACAACUACCAAACCAUUACGUAAAACCAAUCAGGGAAUGUGCCCUCCUCCCCUGUCAGCUCUCAUCCUCUUCCUCCAUGUGUGUCGCACACCAUCCUUCUCAUGAGUAAUUGAACUCUUUUGUUCUUUCCAAUGCUGUAGAGGUAAACUUCACUCAUACAGUCAUACUAGCUAGCCGGCCAGUACGUAUUUCUACCAUCCUAUCGAUCAUACCCAAAUAAUUCACUGUGCAUCUUUUUGUUAUAUGAUUGCUGCACAAACGUAUUAACUGUCCAUAUAUACGUGUAGCUAUACCAUCUCAAUUAUCCGUGAUGAUCAGAUUUAUACAUAUGUCGACGACGUCGGUCAUUCUAGUACAGUAUACAGUAUACAGACACACAAGGUCAGAUAUAUGGUUACCAAAAACUACUCACAUCAUAAGUGCAUCAGACGUAAUGAGGGCAGGAGACUACAAUAUAAUCAUCCUCGUAUUUGAUUUCAUAUGUUUGUCAAAUUCUCAUCAUCAUCACUCAUUAUAAUAGAUUUAUACGGUUUAUAGUAUAUAUUAAUAUAUGAAAGUCAAGAAAGCAGAUAAUUAAUUAAUUGAACAUGUCAGCUAAUUGCCAGCACCGACCGGAAUAAGCUAGAUUAAUGUUUGGUUUAAUUAGAAUUAGGGUCAAGUGAGGACAAAUGAAUAGCACUAGAGGCAAGUCCGGACUCCGGUAAAGGGAGCACGUUAAUGAUGAUGCUUUCACAUGGUAUUGUUUCCUUAUUCAAAUUUGUUGAUCAUGUUCAAUUAUCUUAAUUAAGACCGAAAAUUAUUCUACGCACUAAGGUGCAAGUGAACCGAGCAACUAAUAUGUAAUAUUUUGAUCUGAUCAUCCACGUCAUAUUAUCAUACAUGUAUUAAUUCUAACACUGUUAACAAAAUUGAAACUCAAACAAAUAAUCAUAAGUGUUUCUAACACAGGAAAUGUACUUGAAGUCGAAUAAGAUGUACUCUUAUCGUGAGUAUUUAAUUUGAGCGGAUCAAAAAUGAGGAUGAGAUGAAAGAAUUUAGGGUCUCUAAUACUCUUGAUUGGAUCUUCGCAUGAGGUGAUUUGAGAACUUGCACAUUAAUGGUGCAAAUACACUUUAGUGCGUAGAAUCCAUGUUUUUAAUAAACCUUAACCCUUUUCUGUCAGAAAGAACCGCACUCACUUUCAUAUAUGCUUAUCCUUUCUCGGCUUCUCUUUCUCUUCAAUGAUCGACGAGUUCAUUUCCCAAGCAAGCAUCUAUUGAGUUGAUGAGAGCACGCCCAAUGAUGAUGUCCCUUCAGAAAGCCUCAUUGCUUAAAAGGGAUUCUCAUGCUUGACUUCAACUCAAAUAAGAAGAUGCAGAUGCUCGCUCUUAGGUCAAUUUUCGAUAACGACCGCACUUAAAUUAUUUAGCUACAUGUAUAUAUGUCCCAUACUCGUUAUAAAACUCUCAAACUUGGUUCUGUCGAUAGGUAGUUGAACCCAGCUGCUAGUAUAUUUUCAACUACUUCAAGCGGGUCCAUGAAAUCCAAAUCUGCAAAACUACCUUGUUCCUCUCAAUCUUCAAGCUUCAACCGGUCGUCUUGCUGGGAAACUAAGGCAGGUGAUUCAUAUCUAAAACAAAGCUUUACGUGUUCCAUAUAUAGUUUUCUCAAAGCAUUUGCAUACCCUUAGUUAUAUAUGUCUGAGAGCUGUUGCAUGGCUUUGUGCUUUUUCCCAGCCAGUCCUAUCGAUCUGUAUAUCUGAUUUCCCAUGGUACAAGCUAUUUACAAUACUAUAAAGAAAACCGCAAUUGUGAAGAAAACAAGUUUCAUUGUUGAUUAAUAGUCACCUUCUUGCACAGGUAUGUCAAGUACGAGCUGGAAGUAAUUUCUCAGGAUAUCCAAAUUCUAAAAGUAACCUUAGUACUUACUGCAAAACAAUGAGACAUUUUGUUUUCUUAUCCAUCCGCAGAGGCAUAUUCUAACUGUGCAUGUAGUUUAACUUACACACACAGUAUAUAUAAUUAUGCAUCCUCAAUUCCUCAUCUGUCUUGGAAAGAUUUAAUUUGCAUCCUAAUUAGGAGUUCUCUGCCCAGGACCAUGAAUAACACACACACGAACACACUCCUUAUAAAUCUUCUUGCAAUUGCAUGCAUGUCUAUAUGAUCUCUCUAUACAUCUAACAAUUAUAACUCUUCCAAACUACCACCGGCCAAUGAAGUCACCAAUUCACAGAAAAUUUUGGUGUUUCUUCCAAAACACACAGCCUUUCAAUACACGCCUCUGUCAUUUCAGGUAACUGUGGUCUAAUUGAGUACCAUAUAUAUAACUGCUUCAAAAUGAAGUAUUUCAAUCAAAAUUACAGUACUAACGGGUAUAAGACUAUAAUGCAUACAAGUACAUACAAAUCAUUUUUCAGUUAAGAUUAUGUACGUAUUCAACCGCAUAUACGAUCGAUGUCUCAAAUUGGCUGUCAUGUUGUGUGUAAUGUAGUGCAUGCAUGGUUGGGGCAGCUUCUUUCCUUUUCUCAGACCACUUGUCGUACGUGUCAAAGUUUAACUAUGAAGUUCCAUGCAACCCCAAGAAUGGAAACAAUGGCUCUAACAACAUUAUAGUACAUAUGAGAUAUAGUUUCAGAUCCUAAAAGAGCUGAUAAUUUGAAAACCGGCUUUCUCUUAUGAACUUGUGUCAUUGAUUUCUCGUUCAUUUGUGCAAACUAAUUAAUUGCAGCUCCCACAUGGAUGCAAAAAUAGGAUUUUGCCAAUUUUAAACAUGCCGCAAACAACUAAUUAAUUAAUCCAGGCCAGUCUUCUUAGAACUGCAUGUACUCCUCAAUUGACAACUGAUCAGGUAUACUGUAUCAUACAUCAUCAUGCCCUUUCACAAUCGCAACUAAUAGAAUUCAUAUAUAUAUAGAUAUAGGAUUUGCAAUAAAACUUCAUAUGCAGACGCACAUCAUAAACACUUUUUGGUUUUUUAAUUUCUUUCCAAAACACUUCAUCAACCUUAACGAUGUAAAAUAAAGCAAAUUCCAUAGUAUUUCCCAGAUAAUCCAACCACGAACAUACAUAGUCCUCGAUCCUGAUCGACUAUGUUAUUUUGAUAUUAAGCAUAUCAAUUUGUACUCUAACAAUACGCUGCUUUAGCUUAUAUUAUAUAUGUAUUGAUGAUUAAUAAAAAAGGGCACAAAAGGCGAAUAGGUAAUAUAGUAAUACCAUUCUGUUUACCCUAUACAGCAACUCAAUAUAUUUCCUUUGAAGUACUGUACCGGCUCCUAUGAUUGUAAUAGGUAAUUAGUAUCUUGUAUGGACUACUUACUGUAGUAAUAUAUAUGUUUUUACGCUUAGUUUCAUUUCCAAAGAUCAAUUUGGCAACUUGAGGUGGAUGUUGAGGCGGCAUAGUCCUGUGCAAUAAUAUUUUCCGGCCUCUUGGAUUCGUUGGCUCCCAUACUCGUAUGCACUUCAUCACCCACGGGAUCAAAUACUGCUUCAUUCGAGUAAUUUGCUGUUGUUUCCUUUGAAGCUUCUUGCUGGUCAUGGCUGAGCUGUGAUGCAACAAAUUUGUCAAGAACUCGCCAAUCUGUAAGUUGAUCAUCAAGACUGUUGUCAUUAUAAAGUAGUGGUGAGGAGUUGAUCAUGAGAUUAUGUUGGUUCAUCUGCUGCACUUGCUCCUCAGGCCUGAACGUGGAAGAUGGCAUGACAUGACAUCCAUUGUUCCUAAGAUGAUGAUCAUAAGUGCCAUAUUGAGCAACCUUGGGGCUUUCUAAUUGAGGGAGCUGGAGAAAAGAAUCAGGAUGAGGAGGCACAGGAAUAGCGUUGUACUGCAAAUGAUGAUCAAGUUCUUGUUUGCAGUUGGAAUAAAGCUGUUGAUGAUAUGAUGAUGAUGAUGAUGUUGUUGUAUAAGCAGGGUUUGGAAACAUAUUUGUCCUUGGAGAAUCAAGUUCGGGCAUGAAUGAGGAGCUUUGGUCAUACCAACAUGGUGACUCGUAAUCACCCAUUCUCCUUACUGUUGCCAAUCGUUUCUUGAACACCCUACAGACAACCCAUCCUUCUUCCUGUAUUUAUAUAUAGACCGGUUAGGAGUUAAUUAAUUAACACCAACAUUUCACUGAUACAAUUAACUUUUCACUUUUGGUCUGAACAAAGAGAAAUAACUUUAGCUAGGUAACAAAACUUACAAAACAUAUACCUAUCUUGCACCCAAAAAACAACAAAUUACAUAGAUGUUAUGGUGUCAGGUGGUAUUUGGUGUUCUAUGUUGUCAAACUGUCAAUAAUCCAAAUUGAUAGUUUGUUAAGCUUAACAUCAAGUAAGAUGCAAUGCACAAAAAGUGUUACUUCUUUUUUUGGUCGAAAACAAAAAGGGUUUUACUUCCAAAUGUAAAAGACUGACUAGUCUCUGAAGAAGGCGUAAACCUCGAGAAUAUUUUGAUAACUUCAGACAUCGAUUCCAUGACCUAGGUUUUCUGUUAUGCGUAUGUAAAUUGCAUUCUAACAAAUGGCUCAAAACCGCUUGAGUCUUCAAAGUAAAUGUGUUAAGUCAAGUAGACCUAAUAUCUUGUAUGCUGAUCGAGAAGUAUUCCACAAGGCCGCUAUAUCUGGCAUGUAUCUUAUAUUAUGAUGAACUCAAUGCGGUUCAUAUAAUUAUCAAUGUGAAUAAAAACUUAAAAUGGCAUGAGAGUGGAGGGUUCAAUCACGCUAUGUAUAUCCCUAUUUUAGAAAUUUGGUCAAUUUAACAGAGAAUUUACAGCUGAAAAGCUAGAGCCUGAAGAAAUUGUUAUAGACUGAGAAGAUUGAGUUGUAAAAAACUUGCCUGAGGAGGUCCAUUUUCAUUAGUUUCAAGUCGAUACUCAUGCAUGAUCCAAUCUGACUUCUGUCCAUUUGGAGCACGUCCUUUGUAAAACACCAGAGUCUUUCUCAUGCCAACUAGGUUGUGCCUGAUGUAAAUAGCUUUAUCUCUUCCGGUAGCUUUCCAAAACCCAGCUUUGGUUGCCCUAUUUGUGCGAGUUCCGGUUGGGUACUUUUUAUCUUUGUGACUGAAAAAGUACCACUCAUUCUGAUCUUCACUACCUAUUUUGCACAAUUCUGUCCAAUUGGACAACAACUGUCAGCGCGCACUCGGAAGAUAUUAAUCAAAGUCUUUUUACUCAAUUUAAUUAUUUACUUGAUCAACAAGUUUCAUGAAUUCCUACCUUGAAGAUCCCAUGGCUCAAUCUUAUAAAGAUCAACAUCUCUGAUGACAUCAAGGUCGAUCUUCUUUGAAGCAAUCUUCUUUCUGAGAUAAUAAUCAACAAGUUCUUCAUCUGUCGGGUGGAAUCUAAAGCCCGGGGGUACAUGUGAAAAGGUAUUCAUGUUCUUCAAACCUGCACAUAUAUAAAGCCAAUAAAUAACUAACAACAAUAUGUUUAUAUGCAAUUCAUAUAUGUAUGCAUAAAUUAUUUGCAACCAACGCCUCCUAAGAGUGGUAAGGGACAUGAGAACAGGAUGGAGAUUGUGAGGAUAAACAUGCAUGUAUCGCCGCCUGGUGUUUACAAUUGUGCAAAGUUUGUAUUGUCAGACCGAUGGGUGAGAGAAGAAUAGGAAGCAUGAAAAUCACAACUACGUACUGCAGUCGACAAUACAACAGUCAAGAACAAAUAAUUCGAUACCUUGUGUGUGAACCAAUAGGAAAUUGUUCGAUUAUUGAUACUGGAAACUUAUGUCAAAAGUAAUGGAGCAGCUAUUACAGUUUAUAGUCCAUGAAUUUGUGAGGAGAAACCCUAUAGGCAUGAAGAAAUCUAAAAGAUAUAGGAAUCGAAAUGUAAAUCAUGAAAGUUACCAAAAUUGAAAAAGAAUGAUUUGAUCAAGGGCAUAAAAUUUAUUUUCUUAUAUAUACCUCUUGCCAGAUUUCCUUAGAUUUUUUUACUAGAUUUUAUUACAAAGGAAAACUGAACGGAUAUACCGUCUAUAUGGAAUAAUUAAUGCAUAUAUUAUUGGAGAUUAUGAGCACCAUUAAGGAGAAAACUUACUUAAAUUGAAGAAAUGUCUAGAAUUCAAUAAAUUCAAGAACCUAUAUAUCAUGUCAUUGAGUCGAAAGGGAACCAUAAUUAAACAUGCCAAGGCACAAAAUUUCUAAAUUAGGACCUUCUUAUUACCGUUCUAAGGAAAAUUAAGGUUACCUGCUUACCUUAUUAUUUGAAUCCUGAUUCAUAAAUAAGAUGAAUAGCUGUACAGUACGGAUGAUGUUAUGAAUUGAUGAAUGUACUCACGUAUGUAUGCAAACUUAAUUAUAAUUUAACAUCUUAUGAAAGAAAACAUACAUGUUGAUAUAUUCGUAGUCAUUCAAAUUAACCUGGAUAAAUAAAAUUUUCACAGACUUCACAUAUAUUAAUGUGACCAUAAGAAAACCAGGCAUCUUAUUUUCAUUUGCUCAUAGCUAGCUAGUACUCAAGAUCGAACAAUAAAAAAAAACAAUGCAGCAAGUUACUACAUGACAAAAACAAAAUGAUUAUAUAUGCUUGUAUAGCAAGCUAGGACUCAUCUAAAUAAUUUUGCUUUAAUUUUUUAUUUUUGUAACUAUAGUAUGACAAUAUUAUUAUUCACUUGUUGGAGAUAAAGGACUAGUAUAGCUAUCAAGAUCCAUGUGUGUAAAAAAGAUAUGGUAUGGCGAGUGUAGUGCUAAAUUGUUGAAUCGAAAUUUCAUGAAAACCUACCCCAUCAAGUUGAGGAAAAGGAGAUUUUUUUUUUUUUUUUUAAUCACUUGGGUACCAAAAUUGAAAGACAAUAAAUCCAUGGAAGAUCAAUUUUCAUCCAAAGAACAAAAUGCAGACGAAGAAAUAAUUAUAAAAACAACCGUGCGUGGUUUACAUGAAAUCAUUAAAAGGAACACUAUCUCCUAACAAGAAGGCCCUAGCUUCAACAAAUUUGCAUUCAGUUAGCUAAGUGAUCAAUCCAUUUCCUGUGAGGCCACAGUACAGAUCGAGACGAACAAAAAGAAAAUAAAGCAAACCAAAUAGAGAACAAAAGAAGAGGAAGAAGACCUUUAUGAUAAGUAAUGAUAAUGAAGAAGACGAAGAAGAAGAGGAAGAUCGAGGAAGAAGAAGAAGCAGAGAUUAGAGAUGAUAACAACCUUGGCUAAAUUUGCUGCAGUACAGAUCUGAUUGAACCAGAACCUCGUAUCCACCGAUCAGCUUAGAGAUAUAAGAUCGAGACAAGAAGGAGCUAGGUGCUGAGCUUUAGACACUCACACUUUUUUGCUGUAAAAUCCUACUGAUCGAGCAAUUGAGCAGACAAAAGAAGAAGCACAGAAAGAAAGAGAGAAACAGAAACAAACAAGCAGACAACAGAAGACCUCGGGACUUGAGCUGAUCUCUCCUCCUCAACCGAUGAACUUUGUGUUUUAAGAACUGUCUUGUCGCAAUAUAGAGAUAGAGAUCAGAUCCCGAGGAUUGGAAAAGAAGGAAAGGAAAGUGAAUUCGGAAAAGGGAAAAGGAAAGUUAAGAAUGGCAAAAUAGAGAAGAGGUUGAGUUAAAUAACAAGCAAACACAACACAACAGAAGAAAACAAAACACAUGCCCUAAUCAUAAUCCAUCCCUCUCAUAUAUACUGAUCGAUAUUACAUUACAGUUUGUUUCUCUCUCCUUUAUCUUUUCAGCGGGCUUGAUUGCUGCAAAAGCUUCGCUCAUAGAAAAAGGGAGGCGCUCAAAUGGCUCACUGAGAGAGAGAGAGAAGGGAUGUGGAGAGAGAACAAGUGUAUAACCUCCACAGCCACCCACCAGCUACUGAUGGAGACCAGAAGAGAGGGAUCAGCAGCUUCUGAAGGGGGCUUUGUCUCUCUGGGAGCGAAUGAAAAAGAUUGGACGGUGAGAUGGAGAUGAUGAGAUCGGUUUGGGUUCUCUAUCUUAAAUAUCUUAAACGACAAUGAAGGACAAAGGAUUAAAUGUAAUAAAGAGAGUGUGUUAAAGAAACUAAUUGAUGUAUGAUGAUGACGAUUAGGAUUAUAAUAUAGAGCUAGAUUUGUAAUCGAUGGAAAGGAUAUUUUUGGUAGUGGUGAGCUUGACCUCUCUCUCUCUCUCUACCUGAGGUGGAGGGGUGAUGAACAUUCUCCCGCCCAAAAAGUAAUCCCUGCCCUAGCCCCUCGCUUUCAGCUACUCCUUCUGUAGACUACUGUUUCGUUAAUUUGAGAGUUGAGGCUACACCGCGUGAUGUGCACGCCCAGAUUAAUUACAAUAGGACAGAAAUAUGAUUAUCUUGCCACCCCUUCUAGAUGCUAGCUGCAAUUUGAGACUUUGUAAGAAUUUAAGAUUUAAAAUCAGAGAUUUUCCUCUAAAAAGAUGAGAUAUGGUACUUAUGUCGAUCGAUCUAUAUAUGUUGGUUUAGAUUGUUCUAUAAUUUUUGUUAUGGAUUCUAGUUUUAAAUGACAAAUCUUUGAUUAUGAAGUUAGUAAUGUUUAGUCUACACAUAUCGUAUUGAGAAUCUGCUAACCACUUUAAUGUUAAUGGUUUAUAUCAGUUCCUAUUCAUAGCGAAGCUUCGCUCUGAAAUUAAAGUGUGAAGUUUCUUAUUUGACUCACUUUUCGGUCAUAUUUUCACAUCUCCACCGUUCUCUUUAUUAAUACUAAUGCAUAGAUCAUUCAUGCAAAAUUUCAUCGAAUUUGAUGGUCGUUUGGGUGUUCAUAAUCGUGAUAUACACACAUGCAUAGUUCUGGUCAGAUAGGUUUAUGGUCCAUUUAUUUAUUUAACCUAAUUCGGUACCUAGACGAUCAUUAAUUUGAAUGAAAUUUUACAUGAAUGAUCUAUGCAUUAGUAUCAAUAAAGAGAACGGUGGAGAUGUGAAAAUAUAAUUGAAAAGUGAGUCAAAUAAGAAACUUCACCCUUUAAUUUCAUAGCGAAACUUCGCUCUAGAUAUGAACUGUAUAUAUAUAUAUAUAUAUAUAUAUAUAUAUAUAUAUAUAUAUAUAUACCAAAAAAGUAUUGUAAUUAUUUCUUUUAGUUUCUUUUUUUAUAUGAAUUUUCAAUACUAAAAUCCUCAACUGAAAAGUUUGCAAUGUAUAACUUACUCGAGGAUCAAUUGGUUGUUCUAGCAUUAAUUAAUUAUGCAAAACUCCGUUGUCUCUUGAGCGUGUAUCAGAAGAAGCAUGUCAAGGGAGCUACGAUUGUUCAUGUUUGAGUAACCAGUGAAACAUGCAACUUAUAAACAGACUUAAUAACAACAGUAGGGAAGAUUAACGGCAACUCAAAAUCCAAUCUCUAAUCCUCGUAACACACAAUAUUAUCACCCAAAUAACUAACAAACAACACUACCAACGAACCAUUUAGCGUGAUUCAUAAAAUAUACGCUUAUUUAUAUGCUUUUGUUUAAUACAAUUAGAUCUUUUGUGACCAACCAUUACCAACACCUUACUCUAUAGAUCGAGUUGCCCUCCAAACCCUAAACAAAACCAGCUCGAUGGAGCCCGUAACAAGAAAAAAAAGAAUUACAGGAAUUCCAAAAAGUGCACAUAAACAAUGCAAGAACGUCUAGAAAGAUAGAAAACCUUAAAAAACAAAAAUUUGUAUUAUCCUAUUCGACACCAGCAAUUGCACGCGGGCUCUGGUUGGUUGGUCCGCAAUACUCUGUUCUGUAUUUCCCUUCAUGACCUGGACCCCAUUAUGAACCGACCCCUAUACAAAUACGACAGCAACACCUCUCCUCUCCUCUAAUCGGCUCGCUCGGCUCAGCUGAGCCCAUCCGUAAGCCAGGUGCGACAGUGCAACAAUGAAAGACAGGUCGUUGUGCUGCGUGAGUUUCCGUGCCCUCUCUAUGGUGGUGGAGUGUGGGACCCAUUUUUGGGGGGGGGGGGUUGGCGGAACGGAAUGAUGUCCCCGGGACUGGGUUACGUGGCGGCUGAUGGUCCGGCGUGGGCUAGCCCAAGAGAUCAUUAGGCUCACGAUUUUCUGUGCAGGCCGGUUUAUGCUUGUGGGGUCCGUCCCGUUAUCCCGUUAUGAGUCUCAAACUUUGGGGGUCCCACCAGUCUUCCCGGCCACCCUGUUCUUGGCAGGAGAAGCUUACGCUUUGCCGUGUACCCGUUCGUGUCCGUUUUAGAAUGAAGACGCGCGCGGAUUUGCUUACUUACAAGCGAAUUACAAUGGAAAUUUAGUAUUCUUACUAAACCCUAAAGCAUUUGUCAUCUCCGACCUCUUCAGGGUAAUUAAUAUUCUUAUAUAAGGCGAACUCAAAACCAUUCCUCAUAAACAGUAGAUCGUGUUACUAGACUAAAUUUUAUUGAACGAUUAUACUAACUGUUUUGUAUUAAUUUUAGGCAAACCCACCAUCGUUUUUUUCUUCAUUUUUUCCCUAGCCUGUGUAGCGGGCCGGUGCAUUGCCUUUGGGUUUUGGGGUCUUUAGGGUAAAGGAAAUGCGUUAAAUAUGAUAUAAUAGUGGGAUAAGCAUGUUUCGUUGUAACAAGCUACAGUAAAGAAAGAAGUGAAGCUAAAGUCUCAAACGUGAUCCCGGUGUCAUUUAGGACCCAUGGUUACGUGGAGUUGAGUUUGUUUUCAAGUUUAAGAUCCUAUUGGACCAAACGGGUUUUAUUACUAGCUCUUCCAUAUACAUCUUGAUCGAUAAUGAUAAGUUUAUCUAAGCUGAAUCGAGUUAAUGGCACCAAACACCAAUUACCACACGACAAGGUAUUUUGCAUGCACCUGAAAACUCAAUGAUAAACACAGUGAUGCACUUAAUUGUUGAUUUCGAUUGCAAAUGAUCAAUUGAAGCUGGUAUAUUUUAAACACAGAUAAUUAGGGGUUUUAAUUGGUACAACCAAUAUUAAUCCUCAUUGAUCGAUGAUGUGUAAUUGAUAGAAAAGUGACGCCAUUACAAGUGCUCCAAUUGAAUGAAUAAGUUGUUUAGGAACGAUAACAGCCUUAUUUGCCUUCUUCAACAUCCUACCUUUUAAAACGUUUGAACUUUUCUUGUAAGUUUUCCACAAGUUAACGAAGCUGCAGAUACCAUGCAUGCAUGCAUAGAUAGACCGUAUGCGAGGAGCCAAGAGAGAACUUGUUUGUCCAAUUGCUCGUUGGGAUCAACUCACCUGAAUUUGGAUCAAAAGCAUUAGGCAUGAUUCCACAAUAGCACCAUCGCUUUACUAAUUAAGCCACAACCCUAGCAGUCUAGCUCGCCGGCGCAUUAGUGACUUUCAGUUUCAGACAAGUUUGGUCAGUGUACAAUUCCUAGUUAUAGUUAACUACUAGUAGUGGCGGAGUGGUACCAAGACGUCGCAGAAUGUGAAAGGAACCUUAUUAGAAGUUUAAUUGCGUGACAUUAAUUAGUUAAUGAACCAAAACCUUAAUUUCUUUUUGUUGGUUGCGUUCUAGUAUACUUACCAACAUGAUUAGCAAAAGUUUUAGAGAGCAAAUGGGAAGCUGAAAGCCAACAAAUGGUGGGGACUUAGUUGAUGAUUGCUGAUAUAGACUCAUUAUUGUUUCGGUUCCCCACGUUUAACCAGGGAUGGGCAACUCCUCAAAAGCUUCCUAUUAAAAUUAGGAAAACUGAAAAAAAGAAGUUGUAAUCCUCUCAGAGUCUCACUCCGAUCUCAUCCCCAUGAGCAAGUUGUUGUCCUACAAUAUUCUAUCCAGUAUCCACCAUAUAUAUAUGUUCAACUUAAAACUAAAUUCUAGAUAUAUUCCUCUUGGCGAGUUCCUAUACACACGCGCGCGCACACAUAUAUAGUAUCAUCAAUAUACACAAUUAUCAAGUUGGAUGAAAUUUUGCAACAAUUAUCUAUUCAUUAGUAUCAAUAAACUGAACGGUAGAGAUAUGAAAAUAUGUCCGAAAAAUGAGUUAAUUAAGGAACUUCACACGUUAAUUUCAAAGCGAAGUUUCGCUCUGGAUAGGAACCGUGUGUGGAUGUAAGUAAGUAACCAAAUAUUUGAUGAGAAACUCGAUCUUCUGUCAAAAGCUUGGGAUGGAGGGUAUAUAUAUACUCAGACAUAUUACAUGUAUAUAAAGUAGACUGGACCAUGUAUUUCUCAAGUCUCUGUAUGUACCUAAAAAGUAUGGAGUAAAGCUUGCGCAAUAUGAAUACAGGUAGGCCAUACGUACGUUCUGGACAUAAAAAGAACUUAAACUGUAGACAUCGAGAAAGAUAUGACCACUUACCAGAACACUACUCUUCAUCCCCCAGAAAAUUUGGGAGGUCAGGCCAUCAUAUCCACCUGAUCGAGCUGCCGAACCAGAGUGGCAUGGCUACUUCUGAUCCGUCGAACCAGACUGGCUAGCGUUCAGUAAAGACAACACAUAACUCCACUACUGGUAUAAAAUAGCUGACUAGCUAUACUGGUUGGUGAAUAUAAAAUCCUGUCAUGCUUUUUCAAACUUCUAGAACAGUAGUGUACACGUACUUUGUGCUAUAUGUACGCUAAAAGGAUAUAUACGGUGCUUCAUACGACAUAAAUUCAAGUAUACAUGAUGCCAAAUCAUGGUUGAAUGUUGAUAUAUAAAUGUAUAAGUAAUGUGUGCCUAAAAUCAUUAGCAAAAGAAAAUGUAAUGUAAGCCAAAAUAUCGUCCUUAUCGAUCACGUACACUACUCCUUGCAAAAGUAUUUAGGCAGGAGACAUAGCCCCCUAUACAUUCAGCCCAACAAGAACAGAACGGCGCUUACCUUGUUCGAGUAAGUAAGGCACGCCGCAGCAAGACUGUAAAUAAUUUCAACAUCAAUCUCCCCGGUCCUAACACUUUACUUGCGAAGGUACCAAUUCAAACCUUGUUCGUAAUAGUCUACCUCUAACUCAAACAGUCUUAACAUUGUUAUCCUUUUGCUCGGCAGUUCUUGAGAAAAAGGUAAAUGAUUAUGCAGAACCAGAAUUUGAAGCACGAGAGAAAGAAACAGAACAUGAGAGAGAGAGAGAGAGAUCGACGUGUGCGGGUUAGGGUUUGUGAAAUUAGUUUUGUAAGUACAUGCGCAUUAACACAUGGUAGACAAGGAUUCAUUGGCAUGGUAAAAAACUAAUCGUCUGUCACUGUCUCACAAGCAUGCAUGAUUGCAUGAUUAGCUUGCUAGGGAGGAAGAGAUGACCCAGAAAUAUUCAACACAUGCUUCAAACAAUGAAAUGCACGAGAUCGAUGAGCUUCUCAUUUGUCUGUUCGGAAAAGAGAAGACCACUUUCUGAUCGAUCUAACAGCUUCCAGUCACUUCUGGCCUCUUAAAAUGCUUCCAACUUUCCUCAUGAUUCGAUCUCUAACUAGAAUUUCAUUGUGCUAGAAUUUGCAGCUACAUGUUUAUAUGUCUUUCUCGGAGCGACGGAGGGCCGACGACUACAAGUACUCGAGUAAUUCCAGAUGAUAUAUGUUCUUUCAAACAUAAAUCAAUCCAUCCACUAAUUUAAUUAUGAUCUUCUACAUGCAUAAAAUAGCAUCAUUUGAUUUGAAAUUUGACUUCAUAGUUCAUAGGUACGGUCAACUGUUGGGCACAGAAACACAUGCACAUAGUGGGCAUUGCGUACUGUUUUUUUCUGAAAUCUUCAUGGCUAAUUAUUACCAUUUUCGUGUUUUUAGAAAAAGAAAACGAAAUGGUUUUGUGAGGCUGUGGCCGGCUCUUUUUAGGAGUCUUCAUUGUUAGCUAGAAUGAAGAGCGCGCUAGAAAAUUGAAAUAAUGAUGAUGUUAACCGCAGUAGAGAAUAUGAUUGCAUUCUGGUUUAUAUGUCCCCACCAAAAUAAUAAUACCAAUUAUGGCAAUAAUAAUAAGAUUAAGAAAUGAGAACUAACUAAUGCAGGGCAGGUUAAUGGAGUUUGGAAUUAUAUAUUAUCAAGCUUGGAAUUAUUACCAAGUAGAAGCAAUUAGGAAUAGCCUUAUAUAUGUUACUUGCUUCUACUUGGUAUAUCAUACAAUGAACUGGAUUUGAUUAAUUAUCAAGUGAACAGAAGAGUAAUCACUUAGAACAAGAAGCCUUGUUGCAUGAAAUUGCAAUCGAUCUCAUGUUUAUGAAACCCUAUCAUGCACGAUAUAUGCACCCAUUCAAUAGUCUCGAUUUUAUGUAAAACAUGUUUCUAAAGUUGAUUUGACAAAUCAUUAGGGUUUCAGCAGAAAUGUAUAUAUUAGUUCGAUCGAGUCUUGUUCAUCAGGAGUGAAAGAUUUACAAGAUUGGGGUAUGGAAGGUGUGGCAUGCAAAGGAUGACAUUGGUGGCAUGGGGCAACGAAUUGAAACUCUCAGGAGUCAAACAUUUAAUCAUUCUGGUGAUUAUAGACGCAGCUAGGAUCGUUCAUUAAGAAAAGAAAAGACCCAAAGAAUUCAAGCGAAUUGGAUCUAGCUUGUACAACUAAAACCGGUUUUAAUUUCUUGAAAGACAGCAGGUUGCCAUGCCUGUUGCUUUAUCUCAAAGCCCUUGAAGCGCGCUCGUUGUUUACAUAGUUUGGCUCCUGCGAAUGUGAACUGUCCUUCUACAAAAGGGAGAGAGCUUUGAUUCCCAAGGUCAUGUUAGAAAAAGAAUAAUUAGCUAGUUUAGUUUUGUCCCAUAAAGUAGUUAAGGUGGAUGAUGAGGAACCAAUAAGUAAUGGUCUGAGGGAUUAUGUGGGGCUUCAUCAAGAUAAGGGCAUCAAGUAGAAUCCCAAUAUAAGGCGCUUUGCCCUACACUCUGUUCACAUCGAUCUUAAGGAAAAGGGGUAAUUUGCCCUAAACCCGAAAUUAAGGCAUUUCCCAACCUCCAGGCCGGACAGAUCGAGCAACGUCCCACAGUCUUGUAUUUUGGGAGAUAGGCAUGCAUGCUAGAAUUCAAACCCAGAGUCCCGGUUUGGCAUGGUAGAGCUCAAACUGUCAUGGCUAGGUACGUAAAUAAAAAAUGUCUGAUCUAAUUAAGUUCACAGUUUUAAGCAACUCUAUACUGGAUCAUAAUCUGAUGAGUAUGAAGGGAUUGCUCAACGGCUUAACUCCACUCAUUUACACCUGAAAACCAUUCGUAGAUGUUUCUUUCUGUUGAGGUUUGUGUAUCAGUGUAUCCAUUUCAGCCAGUACGCGCGUGAAGACGAUACGAGUUUUUGCAAAUUUUGGUGGCCUCACUACAAUCCUGAAGCCCAUCCAGCCCAUCAUCAAUUUCAAAUAAUUUCAUCCAAAAGUCAAGAGCUAUAGAUAUUGGGCUCGACUAUUUGUUGUAUUGGUCCAAGUCCAACAAUUGCUAAUUACAGGGCCUCUGGCUUUUCAGAAUAAACACAAAAGUGAUCAAAAACUAAUAUCAAAGUUGAACUUUUAUUAGCAAAAUUUGGAUUUUUUUAAUUAUUUGUUGAUUUUUUAUGGCUUGGGUGCCAAUUACUGCAUGUAGAAGCCUAAAAUAUUAUUAAAGUAAUAUGCAUAAAAGGUUAUCAGAUAUUAAGACAAGGUUAUUAGGUAAGACAUGACUAAAGUGAAGUGGAUUAGAGUUUAUCAUGUCUUAUAUAUAUGUUUGGUUAAUACUUUUCUAGUGAUGGACUAAGAUGUUAUAUGCUUUAUAGUUUAUCCUGGCUGGUUGAUCAGAGCAAGAAUAAGAUCAGAUCUUGAGGAUAUAAUUUGUAUAUCCUUUUGUAUUGGCGAAAAAAGGAAAAAGAACAAAAGAGGAAGAAGAAGAAGAAGAAGAAGAAGAAAAAGGAUAUAUACGUUUAUCUCUAUUUGGCAUGGCUUUAAGAUAUGGAUGAUUCAUAUGGUUUGAGUAGUGGAAGAUAUGGGACUUAAUUUGUUCUUAAUCAGUUGACAAGUUGUUCAAUAGAUAGGGUUCCGGGUUUUGGGAUUGCACAUCAAUUAGCACGUUUGCGAAAUACUAUUCUUAAGAGCCAGCUAGUAAUUCUUAUGUGUGUAUAUAAUGCUCCUGUUCUAUGACAUGCAGUUUUAAUUAACUUUGGUUAACAAAAAGAGAAAAUAUGGGUUUAAAAAGCUAAACAUGUUUAAACUGAAGAAAUGUUCGUAACUGAAUUAUGGGGACCGAAAUCCUCACUCUUCUUUGUCACACUGGAUUUUAAUGCAGCAUAUCUGUAAUUUAUUAAAGAUUCUUCUUUCACAUAAUCUUGUAGAUCGAUCAUUGUCCCCAAAAAGAAGUACCACGUAUCAAAUAAAAUUGUCUUUCUCCAAAUUUAUAGGUUCAACCUCAAACCCAAAAUCCAAAGCAGUUGCUGGCAUGACGCACAUACGUACUGUUCAGCUACAACAAUACCACUGGCAUUCUUAAUACCUAUAAAUUUGUCUUAACUGAGUACAUAGUAUUGGACUUCAAAAAUCUGAUCAAAUUGAAUUGGUAUAGAGCAAUCACACAUCAGUUUUUAUUAUUUGUUUUCUUCUAUAUAGGAGCAAAAUAUCAGUUACUAAAGCAGCAGAUUCGAAAAGUGUAGUUGCAAUAUCGAUGAAGAUGCUCAGUGUUUGCUGGUGUAAGAUAGUAAGCUGUGUUUAGAUAAUCAUGUCUGUUAAGAUUUAAUCUUGUAGCACCGAAGCACAUAAUUAACUAAUGCUUAAUUAACAUUUACCAACUUAGCUCAUACAGUACGUCUUAGUAGCUAGAGAGCAAAGAAGAAACUUAUCCAGUAGCUAACUAGUAAAUUUAGUCUUGAAACCAUUUCAGGAGUAAAAACCAAAAAAGAUGAGCUAAUAAAAAAUUGUCUAUAUUUUGAUUCAGAAAUAGCAAUAGUUAUAAGAAAACAAAAUGAUCUGCUCCAUUGCUGGGAACUCUUCCCCUUAAUUUCUCAACGACGUCUUGUUUGUUGUUAUCUUUCCCAGACAAAAUUAAAAAAAAUGAAAGCAUGCAUGUUGCCGUCGACAAUUUCGUACUCCAUACGUGCAGCAAGUAUUUCAUUAUUUUCAUACAUAGCUGGAGUGGAGUACAAAGUACGAUAUAUAUGUAGGCAGAUUAAUUGACUUAAUUAUACAAACUACAAACAACUAUUUUAUAUAAUGUCACCCAAAUGAUGAUAUUUGUAGCUUUCAUUGUGUACUAAUCGUACAGUUGGAAUUCGUAAUAUGUUAUAUGUAUACUAUUAACUAGGGUUAACAACUAGUAAGCAUGGAAUAUAAAAUCUAAAAGGAUCAAAAGGAACAACACACUUCUUGCUAAUUUUAUAGCUUACAUGCAAUUAGAACAGUCCAGCUCAUAACAUUCAGAUUCUUUGUCUUUUGAUCUAACACACAUAUAUACAUAUAUUGCCAUUUUGUUCUUUCAUAUAUGUACAAACAUUGUUUGCAUUCAUAUGCCUUUCCCAAUAAUAAUUUAGAACAUGUUUACUGUUUUACACUGUAUAUUAUAGCAUGCACCAGAUUAAUUACUAUAUACAGAUCACGAACAUCAGUAAUACAUAGAUCGAGGUGAACUAUUUUCAGGAGCAAAAAGAGCUCGAAAGGCAAAACGUAAGUGCAGCCUAUCAAUCCAAACAAGGAAAACAUUUGUCAUUACAAAUUCUAUUCUGAAUUGAAGGACCACAGAUAUAUAUGUGGCCGGCUAAUCUCAUAUUGUUCAAGCUCUGAUGAAAUGCUUUUCGUCUUCAAAUACCAAACACAAGAAAAACAAGUCGUUCCAAAAGAAAAAAAAACAACAAGUGAUCACAACUUGGUUUUAGGUUUCCUCUGCUGAUCGAUUAAGAACGUACGUAUACCAUUUUGUAAGAAUGAUCUGGAUUAAGGUCUUUCAUUUUAGAAAAGAAAUUGUUUGAUCCAAAAACAGAAUAAUCAACAUAAUGUCUACCAAUGAAAUGUAAGUGGGAGUAGGAAUCUUGAACAAAUAUAAAGAGAAAUAUGAUCGAUCGAGGUCAGUGUCCGAGACAGAGACUCCAAAUUUAAUUUAGCUUCAAGAAAAAUCUUACAAAAAUUAUUGUAUGCUACUAUUUCUAAAUACCAACUAUGAUUAAUACAAUAGCCCCAUCAGAAUGCGAUUUAGCACUACCAAUCUAUGAAAAAGUGUCCAAGUGACCGCUCGAGUUAGAUGAUUGAUCAAACGACUUUUGAAGUUAGGAUUUAGACAUUUCAUAGAGCUUUAAUUUGUGCCAAUCCUUUUUUUUAUUUUAAUUACUUUUUCACUAUUCAUGAUAAACGUUGCCCCAUACUAUUAGUCCGAUCAAUAUGUAGUAAAUACGUGAUUGGGAAAUGAUCGUCAAUCACAUGAAAUAGUCUAGAGUAACGUUAGGUGAAACAUCUUUUAAGGUAUCACUUGCAUCACAUCUUAUGUGAUAGUCGAUAUGACAGAAUUUUGUUAAUUGAUUUGUUUGCGCCUCAUCAGCUAACAAAUUAGAAAGUGAAAAUUGGUUAAUUACUUGAUUUGAUUGCUAAAUAAAAAACAUGUGUCACGUUAUAUGUUUUGCUCAUUUGCUAAAGAUAUGAGAAAAUUUGGGCAAACAUUUGCAAAAAUGAUUUCUAAAAUGCCUUUAGAAAAAAAAAAAAAAAAGAAGAUAAGAGAGAGCUAGUGUGAGUAGCGUUUGCUUCACUCAAACAAACAAUGAUCGAUGUUUUGAUUAAUCAAGAUAAGAAUAUUAAUUAAUUAGUACAAAAAAAGAGUCCCAUUACAUAUCCGUACGUUUCUCAAAGUACCGAUUAAAACCAAUUUAAUACAGAAUUACUUCUCUCUCCUACCACUCAGUUUCUCUCUCGUCUCUUGCCCUUUCUGUGCUAUUUAUCACGUAUGUAACUUCAUUUUCUUCCCAUACACUCCAAAAUUCUGUACCUUGUGCCGACCAUUAUUUCAUCAUCAUCAUAUAUACACAGACAACAAAUCUCUGCUGAUUUCCCAAAGGAACCAUAUUCUCAUCUUAUUCCAAGAAUCCCACCACCUCCACCAACGCCACUAUAAACACCUCACUACUAUAAACCACCUCAAAACCAAACACACACUACAAACUCAUAUAGAGCCGAGAGCCCGAGAGAGGGUACUUCAGUACGUUAAGAUCGAGUUGUGUGAUUCUUCAUCGAUCUGGACGCAAACCCCAGGUCAUAGUUAAUUGGCUUCUUUCUAGCUCGAUGAUGAACGCCCACAGAAUGAGAAAGAGCAGAGGUUUCAGGCUGAGAGUACACAAGCUGGUCAAGAUCUUCAAAUGGAUAGUCCAUCGACCCAGAAGAGAGCCGGUCCGGUACCAGAGGCUGCAAUCCACGACGUCCAGAAGUACGUACAACCCCGUUUCCAAAUUCUUGACCUUGGCAAGGUCUCUUCGACGUGGAGCCAAGCAGCUGUGUUUUCCUAAUAACUCGGGUUACAUGCGGGUUGGACAGUCCCCGGAUGAAGCGAAACCGGUGGUUGUUCCGAAGGGACACAUGGCCGUGUACGUGGGGGAGUCCGACGACGACACGCAGAGGUACUUGGUGCCUGUCAUAUACUUCAAUCACCCGCUGUUCGGGGAGUUGUUGAAGGAGGCUGAGAAGGUUUACGGGUUCAACCAUCCGGGUCGGAUCGUUAUACCAUGUGAGGCUUCCGAGUUUGAGAAGGUGCAGAUGAGGAUUGCUGCAGGGGACCAUUGUCAACGGCGGAGGAGGACUAGUACCCGUCGCCAUUACUUUUGAUGAUAAUUUUCGCUAAAAUUCCGUUAAUGCAUGGUCCAAAUUCAUGAUGGUGAUUUUGAUUUUUGUUGCUUUGAAAGAAUAGUCAAAUAGAGGGGGUUUUCACCCUGUAUAUUGCUACUAGAUACUGUGAAUAUUGAAAUCAAAUGAUGUUCACUGAUUCAUCAAAUGUCAUGGCAUGAAUAUAUGGAGACAUUACAUUUGUUUUGUUCUUCGACGAUCGAUCGGAUAUAAUUUACCCCGUGUAUAUGCAUGUCUCGAAGAUUUUGGGAUGAAACCUGAAAAGCUCAUUCCCUCACUAUACAAGUGAACGUUCAAACACUCUUGACGAGUGAUGACAUUCGAGCAUCAAGGAGGUUCGAGGCUAGCAAAGUAUUACAGAGAGGAACUGAUGCUCACAUUAGAACCGGAAGUAAUUACAGAGAGGAACUGAUGCGCUGUAGUAUUUAAGCAGGUAGUCUUAAAUGGUAGGAAACGCUCUGAUGAAUAAGCUGAUUUAAACGGUCGUAUACUAUACUAUUACAUAAGUAACAUACGUUUCAAAAUGGUAGUUGUGUCCACUGUCCAGUACUAUCCUAUACGUACUGUACCGUAAUGUCUCGAUCUAAACAUGUUGCCAAACAAAUUAGCAUGAUCGAGCUCGAUCGCAACUACUAAUCUCAGCACCAGAACCGAGAUUGUUCUCAACUUAACAACUUGAAAAUAAGAGAGCAACAUAUACGGGUGUGUUAUCUGAAUAAAGGCUUUGCUCACGCUAUUAUAGGUCGCCAACUUAUGCAGCUGAUCUGGAUUAGAAAUUGAUUCACCUGUCUGAUAGCGCAGAUAACAAAUACCGACCAUUACAAGCAAACCAAAAUCUUUUGUAACCCUACUAGCUAUCAUCUCUUCCUAACAAAUAGAAACAUAACAAGAAGACACGAAACACCAACAAGAGAAUUAGGCCCUGGUACGGACAGAAAGGCAUAAAACAACAAAGCAUCGUGGUGGAACAAGACCUAAUUACCAUAUAACAUGCGCCAUCAUCAUGAACAUUCCUUUUCUCCACGAAAAGGAAAUUGGUUAAUGACUUUUUGGUCCCCCGUUUGAGAUCGGAGAUCGAUCUGGGGUUGGAUUCGAGCUAGCUAGCCUUGUUGAUGCUGCUGAGCCUUCCUUUGCUUCUAACUUGGUCCCCCAUUUACCUCCCUUUCUGUGACGAAUUAAAGCUGCACCACAACUUGUUCCGAAUUCGUCACCGCGUCGGGUUAGACCGACCACUCGAAACAAGAGGCGAGGAGAAGGACUCGUGGCAGUGUGCCACCAAAUUUGGUGCAACUCGAUUUCGAUACUCGUUACUUGGUUUCUUGACGAACUUUGCUUUCACGAAUAAACCUGCGGAUUUGUUCUUUCAUGCUGAUAUAUGCAUUUGUAAUACGUACUAAUAUUCAUGCGUUGAUAGUAACCUUGAUUCCUUUGUUAGGCAUUGUGAUCUUCCGCUUGUCCCAUCUUACUGUCAAGACGGAUCUCGCAUCAAUAGGACAGUAGAAGUUUACACGUCAAAGUCCAAAAAUGCUCACUCUUGAACCAACUAGAUCAAUUUGGUUCAGUUGCACAAUAUGCAGUCCAAAUCGAUCACAAUGCUUCAAUACAACUUGAUUUGCUACCGCAGUAAGCUACAAAUUCAAAUGAGUAGAUGAGAUUCAAGCUUUAUUUACCCACGCAUGUAUGAAUCUUCUAAAUUUUAAGAGAAAUGAUUCAGAUUCUGAGAGAAACGCAUAAAAAAAGAGAUGUAAUUAACAAUGAUACUGGGCAGGAGGACAGCCACUGAAGACAGAACAUCACUCCAUACAUAUAUUACAUUUACAUGGAAAUUAUUCCCGACACAAAUCUGAUAUCUAUAUCAGCUUCUAAAAUAGAAAUAUACGGG